RNAcentral lists this long non-coding RNA (95643 nucleotides) under Triticum aestivum (bread wheat). Its description in RNAcentral is "long non-coding RNA (TAES_LNC013815)". The stretch from base 87537 to 87671 matches the Rfam family "MIR1120/MIR1122 microRNA precursor family". Lineage: Eukaryota; Viridiplantae; Streptophyta; Magnoliopsida; Poales; Poaceae. The record is from RNAcentral.
UGGUGUCAUCUGCGUAUUGGAGAAGGGAAAUCCCAUGCCCGCCUACUAAAUGCGGGACAAUGCCCCUAAUAUGUCCCGCAGCCUUGGCUUUAUCUAGGAUGGCUGCCAGAGCAUGAACAACCAUGUUGAAGAGGAACGGCGAGAAGGGAUCGCCCUGACGGACCCCACAGAAUGUGGGGAAGUAAGGACCAAUCUCGCCAUUUAUGUUCACCGCAGUCUACCCCGAGGACACCAUUUGCAUCACUCGGGUCACCCAGCGAUCUUCGAAUCCCUUCCGGAGCAAGCAUUCCCGAAGGAAGGGCCAACUGACCGUGUCGAUGCCUUGUGGAAGUCUAAUUUCAGGAAAACUGCCUUGAGGUGUUUGGUGUGCACCUCAUGGAGUGCUUCGUGAAACACUAGGACUCCAUCAAGGAUAUACCGGCCCUAGAUGAAUGCCGACCGAUCCGGGUGUGUGAUCCGGUCCACUAUUGGGGCCUCCCUAAUGGCGUACCCCUUCGCAAGGAUGCGGAAGAUGACAUUGAUCACCGUAAUCGGUCGGAACUGGCGAAUAUCCGAAGCUCCAGUUACUUUGGGAAUGAGGGUGAUAAUCCCAAAGUUCAGCCUGGUAAGAUCGAUGGAACCAACAUAGAACUCCUCAAAGAGGGCCAUCACCUCAAGUAUAAUAACCACCCAGAAGGUCUGGAAGAACUUCACCGGGAGGCCAUCCUGUCCAGGGGCCGACGAGGGAUUCAUGCCCUUAAUGGCUGCCAAGACUUCUACCUCGGAGAAAGGGGCCGCCAGGGCCACAUUGUCCGCCGGCGAGACACGUCGGUGGGCUAGCCAAAUCGUGUGCGAGGGCCAGCCCUCCCCUAGGGGAGGCAGAGAAUAGUGUUGGGGAACGUAGUAAUUUCAAAAAAAUUCCUACGCACACGCAAUAUCAUGGUGAUGCAUAGCAAUGAGAGGAGAGAGUGUUGUCCACGUACCCUCAUAGACCGUAAGCGGAAGCUUUAUGACAACGCGGUUGAUAUAGUCGUACGUCUUCACGAUCGAUCGAUCCUAGUACCGAAAAUACGGCACCUCCGCGAUCUGCACAUGUUCGGCUCGGUGACAUCCCAUGAACUCACGAUCCAGCAGAGUGUCAAGGGAGAGCUUCGUCAGCAUGACGGCGUGAUGAUGGUGAUGAUGAAGCUACCGGCGCAGGGCUUUGCCUAAGCACUGCAACGAUAUGACCGAGGUGGAUUAUGGUGGGGGGGCACGGCACACGGCUAAGAGAUCAAUGAUCAACUUGUGUGUCUAUGGGGUGCCCCUGGCCACGUAUAUAAAGGAUGGAGGGAGGAGGAGGCUGGCCCUCAUAGGGCGUGCCCAAAGUGUGGAGUCCUACUAGGACUCCCUAGUCCUAGUAGGAUUCCACCUCCCACAUGGAAUAGGAAAAAGGGAAGGGAGAAGAAGAAGGAAGGAAGGGGGCACCCCCUUUCCCUAGUCCAAUUCGGACCAGUCCAUGGGGAAGGGGCGCAGCCACCCUUGAGGCCUUUCUCUCCUUUACCUUAUGGCCCAUUAAGGCCCAAUACGAAUUCCCGUAACUCUCCGGUACUCCGAAAAAUACCCGAAUCACUCGGAACCUUUCCGAUGUCCGAAUAUAGCCUUCCAAUAUAUCAAUCUUUACAUCUCGACCAUUUCGAGACUCCCCGUCAUGUCCCCGAUCUCAUCCGGGACUCCGAACAAACUUCGGUCAUCAAAUCACAUAACUCAUAAUACAAAUCGUCACAAAACGUUAAGCGUGCGGACCCUACGGGUUCGAAAACUAUGUAGACAUGACCGAGACUCAUCUCCGGUCAAUAACCAAUAGCGGAACCUGGAUGCUCAUAUUGGUUCCUACAUAUUGUACGAAGAUCUUUAUCCGUCAAACCGCAUAACAACAUACGUUGUUCCCUUUGUCAUCGGUAUGUUACUUGCCCGAGAUUCGAUCGUCGGUAUCUCAAUACCUAGUUCAAUCUCGUUACCGGCAAGUUUCUUUACUCAUUCCGUAAUGCAUCAUCCCGCAACUAACUCAUUAGUCAAAAUGCUUGCAAGGCUUAUAGUGAUGUGCAUUACCGAGAGGGCCCAGAGAUACCUCUCCAAUACACGGAGUGAUAAAUCCUAAUCUCGAUCUAUGCCAACUCAACAAACACCAUCCGAGACACCUAUAGAGCAUCUUUAUAAUCACCCAGUUACGUUGUGACGUUUGAUAGCACAUGAUACGUCUCCAACGUAUCUAUAAUUUUUGAUUGUUCCAUGCUAUUAUAUUACCUGUUUUGGAUGUUUAUGGGCUUUACUUUACACUUUUAUAUCAUUUUUGGGACUAACCUACUAACCGGAGGCCCAGCCCAAAUUGCUGUUUUCUUGCCUAUUUCAGUGUUUCGAAGAAAAGGAAUAUCAAACGGAGUCCAAACGGAAUGAAACCUUCGGGAGAGUUAUUUUUGGAACGGAAGCAAUCCAGGAGACUUGGAGUGUACGUCUGGGAAGCAACGAGGUGGCCACGAGGUAGGGAGGCGCGCUUGCCCCCCUGGGCGUGCCCCCACCCUCGUGACCGACUUCUUUCGCCUAUAUAUAUCCAUAUACCCUAAAAAUAUCGGGGAACAGAAUAGAUCGGGAGUUCCGCCGCCGCAAGCCUCUGUAGCCACCAAAAACCAAUCGGGGCCCUGUUCCGGCACCCUGCUGGAGGGGGGAUCCCUCACCGGUGGCCAUCUUCAUCAUCCCGGCGCUCUCCAUGACGAGGAGGGAGUAGUUCACCCUCGGGGCUGAGGGUAUGUACCAGUAGCUAUGUGUUUGAUCUCUCUCUCUCUCUCUCGUGUUCUUGAGGUGGUACGAUCUUGAUGUAUCGCGAGCUUUGCUAUUAUAGUUGGAUCUUAUGAUGUUUCUCCUCUCUACUCUCUUGUAAUGGAUUGAGUUUUCCCUUUGAAGUUAUCUUAUCGGAUUGAGUCUUUAAGGAUUUGAGAACACUUGAUGUAUGUAUUGCAUGUGCUUAUCUGUGGUGACAAUGGGAUAUCACGCGAUUCACUUGAUGUAUGUUUUGGUGAUCAGCUUGCGGUUUCCGUGACCUCGUGAACUUAUGCAUAGGGGUUGGCACACGUUUUCGUCUUGACUCUCCGGUAGAAACUUUGGGGCACUCUUUGAAGUUCUUUGUGUUGGUUGAAUAGAUGAAUCUGAGAUUGUGUGAUGCAUAUCGUAUAAUCAUACCCACGGAUACUUGAGGUGACAUUGGAGUAUCUAGGUGACAUUAGGGUUUUGGUUGAUUUGUGUCUUAAGGUGUUAUUCUAGUAUGAACUCUAUGAUAGAUUGAACGGAAAGAAUAGCUUUGUGUUGUUUUACUACGGACUCUUGAAUAGAUCGAUCAGAAAGGAUAACUCUGAGGUGGUUUCGUACCCUACAAUAAUCUCUUCGUUUGUUCUCCGCUAUUAGUGACUUUGGAGUGACUCUUUGUUGCAUGUUGAGGGAUAGUUAUAUAAUUCAAUUAUGUUAUUAUUGUUGAGAGAACUUGCACUAGUGAAAGUAUGAACCCUAGGCCUUGUUUCCUAGCAUUGCAAUAUCGUUUGUGCUCACUUUUAUCAUUAGUUACCUUGCUGUUUUUAUAUUUUUUCAGAUUACAAAAACCUAUAUCUACCAUCCAUAUUGCACUUGUAUCACCAUCUCUUCGCUGAACUAGUGCACCUAUACAAUUUACCAUUGUAUUGGGUGUGUUGGGGACACAAGAGACUCUUUGUUAUUUGGUUGCAGGGUUGUUUGAGAGAGACCGUCUUCAUCCUACGCCUCCCACGGAUUGAUAAACCUUAGGUCAUCCACUUGAGGGAAAUUUGCUACUGUCCUACAAACCUCUGCACUUGGAGGCCCAACAACGUCUACAAGAAGAAGGUUGUGUAGUAGACAUCAAGCUCUUUUCUGGCGCCGUUGCCGGGGAGGUGAGUGCUUGAAGGUAUAUCUUUAGAUCUUGCAAUCGAAUCUUUUAGUUUCUUGUUUUAUCACUAGUUUAGUUUAUAAAAGAAAACUAAAAAAAUGGAAUUGAGUUUGCCUCAUACGCUUCAUCUUUUUAAUAUCUUUCGUGAGUAUGAUGGAAAGGAAAAUUGUGCCAAAGUGUUAGAAGAAGAAUGCAUUAAAAUGUUUGGCACUAAAUCUUUGAAUGAUUAGCAUGAUUGCAAUGUUGUUAGUAUGAACUCUUUGAAUAUCCAUAAUACUAAUGAUGAUUGCACUAGUCAUGAUGAAAAUGUCUCUUAUAAGCAUGUCAACUUUUGUGGAGUGCAUAGAGUUUUCAAGUACACACCAAUUAGGGCAAAUAGAUUUUGCAAGAGGCAUAAGUAUUUAGAAACUAAAUGGUUACAAGAAAGGCUAGAUCUUUGUGCUGAAAAUUUAAAAUUUCUUCACCAUACUUGUGAACUUUGCAAUGAACAUGGUCAUUGAGAUCUCCAAUGCAAAUUGUUUCAUGAUCGUAUCGUGUCCAAAAAUUGUGAUGAUUUGAUUUCCCUUGCUCAUCAUAAUGAACUUAGUUUGCUUUUGGGUUAUGAAGAAAUGAAAUGUACAACUAAGCAUAUUCCAGAAUAUAACCUUGAGAAAUUCCUCGAUAUUGAUCUAGAAGAAAUUUUUAUGUAUUGUGCGGUGAAUUGCAUUGAAAAUCCUUAUAUUGCCAAUUACAUAAAGAAAAGAAAACAAGUAGAGGAUGAAGAGAAUACUAAUGAAAGGUAAGAGACUUCCCAAUAUCCUCCUAUUAUUUCUUAUGAUGAAUCAGGUAACGAGGAGAAGCCUUCUAUUCAACCCAUCUCAUUAAUAAGGAGCUCCAAAAAGAGGGUUGAACCCACACAUAAUGUGAAGAAGAAAAAGAAAAGACGGAGAAGCAAAGGUGAAAAGGUAUCCCUCCCUAAUGAUGUUGCUCAUAUUACUCAUUGUGAUGAUGAUAAUUGCUAUACUAUUGGUGCCAUCCAUACUAUUAAUGGUGAGAGUGAUUAUGCUUAUGAUAUGAAAAGGCCCAAGCUUGGGGAUGCUAUGUUUGAUGAGAAUGACAUGUUUGAGAAUAUAUUUGCUGAAAUUAAUGUUUGUCCCAAGCUUGGGGAUGCUAUGUUUAAUGAAGAUGAUGUUAUUAGCCUACGAAGUUUUGAUAUGCAAAUUUGUUAUGAUAGCAUGCCUCCUACUUAUGAUUAUUAUAUUGAUGAAAGUGGGUUUGGAAGAGUGUCAACUUUAGGAAGUAAUGAUCCCACUAUUUUGGAGGAUGUUGAAUCUUAUUGUGAUAAUUAUGAAAGUUUAUUUGGAGAGGUCAUGACUUUAUUUAGUGAUGAAUCCACUAUUUCGGAAGAGGUUUCAAUCGAUUAUGAUGAGAACAAAGUUGCUACUUAUGAUGAUUAUUGUGAUGAAACUUAUGCUAUAAAGAGUAGUGAUGAUUAUAUUUAUAAAACUUGUCAUGAUUAUGAUUAUGAUCACCCUUUUUCUGAACAUUAGUAAUUUAAUGUGGAAACCAUUUAUAGUAUUCGAGUCUCUUAUGAUACUCCCACUAUUCCGAAAGAGAAGAAAUUUGCUUAUGUGGAGAGUAAUAAAAAUUCUAUGCUAGUAGAUCAUGAAAAGAAUGCUUUAUGUGCUGGUUAUAUGGUUGAAUUCAUUCAUGAUGCUACUGAAAAUUAUUAUGAGAGAGGAUCAUAUGCUUCUACAUAUUGCAAUAAUAUCAAGUUUCCUCUCUAUGUGCUUAAAAUCUUGAAGUUAUGCUUGUUUUACCUUCCUAUGCAAGUUGAUUCUUGUUCCCAUAAGUUGUUUGCUAAAAAAAUCCCUAUGCAUAGGAAGUGGGCUAGACUUAAAUGUGCUACUCAUAUUCUUCAUGAUGCUCUCUUUAUGUUUUAAUUCUUAUCUUUUAUGUGAGCAUCAUUGAAAUCAUCAUGCCUAGCUAGGGGCGUUAAAAGUUAGCGCUUGUUGGGAGACAACCCAAUUUUAUUUUUGUUUCUUGCUUUUUGGUUCUGUUUAGUAAUAAAUAAAUCAUCUAGCCUCUGGUUAGAUGUGGUUUUAUGUUUUAAUUAGUGUUUGUGCCAAGUAAGACCUAUAGGAUCUUCUUGGAUGAUAAUUAUUUGAUCUUGCUGAAAAAGACAGAAACUUUCUGCUCACGAAAACAAUUGUUAAAAAACAUCAGAAAGUGGUAAAAUACUGAUUCCAAUUGAAGUAGAUCAAUAAUCAAAUUAUCUAGGUCGUCCUAUUUUGGAAGAUUUUUCUGAGUUCCAGAAGUUUGCGUUUGAUACAGAUUACUACAGACUGUUCUGUUUUUGACAGAUUCUGUUUUCUAUGUGUUGUUUGCUUAUUUUGAUGAAUCUAUGAGUAGUAUCGGAGGGUAUGAACCAUAGAGAAGUUGGAAUACAGUAGUUUUAACACCAAUAUAAAUAAAGAAUGAGUUGAUUACAGUACCUUAUUAUGGUGAUUUGCUUUCUUAUACUAACGGAGCUUACGAGUUUUUUGUUGAGUUUUGUGUUGUGAAGUUUUCAAGUUUUGGAUAAAGAUUCGAUGGACUAUGGAAUAAGGAGUGGCAAGAGCCUAAGCUUGGGGAUGCCCAAGGCACCCCAAGGUAAUAUUCAAGGACAACCAAGAGCCUAAGCUUGGGGAUGCCCCAGAAGGCAUCCCCUCUUUCGUCUUCGUUCAUCGGUAACUUUACUUGGAGCUACAUUUUUAUUCACCACAUGAUAUGUGUUUUGCUGGGAGCGUCAUUUUAUUUUAUUUUAUUUUGCUUGCUGUUUGAAUAAUAUACCAAGAUCUGAAAUUCUUAAAUGUUAGAGAGUCUUCACAUAGUUACAUAAUUAUUCGACUACUCAUUGAUCUUCACUUAUAUCUUUCGGAGUAGUUUGUUUUUGCUCUAGUGCUUCACUUAUAUCCUUUUAGAGCACGGCAGUGGCUUUAUUUUGAAGAAAUAGAUGAACUCUCAUGCUUCACUUAUAUUAUUUUGAGAGUAUUUUAGAACAGCAUGGUAUUUGCUAUGGUUAUAAAAUUGGUCCUAAUAUGAUGGGCAUCCAAGUUGGGUAUAAUAAAAACUAUCAUAAGAAGUGAAUUGGAUGCUAUGAUCGAUUUGAUGCUUGAUAAUUGUUUUGAGAUAUAAAGGUGGUAAUGUUAGAGUCAUGCUAGUUGAGUAGUUGUGAAUUUGAGAAAUACUUGUGUUGAGGUUUGCAUGUCCCGUAGCAUGCACGUAUGGUAACCGUUGUGUGACAAAUUUGAAGCAUGAGGUGUUUCUUUGAUUGUCUUCCUUAUGAGUGGCGGUCGGGGACGAGCGAUGGUCUUUUCCUACCAACAAGCCUCUAGCUCUUAUCAUAGGCCUGAACCACCUGAACCUCCAAUUACCGUACCAUUGGUACUGAAUACGACCACCACUCACACCUAUUCCAGACCUUUAAACCCCUGACCACCUAGACCUCUAGUAGCAAAGCAACUAAAAGACCCAAUCACAAAAAUAACCCUCUCUAUCCCCCUCAAAACCUUGGCACGAACACUUGUUUCCAGCCACCUAUGGCCUUCCUCACAGCUCAAAACAUGAUAAUAUCAGACCUAAUCCUGCACCUCCACCACCACAACCAAGACCCAAUUCAAUACCAUUAAAGGGAGUCAUUGGGCACCGUAAGUAGUAAUCGAGAACUUGAUGAACAUACCAACCAGUAUGUGAAUCCGUAAGUGGAGGUUUUUUAGGCUAUAUCUAGCUUUCCCUGCCGGUGAGCCUAGUCUUUCCAUGAUUUCAGUUUAGAAGGACUAUCUGAAUGCCAUAUACCAAUCUCAAUCCUCCAGCUAAUAACCUAUCACACACAGUGUGAUAUCUCCCUUUUCUCCAUCUGCAGAAACUCCCUUCCCUAUGUGACUUCAGCUUUCACCGGAUGCGGAAUUCUCGUUUUGUCCUUGGCUUAUUCUUUCUCAUGUCUCUAUAUAGGUAUUCUUGUCUCUCUGCUCUGUUGAGCCUUGUUGCCAUUUCUUAUCUCCGGCUAUGUGCCCAGCCCACCCGAUCCUAUUGACCAGUGAUGUCUGACCGAAAGGGAAAGAUUGGGGAGAAUACCUUGAGCUUGCCUUUUCCUUGGAUACUCAAUGGAUUUCCCACGGCAUUAAGGAUUUCCUGUUUCCCCGAGUCAAUCUUCCAGUUCCGGUUCAAUGAAGACUAUGCUUACUUUCCUUUCUCUUACCGGUCUGUGUUCUAUCACGGACCUGUAUUCCGUUCCUCAAAUCGAGACUUUCUUUUGGUAUGAUUUUGAUACGAGUUUUCUAUCAAAACUCUAUGCCAUCAAUCACUAUCCCCGGGGAUAGAAUCCAGCUCCCGGCGUACCUGAUAACUAUGCUCAUAUACGUCAAUUCAUGGAAGAUGCUCAGGGGAACGAAUCCAUAUAGGAAACCCCUCUAGGGGAAGGGACAACUGGUUAGUUUGUGUUAACAUAUCAAGGGAUACCAAUCAUUGCCAGGUAUGGUGGGAAAAAAGCAACCUAUUGUAUUUUCCUUACUCCAGUGGGCUUUAACUAGAACUGUUUACUUAGCUUGAUCUUUGUGCUCUCGGCAUAGGUAGGAUGUAUCUCUGGAUUAUCCAUGGUAUGCUUCCAUUGUUGCACCUUAGCCCGGUAUAGUAGAAGGCGAUCCAUGCUAUUCAUGAGUUGAUAAGCUCCAUUCCAUCGAUAGGGAUCAACCCAGCUGCAUGCUUUAAGAUCCUAAGCUACACCACAGCUAAAUCAACCAACAUCAGGGAUUCUAGCUCAAGAUCCACUUAACCACUGGUUUUUGGUUCCAGUGGCAACUGAACAGUUUUCCAUACCAUUUGUGUUUUACCACCCGGUAUGGAGCCAUCUUACGUUUUGUCGGCUGCUCUUUGCCUGAGUGCGUGGGACCCACUCAUAAGGUUUGUUGGACCCGGCUAAGCCCCCUCCCGGUAGGGCUAGAGCGACAGCAAAGAAAUGGUCUUCUUAGGUUUGGAAAUUAUACUACCUCCUGUCGAAGAGCCGUCCAUCUACUUACUGCCUGCGACCGCCUUCUUGUCGCCCGCCUUUGUCUCUCCCCUCUUAGUGAACCCACUAUCUUUAGUAAAGCGGUUUGUAAUCCGUUCACUUCUUGACUUUCCAUGGGUUUCUUAGAGAGCAGGUGGUUUUUGGUUCCCCACAUUUGUCUACCCCUUCUGUUCUGAGACGUGACUUUUCGUCAUCCCUCCAUUAAAUAAGAUCCCUCACUUAUAGCUCGACGGGCCCGCACGUGGACGGGGCAUACAAAUUCUUUUUAUAGCGGGAUCGUAACAUCCUCUUAGUUUUGUCUACACUGGACAAACACGUGUUCCUCAACCCUAGGUAGGGCGUGACUAGGACACACCUAGCCACUCGAGCCAGACUAUUGUCUACCUGAAUAGCUUUUCGUUUGCCAUUAACUGAUCACCAAUGUUGCGUAAUGGUCACUUAAAUACAGGGAAAGGUUAGAGGAGCAUGUCCUUUCUUUCCUUUCGGUUUGGAAACCUCGACCUCCCUCUCUUCACUGAUUGUUAGCAUGCGUUUCUCCGCUCUUGCUUCUUUAUGAAAGCAACACGGAAACGCACCAAUCAGUGCUUGACACCCCCCAGUAGGCCCCCUCAAGGGGGACGGACACCUCUACUGGGAUGAAAGGAAGGUCGGUGGAUUAGAUCAUGAAUAUUGUUUAUUUCCUUUCAUACCCAGGAGGUGAGGUAGAGAUGGAGGGCGGCCCUCGGGGGGAGGGCCCAAUUAGCAUGUCUCAUUGGCAAGAGACAUGCACUAACAAGCCUAGUGCAUAAAGGGAGCCCACCUCUAAGGGAGGUCCCUUUACAUCAGAGGAAGACAUACGAAUCUUACCCCCUACGAGUCCGGUCUCCGGGGGCGCUUUAUCCAAUACCAGGUACCUAUUUCCAGAGGUACCGAUCUUCAAGGUACCCAUUCCAAAGGUACCGAGCCUUUGAAAUCAUGCUUUGCUAUUAAGGGGAAUUCCUCCUAACGUCGGAAACUCUAUUUAUUUGGGAUCGGUCUCCUCGAUCGUUCCCUCAAGUGAUCGGUCACUCCUCGUCAACCUUGAAUAAGACCGACAUUAUGAACUACCAUCCACUUUCUCAGUAGUUUGAAAAGUGGCAAACCAGCCAAUGUCACUUUUUUAGAAGUUGGAAACAAGCCAAUGUUACUUUUUCAGAAGUUGUUGUGACCCAUGUGAAAAGGCAUAUGGUGAUCACUGAACCUUUUGAUAGCGAUGAGUUGCUGCUGAAGACUCUUGGUUUUCUUGAAACUUGGUACUGGCUGCAUUUGGUUCGCUGAACCAUCUAACGGGACCAAGGAUAAGAGAAAGAGCAAUGGAAUCAGACUAGGGCGCCGUGGACUGGCCUACUGGUAGUUGAAAGGCGUGAAAAUUCACUUCCGACUAAGUGUGUCACAGGAAAGGACCUCUUCCAAAAUUCAUGGACCUAAAAUGGAACAUGAAAUGGAACAGGCGCCUGUGGCCCGGAAGACUGGUAUCAUAGCCUUGAUAAUGAACGGGGACCCAUGCGAACUUAGUUAAGAGGAAGUUGAACAAGCUUGCCCCAACCGGCGGACGAAGAAAAAACCGACCAGAACCCACUUCUGGAGGACUGUCCGGAGAGGAAGAAGCAACAAACUCACUUCAUACUAGCAUCGAAAGACAAGAAGGCAGUGAUCUGGUAGCGUCCUAUGUUUAAAGCUGAACAUGCACGGGCGUUAUCGGGUCUCAUUAGUACGUGACCCGCGCCAUACCGAAGUUGACGCCGGCUCCAUACUGGGUAUGGGGAGUCUGAUCCCAGGAUCGGAUCUCUCUCAUGACUAUGGAUGGAAAUUCAUUAUGCACCUGUCCAUGCCAAAUGCAAUAUUUUGGCGUGUUCAGUUAAGUAAUGCCCCUUGUGGGAAACUAUAUUCAAGAACUAAUCCAUUCGACCCGACGAGGGUCGAAGCCACUGAUCGAGUGCUUCUACUUGGUCAUCAUAGACCAGCAAAUCCAUUUGAGAGCUGUCUUUCUUUGAUGGUAGUGUCCUUUCUUCACGCUCACAAUCUCUGCAGAGCUUAACAAGAUAAUCCACGCCAACAACCAAAGCCAACAAGCCUUCGCUCAGAAGCUCUUUCUUCAUCUAAGCUUUUAGUAACAUUAGCUGUCAUCAAUAGGGUGGAAUACAUUAACUAGUAGAAACCUUGCUUCAAGGUAGAUUCUUACAUGUUUGGAGUUUUGUCUGGAUCCAGGUACCUCAACUAUUGGCCUUACAUGGCCUGACAUGGGUAUUCCUGUUGGAGAUCAUUGCAGAAAUUAAAAAAUUUCUACGCGUCACCAAGAACAAUCUAUGGAGUCUUCAAGCAAUGAGAGGGAAAAGAGUGCAUCUACAUACCCUUGUAGAUCGCGAGCGGAAGCGUUCAAGUGAACAGGGUUGAUGGAGUCGUACUCGUCGUGAUCCAAAUCACCGAUGACCGAGCGCCGAACGGACGGCACCUCCGCGUUCAAGACACGUACGGUUGGGGAAGACGUCUCCUCCUUCUUGAUCCAGCAAGGGCGAGGGAGAGGUUGAUAGAUAUCCAGCAGCACGACGGCGUGGUGGUGGAAGCAGCGGGGAUCUCGGCAGGGCUUCGCCAAGCUCAGCGAGAGGGAGAGGUGUCACGGGAGGGAGAGGGAGGCACCAGGGGCUUGGGUGCGGCUGCCCUCCCUCCCCCCCUCUUUAUAUAGGGCCCCUGGGGGGGCGCCGGCCCUAGGAGAUCCAAUCUCCAGGGGGGGCGGCGGCCAAGGGGGUGGCUUGCCCCCCAAGCCAAGUGGGGCGCCCCCACCCCUAGGGUUUCCAACCCUAGGCGCAGGGGAAGGCCCAAGGGGGGCGCACCAGCCCACCAGGGGCUGGUUCCCCUCACACUUCAGCCCAUGGGGCCCUCCGGGAUAGGUGGCCCCACCCGGUGGACCCCCGGGACCCUUCCGGUGGUCCCGGUACAAUACGAGUGACUCCCGAAACUUUCCCGGUGGCCGAAACUUGACUUCCUAUAAACAAUUCUUCACCUCCGGACCAUUCCGGAACUCCUCGUGAUGUCCGGGAUCUCAUCCGGGACUCCGAACAACUUUAGGAUUUCCGCAUACUAAUAUCUCUACAACCCUAGCGUCACUGAACUUUAAGUGUGUAGACCCUACGGGUUCAGGAGACAUGCAGACAUGACCGAGACGACUCUCCGGUCAAUAACCAACAACGGGAUCUGGAUACCCAUGUUGGCUCCCACAUGUUCCACGAUGAUCUCAUCGGAUGAACCACGAUGUCGAGGAUUCAAUCAAUCCCGUAUACAAUUCCCUUUGUCAAUCGGUACGUUACUUGCCCGAGAUUCGAUCGUCGGUAUCCCAAUACCUUGUUCAAUCUCGUUACCGGCAAGUCACUUUACUCGUACCGUAAUACAUGAUCCCGUGACCAAACACCUGGUCACAUUGAGCUCAUUAUGAUGAUGCAUUACCGAGUGGGCCCAGAGAUACCUCUCCGUCAUACGGAGUGACAAAUCCCAGUCUCGAUCCGUGCCAACCCAACAGACACUUUCGGAGAUACCCGUAGUGCACCUUUAUAGCCACCCAGUUAUGUUGUGACGUUUGGCACACCCAAAGCACUCCUAUGGUAUCCGGGAGUUGCACAAUCUCAUGAUCUAAGGAAAUGAUACUUGACAUUUGGAAAAGCUCUAGCAAACGAACUACAUGAUCUUGUGCUAUGCUUAGGAUUGGGUCUUGUCCAUCACAUUAUUCUCCUAAUGAUGUGAUCCCGUUAUCAAUGACAUCCAAUGUCCAUAGUCAGGAAACCAUGACUAUCUGUUGAUCAACGAACUAGUCAACUAGAGGCUCACUAGGGACAUGUUGUGGUCUAUGUAUUCACACAUCUAUUACGAUUUCCGGAUAACACAAUUAUAGCAUGAACAAUAGACAAUUAUCAUGAACAAGGAAAUAUAAUAAUAACCAUUUUAUUAUUGCCUCUAGGGCAUAUUUCCAACAGUCUCCCACUUGCACUAGAGUCAAUAAUCUAGUUACAUUGUGAUGAAUCGAACACCCAUAGAGUUCUGGUGUUGAUCAUGUUUUGCUCUAGGGAGAGGUUUAGUCAACGGAUCUGCUACAUUCAGGUCCGUAUGUACUUUACAAAUAUCUAUGUCUCCAUUUUGAACAUUUUCACGAAUGGAGUUGAAGCGACGCUUGAUAUGCCUGGUCUUCCUAUGAAACCUGGGCUCCUUGGCAAGGGCAAUAGCUCCAGUGUUGUCACAGAAGAGAGUCAUCGGGCCCGACGCAUUGGGAAUAACUCCUAGGUCGGUAAUGAACUCCUUCACCCAGAUUGCUUCUUGUGCUGCCUCUGAGGCCGCCAUGUAUUUCGCUUCACAUGUAGAUCCCGCCACAAUGCUUUCCUUGCAACUGCACCAGCUUACUGCCCCACCAUUCAAAAUAUACGCGUAUCCGGUUUGUGACUUAGAUUCAUCCAGAUCUAUGUCGAAGCUAGCAUCGACGUAACCCUUUACGACGAGCUCUUCGUCACCUCCAUAAACGAGAAACAUAUCCUUAGUCCUCUUCAGGUACUUCAGGAUAUUCUUGACCGCUGUCCAGUGUUCCAUGCCGGGAUUACUUUGGUACCUUCCUACCAAACUUACGGCAAGGUUUACAUCAGGUCUGGUACACAGCAUGGCAUACAUAAUAGACCCUAUGGCCGAGGCAUAGGGGACGACACUCAUCUUUUCUCUAUCUUCUGCCGUGGUCGGGCAUUGAGUCGUGCUCAAUUGCACACCUUGCAAUACAGGCAAGAACCCCUUCUUGGACUGAUCCAUAUUGAACUUCUUCAAUAUCUUGUCAAGGUACGUACUUUGUGAAAGACCAAUGAGGCGUCUUGAUCUAUCUCUAUAGAUCUUGAUGCCUAAUAUAUAAGCGGCUUCUCCAAGGUCCUUCAUUGAAAAACACUUGUUCAAGUAGGCCUUUAUGCUUCCCAAGAAUUCUAUAUCAUUUCCCAUCAACAGUAUGUCAUCCACAUAUAAUAUGAGAAAUGCUACAGAGCUCCCACUCACUUUCUUGUAAACACAGGCUUCUCCAUAAGUCUGUGUAAACCCAAACGCUUUGAUCAUCUCAUCAAAUUGAAUGUUCCAACUCCGAGAUGCUUGCACCAGCCCAUAGAUGGAGCCCUGGAGCUUGCAUACCUUGUUAGCAUACUUAGGAUCGACAAAACCUUCCGGCUGCAUCAUAUACAAUUCUUCCUUAAGAAAGCCGUUAAGGAAUGCCGUUUUGACGUCCAUUUGCCAUAUCUCAUAAUCAUAGAAUGCGGCAAUUGCUAACAUGAUUCGGACGGACUUCAGCUUUGCUACGGGUGAGAAAGUCUCAUCGUAGUCAACCCCUUGAACUUGUCGAUAACCCUUAGCGACAAGUCGAGCCUUAUAGAUGGUCACAUUACCAUCCGCGUCUGUCUUCUUCUUAAAGAUCCAUUUAUUUUCUAUGGCUCGCCGAUCAUCGGGCAAGUCAGUCAAAGUCCAUACUUUGUUUUCAUGCAUGGAUCCUAUCUCGGAUUUCAUGGCUUCUAGCCAUUUGUCGGAAUCUGGGCCCGCCAUUGCUUCUUCAUAGUUUGAAGGUUCACCGUUGUCUAACAACAUGAUUUCCAGGACAGGGUUGCCAUACCACUCUGGUGUGGAACAUGUCCUCGUGGACCUACGAAGUUCAGUAGUAACUUGAUCCGAAGUACCUUGAUGAUCAUCAUUAACUUCCUCUCUAGUCAGUGCAGGCACCACAGGAACAUCUUCCUGAGCUGCGCUACUUUCCGGUUCAAGAGGUAGUACUUCAUCAAGUUCCACUUUCCUCCCGCUUACUUCUUUCGAGAGAAACUCUUUCUCCAGAAAGGACCCGUUCUUGGCAACAAAGAUCUUGCCUUCGGAUCUGAGGUAGAAGGUAUACCCAAUGGUUUCCUUAGGGUAUCCUAUGAAGACGCAUUUUUCCGACUUGGGUUUGAGCUUUUCAGGUUGAAGUUUCUUGACAUAAGCAUCGCAUCCCCAAACUUUUAGAAACGACAGCUUAGGUUUCUUCCCAAACCAUAAUUCAUACGGUGUCGUCUCAACGGAUUUCGACGGAGCCCUAUUUAAAGUGAAUGCGGCAGUCUCUAAAGCUUAGCCCCAAAAUGAGAGCGGUAGAUCGGUAAGAGACAUCAUAGAUCGCACCAUAUCCAAUAGAGUGCAAUUACGACGUUCGGACACACCAUUUCUCUGAGGUGUUCCAGGCGGCGUGAGUUGUGAAACUAUUCCACAUUUCCUUAAGUGUGUGCCAAAUUCGUGGCUCAAAUAUUCCCCUCCACGAUCUGAUCGUAAGAAUUUUAUUUUCCUGUCACGUUGAUUCUUAACCUCACUCUGAAAUUCCUUGAACUUUUCAAAGGUCUCAGACUUGUGUUUCAUUAGGUAGACAUACCCAUAUCUACUCAAGUCAUCAGUGAGAGUGAGAACAUAACGAUAGCCACCGCGAGCCUCAACACUCAUUGGACCGCAGACAUCAGUAUGUAUGAUUUCCAAUAAGUUGGUUGCUCGCUCCAUUGUUCCGGAGAACGGAGUCUUGGUCAUCUUACCCAUGAGGCACGGUUCGCACGUGUCGAAUGAUUCGUAAUCAAGAGACUCUAAAAGUCCAUCAGCAUGGAGCUUCUUCAUGCGCUUGACACCAAUGUGACCAAGACGGCAGUGCCACAAGUAUGUGGGACUAUCAUUAUCAACCUUACAUCUUUUGGUACUCACACUAUGAAUAUGUGUACCACUACGUUCGAGAUUCAUUAAGAAUAAACCAUUAACCAGCGGGGCAUGACCAUAAAACAUAUCUCUCAUAUAAAUAGAACAACCAUUAUUCUCGGAUUUAAAUGAGUAGCCAUCUCGAAUUAAACGAGAUCCUGAUACAAUGUUCAUGCUCAAAGCUGGCACUAAAUAACAAUUAUUGAGGUUUAAAACUAAUCCCGUAGGUCAAUGUAGAGGUAGCGUGCCGACGAUGAUCACAUCGACCUUGGAACCAUUCCCGACGCGCAUCGUCACCUCGUCCUUUGCCAGUCUCCGUUUAUUCCGCAGCUCCUGCUUUGAGUUACAAAUAUGAGCAACCGCACCGGUAUCAAAUACCCAGGAGCUACUACGAGUGCUGGUAAGGUACACAUCAAUAACAUGUAUAUCACAUAUACCUUUGGUGUUGCCGGCCUUCUUGUCCGCUAAGUACUUGGGGCAGUUCCGCUUCCAGUGACCAGUUCCCUUGCAAUAAAAGCACUCAGUCUCAGGCUUGGGUCCAUUCUUUGGCUUCUUCCCGGCAACUGGCUUACCGGGCGCGGCAACUCCCUUGCCGUCCUUCUUGAAGUUCUUCUUACCCUUGCCUUUCUUGAACUUAGUGGUUUUAUUCACCAUCAACACUUGAUGUUCCUUUUUUGAUCUCCACCUCCGCUGAUUUCAGCAUUGAAUAUACCUCAGGAAUGGUCUUUUCCAUCCCUUGCAUAUUUAAGUUCAUCACAAAGCUCUUGUAGCUCGGUGGAAGCGACUGAAGGAUUCUGUCAAUGACCGCGUCAUCCGGGAGAUUAACUCCCAGCUGAGUCAAGCGGUUGUGUAACCCAGACAUUUUGAGUAUGUGCUCACUGACAGAACUAUUUUCCUCCAUCUUACAACUGAAGAACUUGUCGGAGACUUCAUAUGUCUCGACCCGGGCAUGAGCUUGGAAAACCAUUUUCAGCUCUUCGAACAUCUCAUAUGCUCCGUGUUGCUCAAAACGCUUUUGGAGCCCCGGUUCUAAGUUGUAAAGCAUGCCGCGCUGAAUGAGGGAGUAAUCAUCAGCACGCUGCUGCCAAGCGUUCAUAACGUCUUGGUUCUCUGGGAUGGGUGCGUCACCUAGCGGUGCUUCUAGGACAUAAUCUUUCUUGGUAGCUAUGAGGAUGAUCCUCAGGUUCCGGACCCAGUCCGUAUAGUUGCUGCCAUCAUCUUUCAGCUUGGUUUUCUCUAGGAACGCGUUGAAGUUGAGGGCAACAUUAGCGUGGGCCAUUUGAUCUACAAGACAUAUUGUAAAGAUUUUAGACUAAGUUCAUGAUAAUUAAGUUCAUCUAAUCAAAUUAUUCAAUGAACUCCCACUCAGAUAGACAUCCCUCUAGUCAUCUAAGUGAAACAUGAUCCGAGUCAACUAGGCCGUGUCCGAUCAUCACGUGAGACGGACUAGUCAACAUCGGUGAACAUCUUCAUGUUGAUCGUAUCUUCUAUACGACUCAUGCUCGACCUUUCGGUCUUCCGUGUUCCGAGGCCAUGUCUGUACAUGCUAGGCUCAUCAAGUCAACCUAAGUGUAUUGCGUGUGUAAAUCUGGCUUACACCCGUUGUAUUCGAACGUUAGAAUCUAUCACACCCGAUUAUCACGUGGUGCUUCGAAACAACGAACCUUCGCAACGGUGCACAGUUAGGGGGAACACUUUCUUGAAAAUAUUGCGAGGGAUCAUCUUAUUUAAGCUACCGUCGUUCUAAGCAAAUAAGAUGUAAAACAUGAUAAACAUCACAUGCAAUCAAAUAGUGACAUGAUAUGGCCAAUAUCAUUUUGCUCCUUUUGAUCUCCAUCUUCGGGGCGCCAUGAUCAUCGUCGUCACCGGCAUGACACCAUGAUCUCCAUCAUCAUGAUCUCCAUCAUCGUGUCUUCAUGAAGUUGUCUCGUCAUUUAUUACUUCUACUACUAUGGCUAACGGUUUAGCAAUAAAGUAAAGUAAUUUAUAUGACGUUAUAUGUUGACACGCAGGUCAUAAAUAAAUUAAGACAACUCCUAUGGCUCCUGCCGGUUGUCAUGCUUAUCGAGAUGCAAGUCGUGAUUCCUAUUACAAGAACAUGAUCAAUCUCAUACAUCACAUAUAUCAUUCAUCACAUCCUUUUGGCCAUAUCACAUCACACGACAUAUGCUGCAAAAACAAGUUAGACGUCCUCUAAUUGUUGUUGCAAGUUUUUACGUGGCUGCUAUAGGUUUCUUAGCAAGAACGUUUCUUACCUACGCCAAAACCACAGCGUGAUAUGCCAAUUUCUAUUUACCCUUCAUCAGGACCCUUUUCAUCGAAUCUGAUCCGACUAAAGUGGGAGAGACAGACACCCGCUAGCCACCUUAUGCAACUAGUGCAUGUCAGUCGGUGGAACCUGUCUCACGUAAGCGUACGUGUAAGGUCGGUUCGGGCCGCUUCAUCCCACGAUGCCGCCGAAACAAGAUAAGACUAGUAGUGGCAAGAAAAUUGACAACAUCUACGCCCACAACAAGUUUGUGUUCUACUCGUGCAUAGAAACUACGCAUAGACCUAGCUCAUGAUGCCACUGUUGGAGAUCGUUGCAGAAAUUAAAAAAAUUCUACGCAUCACCAAGAACAAUCUAUGGAGUCUUCUAGCAACGAGAGGGAAAAGAGUGCAUCUACAUACCCUUGUAGAUCGUGAGCAGAAGCGUUCAAGUGAACGGGGUUGAUGGAGUCGUACUCGUCGUGAUCCAAAUCACCGAUGACCGAGCGCCGAACGGACGGCACCUCCGCGUUCAACACACGUACGGUUGGGGAAGACGUCUCCUCCUUCUUGAUCCAGCAAGGGGGAGGGAGAGGUUGAUAGAGAUCCAGCAGCACGACGGCGUGGUGGUGGAAGCAGCGGGGAUCUCGGCAGGGCUUCGCCAAGCUCAGCGAGAGGGAGAGGUGUCACGGGAGGGAGAGGGAGGCGCCAGGGGCUUGGGUGCGGCUGCCCUCCCUCCCCCCCUCUUUAUAUAGGGCCCCUGGGGGCGCGGCGGCCCUAGGAGAUCCAAUCUCCAAGGGGGGGGCGGCGGCCAAGGGGGUGGCUUGCCCCCCAAGCCAAGUGGGGCGCCCCCCACCCCUAGGGUUUCCAACCCUAGGCGCAGGGGGAGGCCCAAGGGGGGCGCACCAGCCCACCAGGGGCUGGUUCCCCUCCCACAUCAGCCCAUGGGGCCCUCCGGGAUAGGUGGCCCCACCCGGUGGACCCCCGGGACCCUUCCGGUGGUCCCGGUACAAUACCGGUGACUCCCGAAACUUUCCCGGUGGCCGAAACUGGACUUCCUAUAUACAAUUCUCCACCUUCGGACCAUUCCGGAACUCCUCGUGACGUCCGGGAUCUCAUCCGGGACUCCGAACAACUUUCGGAUUUCCGCAUACUAAUAUCUCUACAACCCUAGCGUCACCGAACCUUAAGUGUGUAGACCCUACGGGUUCGGGAGACAUGCAGACAUGACCGAGAUGACUCUCCGGUCAAUAACCAAAAGCGGGAUCUGGAUACCCAUGUUGGCUCCCACAUGUUCCACGAUGAUCUCAUCGGAUGAACCACGAUGUCGAGGAUUCAAUCAAUCCCGUAUACAAUUCCCUUUGUCAAUCGGUAUGUUACUUGCCCGAGAUUCGAUCGUCGGUAUCCCAAUACCUUGUUCAAUCUCGUUACCGGCAAGUCACUUUACUCGUACCGUAAUGCAUGAUCCCGUGACCAAACACCUGGUCACAUUGAGCUCAUUAUGAUGGUGCAUUACCGAGUGGGCCCAGAGAUACCUCUCCGUCAUACGGAGUGACAAAUCCCAGUGUCGAUUCGUGCCAACCCAACAGACACUUUCGGAGAUACCCGUAGUGCACCUUUAUAGCCACCCAGUUACGUUGUGACGUUUGGCACACCCAAAGCACUCCUAUGGUAUCCGGGAGUUGCACAAUCUCAUGAUCUAAGGAAAUGAUACUUGACAUUUGGAAAAGCUCUAGCAAACGAACUACACGAUCUUGUGCUAUGCUUAGGAUUGGGUCUUGUCCAUCACAUUAUUCUCCUAAUGAUGUGAUCCCGUUAUCAAUGACAUCCAAUGUCCAUAGUCAGGAAACCAUGACUAUCUGUUGAUCAACGAACUAGUCAACUAGAGGCUCACUAGGGACAUGUUGUGGUCUAUGUAUUCACACAUGUAUUACGAUUUCCGGAUAACACAAUUAUAGCAUGAACAAUAGACAAUUAUCAUGAACAAGGAAAUAUAAUAAUAACCAUUUUAUUAUUGCCUCUAGGGCAUAUUUCCAACAAUUCCCUCUUUCUAGUCCCACUCUUCUCCAACAGAGCUCCCUCACUGAGCGAGCAUUCAGCAUUCCUAGUAUGUUCCACUCAUUCUACGCCAAGCACCCAAUCACGGGAUCAGAAUCACACUCUAGAUCAUACCUUUCACGAAAGAAAAGGACAGGCAGCCACUGCUAAACCAAGAUCUCCAUCUCUUGACUCCGUCAAUCAAUCUUACCUUAUAGGGCAGAAAGGUAUAUUUACCAUACGAGAUGUGUGCACCUACUAAAGGGAAUAGAAAGAUCUUGGGCACAAAUACUCCACUUUUCACGAAAGACAUAGAUUCACCAAUGAUUGGUUGGACUAAAUACUACAUUUAUUUGCUCAGAAGAAGGAAAGUUGGCUGUGAGAAUGAUUUCUCGUACGUAGUCUUUCCUAGGACCAUUCCAACAGGAUGCUCAGAGGUGGGUGGACAAAAAGCUCAAAAGGCAUACUUCCUGCGCUUUCAGAGGAUCUAAAUCAGUCUUCAUCCUUUCGCUUUUCAAAGCCCCUCGCAAUAAAUAUGUAAAUUCGUUUCGCAGAAAUUCAGAGAUUUUCGAUCUCCUCGAAAUAAAAUGAGUUCGAUCAGCAACACCGGUCUCAGCAGCACCAGGAUAAAGACCUUCUUUUUACCCAUAACCUUUCUCUGCAGCAUUGGAACCAAGAUCGGGCUUGGCAUAGUUACGAGGUUCCCGUUCUAUUUAACUAACACUAACUGAAGCUAACCGGAAGCUUUCUUCUCAUGCGACUCUUGGAUCGAAAAGAGGCUGCUGGACUGGACCACGGCUGAAACUGCCAGGCACGGACUAAAAGCUUUUAUCAGGGAUUCCCGAGUCAAACGACUACCAUACAUAGCAUAGAGCUGGAAGCUGCACUAGUGUACAGAGAAGACUGGAUGUGAACACGGGCGGACAUUGGCUAUGUAUGGGGCACUCACUAAUCACUAUUAGCAGGAAAGAACUAGCAGAAAGAAAGAUGAACGCACUUUCACUCCUUGCUCUUCAGCACGUACUCACACGAGGGACUCUCAAAUCUCUAUUUCAGACCAUAAUCUUUCUAUCCCUUUACCGAAGUGAUUGAUAGCAGGGCUAAAAAAUCAUAGGGCUUCUUCUAUUUUUAGUGUGAACUCACUUCUAUUCUAUAUAAAGAUAGGGGCUUCAGUACUUGGCUGACCGCCCGGUGGAAGACCUGAUUCUACCACACAAGGGCAGCUUUCGUAAUCCAGGAUUAUUUUCCUCAUAUGUAAUUUCACCUCAAUGUGGAAAUGUCCGAUCUUAUUCCAAAAUAGAAGGUCUUCAUGAAGGUCUGUCUUGUUUCGGGAAUAUAGGUACCGAAGUUCAAUAGCGGUAGGUACCAAGGAGAAGACGAGUCAGGGCCGAUUGACAAGACUAGCUAGGCUGACCUUCCAGCCAUACUCCAUCCAAUAUCGAACGGAAGUGCUAAAGGUUUCAUGUGAUGCUGACCUCAAUGAACCAGACCUCGAGAAUUCGUUCAUCCCUUCGCUCCGAGGAUUGGUCGAGUACUUGGCCACAUGCAUGAGUAGGCCUGUUGCCGGGAUGUCCCAUUAAAAAGGCAGGUCCCAUAUUUGAAAUACAAAAAUAAGAUCAGAUAGCGCUCAAGAGGUUUUUCUCCAUACGAGAAAUCCUUCACUCGCAGGGAAUUCAAAUAGAUGUGUUGAAGAUCAUCAAAGAAAGGAGAAGACUAAGCAGCUCAAUAGGGUCUCGAGUACGACUGUAGUACCAAAGCUUGGUGCUUCUACCAGUCAAGCAAUUACCACGGGUGGAUAUUCAAUAGAAAGCCUACUUGAGUAGGUCAAACAACGGGGAUCUCUCAGUUCCAAUGGCUGGAUCUCAGAAUCACGUAGAUGGGUAGAAGUAAUGGGCAAACGCACCUAAGUUAGAGAUUUCCACUACUACGGUAGUGAUGGGGUGCCUGUUUACCUAAGUAGGCCUAGUUCUUUCUAUAAUGAGCAUUCGCGUCCGGGGACUUUGAUCCAACUUCAGCUGAUGGGGAAACGGCAAGGGAUGCACCGGUAUCUGGACACGUGAUGGACCCAGUAGUAAAUAUUCCUUUGUGGAAGGCUUUGGUUAUACCUGGGUGGCAAAGCGAAGUUUCUGGUGGGUAGGUGUCUAAAACAACCCUCUGCAAGGAAGCACGCCCGUAUCAAUCCUUUAAUCGGAGACUAGACUAGCGUUAGGAAGGACAAAGGAGACAGACAGAAUUUACAUCAGAAAAAAGGACUUUUUGAAGUUUGAGUGAGGAUAAUUGUCUUAAAUUUCAGAGAAUCGGCUGAAAAAACGCGGAAUUGUCUUCGCCUUUGUAAGCGAAAAUGUCCAGUAAAGCCUAUCUCGCUUUUAGCCUUCAUGGUGAAUGGCCCACCCUUUCUUUGAACCUUGUCAAUGAUCGAACGAACUUACAAAUAUGAACUGAGUGCCAUUUGAUGAGUAAGAUCGAACAAGGGAGAGGGAUAUGGAAAGGAUGAAGUAAUGAAAGAGGAAGUCAUUGCUAGUAGUAACGACUUGUCACGAUCCAUUGGUUCAUAUAGAAUCCAUGUCCUAGGUCUAUCAAAAAACAUUCUUUUCGCUAAGCGUAUAUAAUAAAAUAGAGUGAAAGGGUCCACCCCAAAACCAAGGGGGUACUAACUAAUAGCUGAGUCCUCUCCGAACCGCAGGAGAUAGUUGCCCAUCAUACGGCUCACCAACUUCACUUGCCUCUAAGGGGGGCCCGCUCCGGGCAGGUUCGGAUCACUUACUAUACACGGCCCUACGAAGGGGUUAGGAGCGUUUUCAAGAUGAUUCUUUCCUUGUCGAGACGAAAAAGGAACCCAUCUUUUCGAUUGAAAAAUGUGAGUCUGUUUUGCCCACUUUAUCCAUCCCCCUCUAUCAAAAUGAUCAAAAAGGCAUUUCAAAUGCUUCUUAUUCCCGUGUUUGAUCUUAUCCAUCUCUGCCCCGCUUCCAUGUGGGCAGAGACCCCUGUAGAGAAUGAAGAGGAGCCAAGGAUCUUACUCUCAAGAGUGCUUCGAUAGGCUCCACUCUCUCCCCUGAAUAAGUCAGGCUCCGUUAGCCUGGGCUGAGAUGGGGAUAACGAGUCGACAAUUGAAGCCCCCAAUGUUCUGCCAGACACUGGACAGGGGUAAGCUCUGUAAAUGUGUAGAGCCAAGUGUAGUGUGGUGUAGUAGUAGGCACUUCUAGGCCCCUUCCCGGCUUCUGGAUCACUCCAGUGCUUCGGGUACUACGGACCCUCUGCCAUGCAUUGCAGCAGAGCCGUUUCAUGAGNNNNNNNNNNNNNNNNNNNNNNNNNNNNNNNNNNNNNNNNNNNNNNNNNNNNNNNNNNNNNNNNNNNNNNNNNNNNNNNNNNNNNNNNNNNNNNNNNNNNNNNNNNNNNNNNNNNNNNNNNNNNNNNNNNNNNNNNNNNNNNNNNNNNNNNNNNNNNNNNNNNNNNNNNNNNNNNNNNNNNNNNNNNNNNNNNNNNNNNNNNNNNNNNNNNNNNNNNNNNNNNNNNNNNNNNNNNNNNNNNNNNNNNNNNNNNNNNNNNNNNNNNNNNNNNNNNNNNNNNNNNNNNNGGGGGGGCUAAGCGCAGUUCUUUGAAUCAAAGGUUUCAUGAAAUCGAAAUCGAUUCUUUUUUAGAUAUCUGGAUAGAUGGAUGGAUCUAUCUUUCUAUUCAGAUAUCUUUUGCAAUCAGCCCCAAAUCCUUGAUUUGGCCAGGAAACAAAGCACUGCUUUGGGCCCAGGAAGCGAAGGGAAUGAGCUCGGCUGCUUCUCCCCCACACUUCUUUAUUUCUCCAUGCCCCUUCCGCAUGCGCUUCGCGUGCCAUUGGCGCUUUUCUCUCCUCUUAUUUCUUCAUUGGAGGGUUUGGAUGGACUUCGCUGUUCUUUCCCAACGAAAAUGGAAAGGGCUGUAUCACAUCGAGAUGUCGAUUCGUUUUCCGCCCCAAAUGAGAUGGGGAAUUAGUCACCUCUGUCCCUUCAUCUUUUUGAAAGGAAUCGAGGCCCGUCCCGGCUCGUGUCGUUCCAACAACCGACGGGGAGCACCUCAGUAUACGAUCGCGCGCAGUAACUGGGAGUCCUAUUACACCUAAGGCCAACUUCCAUUCACCAAACCCAGGUUCAUCUCGUGUAGUGAUUGUGGACUCGUACAAGGAUAUGGAGUCGACGGUUGAUGUAUCAGACUCGACCCUGUCUUUCGUAGCAUGCAUUCCCAUCUGUGUUGCAACUGAUUCGGUAAGCUACGUGUCUCGUGCAUGGAAAACUGCCUUCGGUCUCCCAACCUUACUCAUGGCAACCUUCCGGCCGCCCAACGACCUAUAACGCUAGUCACUACUCCCACUAGGGCUAGGAAGUAAGCCCCACAACCCAAAGCGGCGAAGAACAAAUAGAAUUUGCUACAAAAGCCGGCUAACGGGGGUAUUCCUGCGUAUGAGAACAUUGUAAUGGAGAAGGUCAUAGCCGAAAUAGGAUUCGUUUUGGCUAGAGCGCCCAAAUCCGCUAUAUAUUUGACACGGGUUUGCCGUAAUGCUGGAACUAUGGCGAAUGCAUCUAUCGUCAUUGAUGCAUAAAUAAAUAUACCAAUUAGUAGUGAUUGAAUUCCUUCUAUGGUUCCACAUGAGAAACCAGUACGAAUAUAACCUACAUGUCCAAUCGAACUAUGAGCUAGAGGUCUUUUGACUUUCAUUUGGGCCAUGGCGGCCAGUGCUCCUAAGAUCAUAGAAGCAAUGCUGCAGAAAAAGAAGAUUUGUUGUAAUGUACCCCCAUAGGAAGCAACAAUAGAAACACGUGACAUAUUUGCAGAAAUAGAGAUUUUAGGCGCAAUAGAAAGGAAUGCUAUCACCGGGGUGGGUGAACCCUCAUAGAUAUCAGGUGCCCACAUAUAUAGAGUCAAAAGAGAGAUUGAGUCCGAGGGAGAGGGGGGGGGUUUCUUGGGGCUCAAGAGAUUGAAUAGAUAGGGCCCCACAAGUUGUUAAUUCGCCCCUGGGGAAUUCACACAAAAGGGAAGGACUUAUUCUCAACGAAAAAAGUGCUCUCUGAACCGAACGUGAAAGUUGUUUUCCAUCAGACGGCUGUUCAUGUAACUCCACUCUCGGCUUGGAUUAUAUAUCCAUUUGGUCCGCUCUCGGCCAUUCCACAUGCUGCCUAGCAGAGACAUGGUUAUCUGAAGUGGAUUCUCUCUGUUGUAGUAGAUGCCGAACCUGCUGCUCAGUGGGCUGGCGCAGCCGCUACAUGGACCCCUUUCUUUAUGUUGUUGCCAGCGCUUUCCCGGGCCGAGCCGGAAUUCUUUAUUAGAACGUCGGCAGGCAAAGCCCGAAGGAAGGCUGUUAUCCCCUCGGCCUUCUUCCUUUUCGAUGAAAAACAAAUCGACAUCUCAAUCUCCGAAAGCGUUUUCCUUACCCAGCUAAUAUCCCCCCUUCGUCGAGCCUUUCCUUUAGUGGUAAGGGAUAUGCACCUUAUCUGAACGUCGGCAGGCAUUCCGGAAUUCUCCUUUUUUGGCCUCGGGUGAACAUAGGCUCAAACAUGAUUGGAGGGGUCCUAGCUACGCCAUGCGUUCAAUAAAAAAAAGCAAGCCUCUGGGAAGCUGCAGGGAUUACAAAAAGAGGGUGCUUUCCUGUGUUGCACCAAAAAAAGGACAAAGGAGAAGACGCUCUUCGACUUUCUUUCUUCCUCCCGCGCCUGCCUAAGCCCGGCCCGCGUUAGAGGGGAAGAUUAGCAAAGCGGAAAAAGACAGAGGGAGGGGGAGCUGCAUCUUAUUCUCUUCGCGAGAACUUCAGGAUCGGAGAAGCAUUCGGAAGGGGCGAGGCCUUCAUUUCGUUGGCAGAAGCAGAAACGAUCCAAUCCAUUCAGGGCUUCGGGGAACCCAAAAACGAACUCUGUUUACUUUUUUCAUAGAUAGAUGAUAUAUAUAGGAAUAAUAUAUACAUCCCUUUACUUUAGAUGUCUAUGUAUCUAUUUUGGAAUCAUCUCCCGAUUCUCGUUUUUUUCUAAUUCGCACUGCUCUUUCUCUCUAAAUUGCAUCAAAUAAAAUAGAGAGAGAGAGCAGAUGGAUCCUAUCCCCUAUAACGAACACUCAUUCCUAUCUAUUGAUAGAAAAGAAAGAUCUUCGUCACGGACUUUUCCUUUGUUCUUUUUUUUAGAUUGGAGGAAUUCCUCAUAUCCAAGGCAGCUCCCCACAAACACCCCACCCAUAUGACUAUGCCCCCUUUUGAAUCGACAGUAGAUUGGGCUUCAUAGCUACUUUCAUUCUAAAGACGAAUAUUAGUCAAUAGGCGGGCUUCUUUCAGUAGCAAACAUAUUCAUUUUCACCGGGCUCCGCGCACCUUUGGUACUUCUGGAGGGCAAGCAGUUUUAUAGUGACUUCUUUCUUAGGGUAGGGCGACGAAUACUUCCAAUUCCGGAAAGGUCAUUGGGUCGCCUUUGGAAGCUAAAGCGAAAGUUGUAGAAAGCCGGGAGAAAAAGCGAAAGCUUGCUCGACACGGCCUGUACCCUAACCCUCGGAAGCGAAGACGCAAAGCGUCACUUUUUUCAAAAGGAAGGAGUUUUUUCUGACUGAAUCCAUCCAUAAAGCCGCCAAGGAAACGAAGUUCAUUCCCUUUCAUCAAGUGGGUAAGGUAGGCAAACCACUUAAGCUUUGCCUUAGACUGACGGAACAAAGCUAAGAAGUAGGCUGAAUGGAAAAAGGAAAGGGACAAGGGCGGUCAUCGCUUGGCGCGAAGGCUGCUGGUUCGGUACGGUACUAAAGGUCCUCGGACUUCCAGGCGGUUUUUCUUUUGGGCUGCUGUGAACCCUUGGAUCUCGCCAAUACAGCCUCCUAUGGUUUUCGUUACCGAGAUAUCUUUUCUUUUUUCCCAGGGUUUUUUGGGUAAUCAGCUCCCAUGCUGCAAACAGUCAAAUCUGAACCUUGUCGCUCUUCUUUCCUCGUGGGCAGGAAGCACACCAGCAGCGUGCGUUGCGUGAUUCCACUGUGUUUUUUGCACUUGACUGGGUGGACAGUUGACCGAAAGAUAACUUCGAUUUGCCCGGCCAGCAGGCGGGCGGCGUGCUUAUCUUGUGUGACAACACUACAGAGCGAGUAGCUCUUCUAGUCGGGCAGCUGUGUGACAACACUCCUGAGAAAGCGGCGCUUUUGUGUAACAUGCUAUGGUCUCAACGCCCUUACGAGGUAGUGAUGAGUUUCACGCGCUCUAAGACCGGCCCGCGUGCAGUGAGGAGGAUUGGCCGCUAUCUGAGCGGUACCACCCACCCUACCCUACUACCUAUAGGGGGUCGUCCGUCCUACAGCCGCCCGAAAAGGAACUGCAGUAAUCUUGAAUAGGAAUCCUACAGCGAUAAAAAGAAUCCCCAUAAAAAUACCACUAGAUCGAGCACCAGUGAUUUCGUAUCCGGUCAAAAUCUUGGCUAAUUGAUCGAAGUGGGUAGCUCCAGUAGACCCAUAGAUCAUGGAACAAAUAGGGUGGGUAGGCCCAACCACCACACUACACGUAUAGACGUGAACCCCCCCCCCCUCCUUACCGUACGUGCGACUCUCACCGCAUACGGCUCGCACAAAGACUCCAAAAUCCAUCCCGAGCUUUUUAUUCCACCUCUCCCUCCUCUCCAAUCCUUGAUCAAACUAGCCUUCCCCAGCAAGAAAACGUAUCCGUUUUAGCAACAAAGCGCUCAUCCCUUGCUUGUUCUUGAGCGCGCAAGGCGCUCAAGAUGGUGAUUCUUGCUUAAAAAAGGGCUAGAGCACUCCAGCUUCGAAGCUGGAGUUUGCAACUUCAAAACUACAGGUUUUAGCCCUCCUGCUGGGUGGGCGCUUCCUUCAUCUAUCGUAUGUCUCGCUUGGCUUCGUCUCGAACCAAGGAGGCAUGAUGGCGGGCGCGUGCAUGUGCCAACUGCAGAGACUACAAGCCGACGCCGGAAGCGACUCGCUUCUAUUCUCGAUUGGAUAUAGAUGGGGAAUCUCUAUAGAUCGUCUUUUUUCGACAACCUCUCUAAAACGCAUACGAGAAAAUUGCACUUCACGGCACGGCAAAAAAAGAGCUUCGCUCGGUUGGCCCUCCUAGGCUUCUGCCUACUUUCUCUUCUCUUAAGUCUACAACAAGUGGGAGAGGCAGGAUUCGAACCUACGUAGAAAACCUUCAACAGAUUUACAGUCUGUCGCUUUUGACCGCUCGGCCACUCUCCCCUUCCCGGGGAUACGCCCUCCUCAAACAAAGGGUUCCUGAAUAAGAAGGAUGGCGGCCUUCAUUCUUAAGUUAAGAAGAGCAGAUGGAACUAUUAGAUUUGCUCGCGUUCCGGGAGAAUAAAUAAGGUCAUUUAGUAAGUUCAUAACAAUUUAUGUAAAGCAAGGGGCAAAGAUUCUACGACAGCUUCCCCCUCAUUGCCAUCGUCGGCCUUCCCCAGCUCCCCUCCUUCGUCGCUUCUGGCUAAGCAUCUUUUGGCAGAGGAAAGGAGGCGACUAGUCGCUUCUGGCGAAGCAGCGAGUUCAUGAGCAAGUGAAUGAACGAGCAGCGAGUGAAGUGCAAUAGUCGUAAGUAAGGCUCGCCAUGUUCCUAAAAGGAGUGACCAUCUUUUCUUCCCUUCUACUGACACUGAGCGAGCAGCAAGCAUAGGCAAUAGUUUCCGUAGGGGUGGGGCGCAAGCAAGCGUUUUCAGGCUCCGCUAGCUAGCGUACUCUUCUGCUAUCAAUGAAACCGAAAGAAAAAAAUCAGUGCCCUUUCGUAUAGAUCGAGACGCAGUACUUUUUCUUUACUUCUUCCAUACUAGGAAGAAUGGAAGGAAAUCCUUCGAUAACACUUCUUUCUUAUUUGAAGAAAUGAUAUCCGACGCCCGUGGAAACUCUUUCAUUUCAAAAAAGUUCUUCUUCUUAAGAAGCAGAUAGCAUUUCCUAUUGAUUUGUCCCCUGGACUAGACCUAUGUAGAUUUGGAAUUAUCCGUCGCUACGCUGUUCCCAAGGACUAGCAAAAUCGAAAUAGCGAAAUUCUUGGGUCAUCUCAAUGGGUUCAGUGAAAGACGCUAACCGAAUAGUUAGAGAUGCCGCAAGCAAAGAUCAUAUAGCCUAAUUGACUGCAAGUUGAAUAAGCUAUGACCCUCUUUAGAUCGUUCUGUAAUAUUCCAGUGGUUGCCGCAAGGAAUGACGUCAUAUGCGCAUAGUGCUUGGUUUUUGAUGACUUGUAGAUUUUUGCAAUAAGUAUGUGCGUUCUUUAUGACUAAUGUUGAGUCCAUGGAUUAUACGCACUCUCACCUUCCAUCAUUGCUAGCCUCUUCGGUACCGUGCAUUGCCCUUUCUCACCUUGAGAGUUAGUGCAAACUUCGCCGGUGCAUCCAAACCCCGUGAUAUGAUACGCUCUAUAACACAUAAACCUCCUUAUAUCUUCCUCAAAACAGCCACCAUACCUACCUAUUAUGGCAUUUCCAUAGCCAUUCCGAGAUAUAUUGCCAUGCAACUUUCCACUGUUCCGUUUAUUAUGACACGCAUCAUCAUUGUCAUUGUCAUAUUGCCUUGCAUGAUCAUGUAGUUGACAUCGUAUUUGUGGCAAAGCCACCGUUCAUAAUUCUUUCAUACAUGUCACUCAUGAGUCAUUGCCCAUCCCGGUACACCGCCGGAGGCAUUCAUAUAGUCAUACUUUGUUCUAGUAUCGAGUUGUAAUCUUUGAGUUGUAAAUAAAUAGAAGUGUGAUGAUCAUCAUUAAUAGAGCAUUGUCCCCAAAAAAGGCCAAAAAAAGAAAGGCCAAAUAAAAAAAGAAAAAAAAAAGAAAAAAAGAGAAAUAAAAAGGGACAACGCUACUAUCCUUUUUCCACACUUGUGCUUCAAAGUAGCACCAUGAUCUUUAUGAUAGAGAGUUUCUUGUUUUGUCACUUUCACAUACAAGUGGGAAUUUUUCAUUAUAGAACUUGGCUUGUAUAUUCCAACAAUGGGCUUCCUCAAAUGCCCUAGGUCUUCGUGAGCAAGCAAGUUGGAUGCACACCCACUUAGUUUCUUUUGUUGAGCUUUCAUACAUUUAUAGCUCUAGUGCAUCCGUUGCAUGGCAAUUCCUACUCCUUGCAUUGACAUCAAUCGAUGGGCAUCUCCCUAGCCCGUUGAUUAGCCGCGUCGAUGUGAGACUUUCUCCUUUUUUGUCUUCUCCACAUAACCCCCAUCAUUAUAUUCUAUUCCACCCAUAGUGCUAUGUCCAUGGCUCACGCUCAUGUAUUGCGUGAAAGUUGAAAAAAGUUUGAGGUUACUAAAGUAUGAAACAAUUGCUUGGCUUGUCAUCGGGGUUGUGCAAGAUGAGAGCAUUCUUGUGUGACGAAAAUGGAGCAUGACCAAACUAUAUGAUUUUGUAGUGAACUUUCUUUAGCCAUGUUAUUUUGAGAGGACAUGAUUACUUUGUUAGUAUGCUUGAAGUAUUACUAUCUCUUAUGUCAAUAUGAACUUUUAUUUUGAAUCAUUUGGAUCUGAACAUUCAUGCCACAAUAAAGAAAAUUACAUUGAGAAAUAUGCUAGGUAGCAUUCCACAUCAAAAAUUCUGUUUUUAUCAUUUACCUACUCGAGGACGAGCAGGAAAUAAGCUUGGGGAUGCUUGAUACGUCUCCAACAUAUGUAUAAUCUUUGAUUGUUCCAUGCUAUUAUAUUACCUGUUUUGGAUGUUUAUGCGCUUUACUUUACACUUCUAUAUCAUUUUUGGGACUAACCUACUAACCGGAGGCCCAGCCCAAAUUGUUGUUUUCUUGCCUAUUUCAGUGUUUCGAAGAAAAGGAAUAUCAAACGGAGUCCAAACGGAAUGAAACCUUCGGGAGAGUUAUUUUUGGAACGGAAGCAAUCCAGGAGACUUAGAGUGUACGUCAGGGAAGCAACGAGGUGGCCACGAGGUAGGGAGGCGCGCCUGCCCCCUGGGCGUGCCCCCACCCUUGUGGGCCCCUCGUGGCUCCCCUGACCGACUUCUUUCGCCUAUAUAUAUCCAUAUACCCUAAAAACAUCGGGGAACAGAAUAGAUCGGGAGUUCCGCCGCCGCAAGCCUCUGUAGCCACCAAAAACCAAUCGGGACCCUGUUCCGGCACCCUGCCGGAGGGGGGAUCCCUCACGGUGGCCAUCUUCAUCAUCCCGGCGCUCUCCAUGACGAGGAGGGAGUAGUUCACCCUCGGGGCUGAGGGUAUGUACCAGUAGCUAUGUGUUUGAUCUCUCUCUCUCUCGUGUUCUUGAGGUGGUACGAUCUUGAUGUAUCGCGAGCUUUGCUAUUAUAGUUGGAUCUUAUGAUGUUUCUCCUCCUCUACUCUCUUGUAAUGGAUUGAGUUUUCCCUUUGAAGUUAUCUUAUUGGAUUGAGUCUUUAAGGAUUUGAGAACACUUGAUGUAUGUCUUGCAUGUGUUUAUCUAUGGUGACAAUGGGAUAUCACGUGAUUCUCUUGAUGUAUGUUUUGGUGAUCACCUUGCGGGUUCCGUGACCUCGUGAACUUAUGCAUUGGGGUUGGCACACGUUUUCGUCUUGACUCUCCGGUAGAAACUUUGGGGCACUCUUUGAAGUUCUUUGUGUUGGUUGAAUAGAUGAAUCUGAGAUUGUGUGAUGCAUAUCGUAUAAUCAUACCCACGGAUACGAGGUGACAUUGGAGUAUCUAGGUGACAUUAGGGUUUUGGUUGAUUUGUGUCUUAAGGUGUUAUUCUAGUAUGAAGUCUAUGAUAGAUUGAACGGAAAGAAUAGCUUCGUGUUAUUUUACUACGGACUCUUGAAUAGAUCGAUCAGAAAGGAUAACUUUGAGGUGGUUUCGUACCCUACAAUAAUCUCUUCGUUUGUUCUCCGCUAUUAGUGACUUUGGAGUGACUCUUUGUUGCAUGUUGAGGGAUAGUUAUAUAAUCCAAUUAUGUUAUUAUUGUUGAGAGAACUUGCACUAGUGAAAGUAUGAACCCUAGGCCUUGUUUCCUAAUAUUGCAAUAUCGUUUGUGCUCACUUUUAUCAUUAGUUACCUUGCUGUUUUUAUAUUUUUCAGAUUACAAAAACCUAUAUCUACCAUCCAUAUUGCACUUGUAUCACCAUCUCUUCGCCGAACUAGUGCACCUAUACAAUUUACCAUUGUAUUGGGUGUGUUGGGGACACAAGAGACUCUUUGUUAUUUGGUUGCAGGGUUGUUUGAGAGAGACCGUCUUCAUCCUACGCCUCCCACGGAUUGAUAAACCUUAGGUCAUCCACUUGAGGGAAAUUUGCUACUGUCCUACAAACCUCUGCACUUGGAGACCCAACAACAUCUACAAGAAGAAGGUUGUGUAGUAGACAUCAGCACACAAGGUGUUCCUCUGGUAUUCGGGAGUUGCAUAAUCUCAUAGUCUGAGGAACAUGUAUAAGUCAUGAAGAAAGCAGCAGCAAUGAAACUGUAACGAUCAUAAUGCUAAGCUAACGAAUGGGUCUUGUCCAUCACAUCAUUCUCCUAAUGAUGUGAUCCUUUUCAUCAAAUGACAACACAUGUCUAUGGUUAGGAAACAUAACCAUCUUUGAUAAACGAGCUAGUCAAGUAGAGGCAUACUAGGGACACUUUGUUUUGUCUAUGUAUUCACACAUGUACCAAGUUUCCAGUUAAUACAAUUCUAGCCUGAAUAAUAAACAUUUAUCAUGAAAUAAGGAAAUAAAUAAUAACUUUAUUAUUGCCUCUAGGGCAUAUUUCCUUCAGUCUCCCACUUGCACUAGAGUCAAUAAUCUAGUUCACAUCGCCAUGUGAUUUAACACCAAUAGUCACCAUGUGAUUAACACUCAUAGUUCACAUUGCCAUGUGACCAACACUCAAAGGGUUUACUAGAGUCAGUAAUCUUAGUUCACAUCGCCAUGUGAUUAACACCCAAAGAGUACUAAGGUGUGAUCAUGUUUUGCUUGUGAGAGAAGUUUAGUCAACGGGUCUGCCAUAUUCAGAUCCAUAUGUAUUUUGCAAGUUGCUAUGUCAACAAUGCUCUGCACGGAGCUACUCUAGCUAAUUGCUCCCACUUUCAAUAUGUAUCUAGAUCAAGACUUAGAGUCAUCCAGAUCGGUGUCAAAGCUUGCAUCGACGUAACUCUUUACGACGAACCUUUUGUCACCUCCAUAAUCGAGAAACAUAUCCUUAUUCCACUAAGGAUAAUUUUGACCGCUGUCCAGUGAUCUACUCCUAGAUCACUAUUAUACUCCCUUGCCAAACUCAAUGUAGGGUAUACAAUAGAUCUGGUACACAGCAUGGCAUACUUUAUAGAACCUAUGGUUGAGGCAUAGGGAAUGACUUUCAUUCUCUUUCUAUCUUCUGCCGUGGUCGGGCUUUGAGUCUUACUCAAUUUCACACCUUGCAAUACAGGCAAGAACUCCUUCUUUGACUAUUCCAUUUUGAACUACUUCAAAAAUUUGUCAAGUUAUGUACUCAUUGAAAAAACUUAUCAAGCGUCUUGAUCUAUCUCUAUAGAUCUUGAUGCUCAAUAUGUAAGCAGCUUCAUCGAGGUCUUUCUUUGAAACACUCCUUUCAAACACUCAUUUUAUGCUUUCCAGAAAAUUCUACAUCAUUUCCGAUCAACAAUAUGUAAUUCACAUAUACUUAUCAGAAAGGUUGUAGUGCUCCCAUUCACUUUCUUGUAAAUACAGGCUUCAUCGCAAGUCUGUAUAAAACUAUAUGCUUCGAUCAACUCAUCAAAGCAUAUAUUCCAACUCUGAGAUGCUUUGCACCAGUCCAUGGAUGGAUCGCUGGAGCUUGCACAUUUUGUUAGCACCUUUAGGAUAAACAAAACCUUCUGGUUGCAUCAUAUACAACUCUUCUUUAAGAAAUACAUUAAGGAAUGCAAUUCACAUCCAUUUGCCAGAUUUCAUAAAAUGUGGCAAUUUGCUAACAUGAUUCGGACAGACUUAAGCAUCGCUACGAGUGAGAAAAUCUCAUCGUAGUCAACACCUUGAACUUGUCGAAAACCUUUCGCGACAAGUCGAGCUUUGUAGAUAGUAACACUACCAUCAGCGUCCGUCUUCCUCUUGAAGAUCCAUUUAUUCUCAAUGGCUUGCCGAUCAUCGGGCAAUUCCACCAAAGUCCAUUUGUUUUCAUACAUGGAUCAUAUCUCAGAUUUCAUGGCCUUAAACCAUUUUGCGGAAUCUGGGCUCAUCAUCACUUCCUCAUAGUUCGUAGGUUCGUCAUGGUCUAGUAACAUGACUUGCAGAACCGGAUUACCAUACCACUCUGGUGCGGAACGUACUCUGGUUGACCUACGAGGUCGGUAGUAACUUGAUCUGAUGUUUCAUGAUCAUCAUCAUUAACUUCCUCACUAAUUGGUGUAGGCAUUACUGGAACUGAUUUAUGUGAUGAACUACUUUCCAAUUCGGGAGAAGGUACAAUUACCUCAUCAAGUUCUACUUUCCUCCCACUCACUUCUUUCGAGAGAAACUCCUUCUCUAGAAAGUAUCCAUUUUUAGCAACGAAUAUCUUGCCUUCGGAUCUGUGAUAGAAGGUGUACCCAACAGUUUCCUUUGGGUAUCCUAUGAAGACACAUUUCUCUGAUUUGGGUUCGAGCUUAUCAGGUUGAAACUUUUUCACAUAAGCAUCGCCGCCCCAAAAUUUAAGAAACGACAGCCUAGGUUUCUUGCCAAACCAGUUCAUAUGUUGUCGUCUCAAUGGAUUAGAUGGUGCCCUAUUUAAUGUGAAUGCAGUUGUCUCUAAUGCAUAACCCCAAAACGAUAGAGGUAAAUCAGUAAGAGACAUCAUAGAUCGCACCAUAUCUAAUAAAGUGUGGUUACGACGUUCGGACACACCAUUACGCUGUGGUGUUCCGGGUGGCGUGAGUUGCGAAACUAUUCCGCAUUGUUUCAAAUGAAGACCAAACUCGUAACUCAAAUAUUCUCCUCCACGAUCAGAUCGUAGAAACUUUAUUUUUCUUGUUACGAUGAUUUUCUACUUCAGUCUGAAAUUCUUUGAACUUUUCAAAUGUUUCAGACUUAUGUUUCAUUAAGUAGAUAUACCCAUAUCUGCUCAAAUCAUCUGUGAAGGUCAGAAAAUAACAAUACCCGCCGCGAGCCUCAACACUCAUCGGACCACAUACAUCAGUAUGUAUUAUUUCCAAUAAGUCAGUUGGUCGCUCCAUUGUUCCCGAGAAUGGAGUCUUAGUCAUCCUGCCCAUGAGGCAUGGUUCGCAAGCAUCAAGUGAUUCAUAAUCAAGUGAUUCCAAAAGCCCAUCAGCAUGGAGUUUCUUCAUGUGCUUUACACCAAUAUGACCUAAACGGCAGUGCCACAAAUAAGUUGCACUAUCAUUAUUAGCUUUGCAUCUUUUGGCUUCAAUAUUAUGAAUAUGUGUAUCACUAAGAUCGAGGUUCAAUAAACCAUUUAUAUUGAAUGUAUGACCAUAGAAGGUUUUAUUCAUAUAAAUAGAACAACAAUUAUUCUUUGACUUAAAUGAAUAACUGUAUUGCAAUAAACAUGAUCCAAUCAUAUUCAUGCUCAACGCAAACACCAAAUAACAUUUAUUUUAGGUUCAAUAUUAAUCCCGAAGGUAAAGGGAGUGUGCGAUGGUGAUCUUGUCAACCUUGGAAUCACUUCCAACACCCAUCAUCACCUUGCCCUUAACUAGUCUCUGUUUAUUUUGCAACUCCCGUUUCAAGUUACUAAUCUUAGCAACUGAACUAGUAUCAAAUACCGAGGGAUUGCUAUAAACACUAGUAAAGUACACAUCUGUCGGGGGAAACGACAUCUAUGGAAUCACUGGGAUCCCUUCUACGGUUGGCGGGCGCGGGGUUGUGCAAAGAGCGGGUCUGGUAGUUAGCACAAAGAUCGUUUUACCCAGGUUCGGGCCGCGAGGAUGCGUAAUACCCUAGUCCUGCUUUGGUGUAUAUAUUUGAGUGUUCUUGAACUCUAGAACUAGCUACGGUGCAUGUCUAGUCCAAAAGAUCCGAAUCCUUCUCCUGGACGCCUCGGGCCUCCUUUUAUAGUCAAAAGGGGUCGCCACAGUGGCACAUAGGAGGUGGAAAGGUGUACAGUGUACAAGCUUAUCGCCUGUCAUUACAGGACAAGACGCAUUAAAUGCACUCCUUAGGUGUCCCGUUGCUUUAUUGGGGACGGCAACGAGGCCCGUCCCGUUCGUCGCCGCUCCAUCUUGCUCUGACGCGCGUCCAGGCCAACGAGGCAUGCGGCGCCACGUAGGCUGGUAGGCUGCUGAGAUGGCGUGGUGGAAGGAUCUUCACAAAGAUCUGCAUGCCACCACGCAGGUGCUUGCUGAGUCGGUCUGGAAGCCGCACGUUGCCACGCAGGUGCCUGCCCAGCUGGUUGGGCUGGCAGCUGUAUGGGAACGGCGGUGGAGCCUUGGCAGAUGCGGGCAUGGCUGUGGCCCCGCGGGUGUCCUUGGCAAGGGUCUUGCCGUGGCAUCGCGCCUUGCCGGGGGUCUCAUGGAUUUCCUUGGCUAGGAUCUCGCCGAGGAUCGUUGUCUUUUGGUCCUCAUCUGAUCUUGUAUGUUUAUGAUCUUCACAAAGAUCUGCAUGCCACCACGGAGGUGCCUCCCGAGCCUUGGUUCCAAUGUGGUUGACGGUGUUGGAACCCUUGGGCUCAAGGGUGGCGCGCCCUACUGGUGUUGGGCAAGCUGCCCCGGCAAGGCUCUUGUCGGGGCUGCGGAGGCCGCUGAGGGAGUCCUGGAUUAGGGGGUCCUCGGACAGCCGGACUAUAUCCUUUGGCCGGACUAUUGGACUAUGAAGAUACAAGAUUGAAGACUCUGUCCCGUGUCCGGAUAGGACUCUCCUUGGCGUGGAAGGCAAGCUUGGCAAUACGGAUAUGUAGAUCUCCUCCCUUUAACCGACCCUGUGUAACCCUAGCCCCUCCAGUGUCUAUAUAAACCGGAGGGUUUUAGUCCGUAGGACAACAACAAUCAUACCAUAGGCUAGCUUCUAGGGUUUAGCCUCUACGAUCUCGUGGUAGAUCAACUGUUGUAAUACUCAUAUCAUUAAGAUCAAUCAAGCAGGAAGUAGGGUAUUACCUCCAUCGACAGGGCCCGAACCUGGGUAAACAUCAUGUCCCCCGCCUCCUGUUACCAUCCGCCUUAGACGCACAGUUCGGGACCCCCUACCCGAGAUCCGCCGGUUUUGACACCGACAUUGGUGCUUUCAUUGAGAAUUCCACUGUGUCGUCAUCAUAAGGCUGGAUGGCUCGUCUCGUUGUCAAGGACAACAUCACCUCUGGGGGAGUCCUGGCUGUAGGCCAAACUCUCCGACUAGGCGGCUUCGUCAUGACCGCCCGUUCGGCCAUUGCGCCGACGAUGACUUCUCGGGUCAUCGAAAAUAGCCUCCAUGUCGGCUCGGAAUUCGCCGAGCAGCUGGAUCCAAUGGAGCUCUCUUCCUUGAACGAGCUCUUGGAUCGCAUCGCCACCUUGGGAGUCGCUACAGACUAUAAUCAGAUCGGGCUUAAACCUGACCAAAGGGAGAUUAACUCUCCGUCAGUCACCCAUCAGAUAGCAGUGGUGGAGGAGCAAUGCAGCGAUUCUUCCUCUAUCUUGAGGACAAACUAUGUCCGGAUUCCCGAGCUCUCCGAGCCGAAUACCCGUCUACGGGAGGACAUGGCCCAAGCCUUGAACCUAGAAUCAGGCAGGGGGCCAGACCUAUUGGGCAACAUCCCGAAGCCCAAACUACCAAGCUCGGAAACUCCUCCACCCCUGGGUCUCAGAUCGGGUAAGGGUUCGGACCUAAAUCUACCCACCCACCCAGAUAUAAGUGAUCUUUCCCACAUUAGACAAGAGCCCCAAGAGACAGUACACCACUAUUGGGCCAGAUUCCUCCUUGUAAUGAGCAAGGUUAAGGACUGUCACGAGGAAGAUGCAAUUUCAUUCUUUUGCAAAAAUUGCACGGACAGGGGAAUCCUCAACGCCAUAAGUCGCCGUGACAUAGCACACUUCGCUGACUUGGCGGCCAUAGUACGGAAGUACUGUGCGAUGGAAAGCGCCUGGAAAACUCAAACAAAAUUUUGGGAUCCUCCGGCUCUCACUAAACCCCUCGUCCGAACUAAAAGGGUGUACUCUCGUAAGUCACCCGAUCCAAUUACAAAGAAACAAAAGCCCACUACAGGGCGUGGAACCGUAUUGGAGGGAUGGCUUAAUGGGCCAUGCAAAAUUCAUAGUACAGCGGAUACCAUGCCAACACACAGCCUUAGAGCAUGUUGGGUACUCCGGCAGGUGGCCAAGAGCGGUGAGGAUCUCCUCGUCAACAAUACCGCAGAGCACCAUCCCGUGGUAAACAACAAUACAGUAUUGACAGUCUUCGAGACCUUCGCCUCAAACAAUAGGCGCAAACGAGCACUCCGCAGCCUUGCCGAAGUCUGCCACGUGGCAGCAAUAAAUCCAUGGAGCAAUACGGCUAUCACCUUCAAUGCCAGUGAUGACCUAAAUUCCGAACAGCCCGAGCACCAGCCGCCUUGGUCCUUAGUCCAAUUGUGGACGGCUUCCGGCUUACUAAAGUGCUCAUGGACGGCGGCGGCGGAUUAAACCUCAUCUAUGAGGAGACUCUUCGAAAAAUGGAAAUAGACAAAAGCCGCAUUGAGCAAAGCAGCACGACCUUCGGAGGAAUCAUCCCUAGUCGGGAGACACGAUGUGCUGGGAAAAUCACACUAGAUGUGGUAUUCGGCACGCCGGAGAAUUACAGGUCCGAAGAAAUCACAUUCCAAGUGGCCCUGUUCAAUAGCGGAUACCACGCCCUUCUAAGGCGGGAGGCAUUCACGAUCUUCCAAGCUAUACCCCAUUACGGGUACAUGAAGCUCAAAAUGCCCGGGCCCAAUGGAAUUAUCACUCUAGCUAGUGAUCCGGACAUAGCACUCCGCGCCGAAAAUAAAACAGCUGCACUGGCCCUCGAGGCGUUAUCUGAAGCCCUCGCGGCCGAAGAAUUAACUGCGUUGCGCUCCACAGUGGAUAGGGACGACGUGAUACUUGAAAAAAGAUCCAAGUCCACCUCUUUUAAACCAGCGGAUGAAAUAGUCAAAUUCCAAGUCCAUCCAACGGACCCUGCCAAAACAGCAUCCAUCGGGGUACAGUUAAACCCCACAGUAGACGCCGCGCUACGGGAGUUCUUGCGCGUGAAUUGGGACAUCUUCGCCUGGCAUCCUUCAGACAUGCCAGGAAUCCUACGCAGGCUGGCCGAGCAUAGCCUUAACAUUCUAAAGGGAUUCAAGCCGGCAAGCAAACUCUUCAGCGCUUCUCUGAGCCUAAGCGACAAGCCUUGGGAGAGGAGCUAGCCAAGUUACUGGAGGCCGGAUUCAUUCGAGAAAUAAAACAUCCGGACUGGCUAGCAAACCUGGUGAUGGUACCAAAGAAGGACAAAUCGUGGCGCCCCAAGGAUCCCUUCCCCCUCCCUCGCAUCGAUCAAAUUAUCGACGCUACCGCAGGACACGACUCAUUGUGUUUCCUCGACGCAUACUCCGGAUACCAACAAAUUAAGAUGGCGGAGUCAGAUCAAGCCGCAACGGCAUUUAUCACUACAUACGGCCCCUUCUGUUUUAACACCAUGCCUUUCGGGCUCAAAAACGCCGGUGCAACCUAUCAACGCAUGAUUCAGACAUGCUUGGAGACACAGAUCAGCAAAACAGUGGAGGCAUACGUAGACGAUGUGGUCAUUAAAACCAGACACGUCGAAUCCUUAAUAGACGACUUGAGGCUCACGUUCGACAAUCUCCGAACAUACGACAUCAAGCUCAAUCCGGAAAAAUGCGUCUUCGGCGUGCCCGCCGGAAAGCUCUUAGGCUUCAUCAUCUCUAAUAGAGUAAUUGAAGCAAACCCGGCUAAAAUCCGAGCUCUGUCACAGUUGGCUAUCCCAACAGACCUCAAGCAAAUCCAGAAACUAACUGGAUGUGUGGCUGCCUUAAGCCGCUUUAUCUCCCAAUUAGGAGAAAAGGCACUACCUCUUUAUCGCCUUCUUCUACGCACCGAACACUUCGAGUGGACGGAUGCGGCCACGACCGGAUUAGAGGAAAAAAAACCCGUUUUGGCCACAAACCCAAUCUUGGCUGCGCCAAAUGUCGGCGAACCAGUGUUGUUAUAUAUAGCGGCAACACACCAAGUUGUAAGCGCAGUGCUCGUCGUCGAACGAGAGACGGAAAUCACGAUAUACUAUGUAUACGCUGGUAUACUAUGUAUCCACUGUCCUCACUCCAUGCAAAUCACGAUACCCACAUUAUCAAAAGAUAGCAUACGCGGUCUUCAUGGCAUCCCGGAAACUACGACACUACUUUCAAGAGAGUUCAAUUACGGUGGCCUCUGAAGUACCACUCAAUGACAUAAUAAACAACCGCGAGGCCAUGGGCCGGAUUGCUAAAUGGGCUAUUGAGCUCCUCUCGUUCGACAUAAUAUACAAACCACGGCGAGCCAUUAAGUCACAAGUACUGGCUGAUUUCGUCGCCGAAUGGACAGAAGCCGAACUCCCUAAAGAGUACGGCGCGUACUCCAAUUGGAUCAUGCACUUUGACGGCUCUAAAAUGCUGGCUGGUCUGGGGGCUGGCGUCGUCCUGACAUCUCCCACCAGAGAUACAGUCCAAUACGUACUCCAAAUAUUAUACACAGACUCCAACAACGCAACAGAAUAUGAGGCCCUGUUACAUGGUCUUCGGAUGGCAGUUUCCAUGGGCAUUCAACGCCUGGAGGUGCGUGGCGACUCGAACCUCGCAAUAUCUCAAAUAAAUGGAGACUUUGAUGCCAAGGAUCCAAAAAUGGCCGCUUAUCACAACGCCGUCCUCAAAAUGUCAGCUCGGUUCGAGGGGCUCGAAUUCCACCAUGUGGUCAGGGAAAACAACCAGACGGCGGAUAUCCUCGCCCGCAUCGGCGCUAAGCGCGAUCCUGUCCCGCCUAAUAUCUUCUUGGAAAGGCUGUUUAAGCCAUCUGUGGUAUGGGAAGGAGAGACCGGUAACAAUAGUCCGGACCCGGCCACAACACCAGACACCGAACACUCUGACGUAAUCGGAGGCUUUGCCACCGAAAUAACACCUUCGGCCCACGUGAUUAUGGCUGUCAUUGCCCCGUGGACAGAACCCUUCUAGGCUUACCUAACUAGGCAGGAACUACCUGAGGACCCAAACGAGGCACGUUGCAUUGUGCGACAGUCUAAAGCCUACAAGGUCCACGAGGGAGAGCUUUAUAAGAAAAGCCCUACCGGAGUCCUUCAAAGGUGCAUCUCAGAAGAGGAAGGACGGAAACUUUUGGCAGAAAUUCAUGCUGGACUUGGCGGCCACCACGCCGCAGCACGGGCCCUUGUAAGCAAGGCCUGCCAUACAGGUUUUUAUUAGCCGACAGCCCGGGCAGACGCACAGGACCUCGUUCAACGUUGCGUCGGUUGCCAGCUUUUCGCAAACCAAAGCCAUAUGCCACCUACCGCUCUCCAAACAAUCCCCAUCACUUGGCCCUUUGCAGUCUGGGGGCUUGAUAUGGUCGGACCCCUUAAAGGGGGAAGCCAUAAGAAAAAAUACCUAUUGGUCAUGGUGGACAAAUUCACCAAAUGGAUAGAAGCCAAACCAGUUAAAACGGCCGAAUCCGGACCAGUGAUAGACUUCAUAUCCGGGGUUGUACACCGUUAUGGCGUUCCCCACAGCAUCAUCACGGAUAACGGCUCGAACUUUACAGCCGACGAGGUAAAACUUUGGUGCAGCAAAAUGGGCAUCAAGCUCGAUUAUGCUUCUGUCUAUCACCCGCAAACUAACGGUCAAGUCGAGCGAGCAAAUGGUCUUAUCAUGAGCAGCAUUAAACCCAGAUUAGUGCGAUCCUAGAAGGAAUCAGAUACGCACUGGGUAGAGGAGCUCGACUCCGUACUAUGGGGGCUGCGGACCACGCCGAACCGCACUACCGAAUACACACCGUUUUUUAUGGUGUACGGCGCAGAGGCGGUACUGCCCUGCGACAUAAUUCAUGACUCACCUCAAGUGCGCAUGUAUGAAGAGAAAGAGCCAAGCUUGAUCGGCAGGACAGUUUGGACACCCUGGAGGAGGAGUGUGACGUGGCAAAAGCCCGUUCCGCAUUUUAUCAGCAAAAGGCUCGUAGGUAUCAAAGUAGCGAAGUACAGGCCAAAACUUAUAACGUCGGCGAACUCGUUCUAUGCCUACCGGAGAAGAAAAAGAACAAGCUCAAGCCCAAAUGGGAAGGUCCCUUCGUUAUUGACCAAGUUCUAACCGGUGGAGCGUACCGUCUGCGGGAUGCAUCGGACAAUCGACUCGAGCCAAACCCAUGGAACGCAGCCAGACUCCGAAGGUUCGACGCCUAGUGCCGGACUCUAUGUUCGUCUCCUUACCCCCGUCAAUUUUUUAUAUAUCCGUUAUCUGUCUUUUCUUUCUUUAUUUCUUCCCUUUUUCUUAAAGGCCUUAAAAGGCUAAAAUGUGUCUUGACUACACAAUCUUGACGCGCUAGGCGUGCUCAUUAUACCUGGGGGCUUCUUAUACAGAAGCUUAAUAUAGCUAUGUUUCGGGCUCUAUGCCCUCCGCACAUGUGUUACUCUUCCACAUGUACCCCUUUUUCGCCAUUAUAUGCAUCGAUAUGACUUAAGUUUUGGCCAAGCUGGGUUGCCUGGCUCUUGCGUUUAUGCCCUACGUUCCCGUUAAUUCGGCUAGGGCAUAAGGGGAGCACCUCUGCGAUUGUUACUGCUGGGUCAGCCGGAUGUGUACCUCAGACUGGGUGAAGCCAAAAGCUAGCGUUCUUAAGGGAAUAUUCGGUCGGUGAACAAAAGAUGACAUUUAUUUAUUGUAAUACAUGCCCCCAGAUGUUUAUAUCCUACGUCUCUUUUCGCAGUUCGGACAUGCACAUUAAUGCAUGCGUACCCAGGGAAAGGAACCCUUAACGGAACAAUUCUCCCUGGAAGAUGUUUCUUACUAUCCAUGUAAUAUAACAUAGCUAGUUGGGUACUUGUCUGUUCAAGCACUUAUGACCCCUACGCCUGGUUUCCACGCGUACCCCGGCUUUUACAUAACUGAGCGGGUAUUCGGAUACACUCCGGACUGUCGGGUCCAGAGGUCGAAGCGAAAAGGUCUGCCAUGACAAAUGAUUUACAAUCCGGCUAGGGACAAUACAUGUCACUUGAAGUACACAAUCACUUAGACUGACUAAAUUCUUCUUCUAUACCAUCCAACAGGCUGUCUAGCCUACAAUCCUGUUGGGAAUACUUUGCAGCUAAUUCUACUUGAUCAUACACCAAACUGACGGGGAUCUCUUUCCCAUCGGACCCACAGGUCCGACCUCGGCCAUGUGGUUCGGGUCAGCCUUGGUAUAUCGCGUCUUCACCAUGGCCCAGGCUUCCCUUGCACCUUGUCGGCAGGCUGAUAUCUUCCAUAAUCGGAAGCGCCGCCGCGCUCCCUUGAGCUUCUUUACAAGCUCCCCCAUGCCUCCUGGCAGGGAGGCGGAUGGCUACAGGGCUUGGGCAAUGCCCUGCAUCACCUGCCGAACUUGUUCGUGCAGUUGUGCGAGCUCUGGCAGAAGAUCACCCGCAGACCCGGGCAUCUCCUCCGCGGGAUGACCCGUCAGCAUACCUACAGACAUAACUCUGUUAGCCGGUUUCUUCGCCGAACUCUUUAAAAGUUCAUUCAAGCACUUACUGAAAAUGCCGCGUCGAAGCCUCUUAUUCUCCUUUACGGAAUCAGCAAGCUGGGCUCGAACAUCUUUCAUUUCAAUGCCCAGCCGGGUAUUGGCGUCUUGGAGAUCGUUUUUCUCCCGCCUAACCCGUGUAAGAACGCGCUCGCCAGCCUUUAGCUAUCGUUGAGCAUGUUGCUCAUCCCCUCGCACGACCUCCGGAUUCACUCCGGAGUCAUCUGCAGAAUCUAUUGUUAGAUUUGCAUGUAUGCCGCAUACUACCUGGUACAAGUCUUCCUUUGCAAUAGAAAUAAGUGUUACCAGAUGGGGCCUUCUCGGACUCCUUCACUGCGGCAACUGCGGCCUGAAGCUGGGCUUUGCACUCCUCCAGCUCUUGAGACAACCGGGUAUUCUUCUCCGUAAGAACCUAUGCAAACAAUGAUCCUUAAAUCAGUUGUGCCAACUGUUUCAAGUCUCAGGGGCUACUGAUAUACAUAAUUAUUAGAUUUUCUUACCUGUAUAUCCUUCACAUACUGGUCUGUGGCUUUGGCAAGACCAUUUUGAGCAGCUCGGAUGUACGUGUCUCCUGAGUUAAACGCAUUGAACGCCUCUUGGGAGAAACAAGCAUCACGGAGUACGGCCCGGCGACGCCUGUGAUUCAUGGCACUCUCCACUUCGGAAUUCGUAGCGGACAGCCUAUCUGCAUCCUCUGUAGGAGGAACAUCCGGUGUUGGCCCCAUGUUAGCAUCCGCCUCUAAGUCCGGCUCUGGAGCCCGGCUGGUGGAAGCGUGGCCGGCAACCUCUCCGGAUAUAGUCCGGCGAGCGUUUUUCCUACUAGGAAACAUGGACGUUAUUAUAUUUUAAAAGACGACAACCACAGAGCGGGGUUCUUUUUCAUACCUCUGCGACGGCGUCUCAGUCCUGACCGCCUUCCUUUUAAGCCUACCCGGCUUCGGUGCCCCUUGUUGGUGAGUCACUGCGGGUUCGGCAUGGCGUCCCGAGGGCCUUCCCUGUAAGACACCAUAUGUGUGCGGUAGGUGAAGUGCAGAAAAAGGGAUCCUUCUCAGAAGUUGGGACUCCGGUUUUACUUACAUGUGAUGCAGGGAGUAGUCUAGGAUAAUCGGCUAUGAUGGCCACCAUGGCAUCGUCGCAGCUCAAUUGAUAGAACGUCCUGUCAAUAAGCUCCACAAAUGUGUCCGGAUCCUCUUCGAGUCCGGGGUCGAGGGCCCGGUCAGGGUCCUCUGGUUGUGGAGGCGGGCUGUGGACCUCCCUCACGGCUUUUCGCAGUUCCUGCUAUGAAAUAGCAAGGUAAAUAUUUAUCACAAAGAAUGCGGGAAGGUCUGGAGUAAAAAAGCAGCUCAUCCAGUUCGGGGGGUUGUACAUGGAGAAUCCAUCCCGUGGCUUGAUACGGAUGAACUCCUCUUCCUCUCCUUUAUAUAAAUCGGACAGUAUUUUCGCUAGAGCAUCGACGGAGUCCGGACCUUUACGACCGCAGCGGGUGGCAUCGUCUUCUCCAUUGAAGUGCCACAUGGGAUGUCCCCGAUAUUAAAGUGGCUGCACCCCCCGCAUUAUACAUAUUGACAUAACCUCGAUUAUUGUCAAUCCUGAUUUGGCCAGCGUUUGUAUCUGGCCCAUCAGGUAAAGGACCCCUCUGUUAUCUUCCUCCUGGGGGCUCCGAGGGCGCCAGCUGCGGCGUUUCUUCAAAGGGGCGUUAUUAAACUCAGGGAGGCCCAUUCGAACAGGGUCCGAAAGGGGGACGUCCUCCAUAUAAAACCACUCCGAAGGCCAGUCUUUGGAUGUCUUCUUCGGAGUACCAGACAGGUAUCCGGUCCCGGCGAUGCGCCAUAUCUCGGCUCCGCCCACUUGAUAUAUCGACCCCUCCUGUGUACGGGGUACGAGGCAGAAUAGCCUCUUCCAUAGCUCGAAAUGAGCUUCACAGCCCAGAAACAGCUCGCAAAGGGCGACAUAGCCAGCGAUGUGUAAUAUGGAGGCGGGAGUAAAGUUAUGCAGCUGGAGGCUGUAGCACUCCAGGAGCCCGCGGAGGAACGGAUGGAUUGGAAAUCCAAGUCCCCUUAACAAGUACGGGACAAGGCAUACCCGCUCCCCCAUCGACGGGUCGGGAAAGCUCUUUGCUUGUUCCCCGCCAUUGUAAGUGGCUAGUCCAGCUCGGACGGGGACCAUAUACGCAGGAGGAAGAAACCCCUGGGUCUGUAACUCUACCAACUGUCUAUAGGAAACGGAACACUUCUUCCAGUUGCCUGGCUUAGGGCUACGGGAGCGAGAGGAGGAGCUACGACGACCGGCCAUGAUAGGAUGGAUUUUUUCGGGCACGCUCCGAUGGAUACUCGCUGAGGGAGGAUGGUGUGAUCUGGAUCUGAGGAUCCCCGAUCCCUUAAAUAGACGAUUUACUCACAUGGUUAGGGUGGCAAGUGUAAAAAUGCCCCGACUUCUCGCAUUCGCUCGACACGUGGAGGAUAGCCAUUAUUGGGCGUAGAAGCCGAAGAAUGCAAACAUUUAUGGGAAGCCGGACACUACUCGACAGGUACUCAGGACUUGGAGAAGAACCCGCCUUGCAAUGCCGAAGACAAUCUGCGCGCCGGACUCAUCGUCAUUGAAGCCUGGUUCGGGGGCUACUGAGGGAGUCCUAGAUUAGGGGGUCCUCGGAUAGCCGGACUAUAUCCUUUGGCCGGACUGUUGGACUAUGAAGAUACAAGAUUGAAGACUCCGUCCCGUGUCCGGAUAGGACUCUCCUUGGCGUGGAAGGCAAGCUUGGCAAUACGGAUAUGUAGAUCUCCUCCCUUGUAACCGACUCUGUGUAACCCUAGCCCCUCCGGUGUCUAUAUAAACCAGAGGGUUUUAGUCCGUAGGACAACAACAAUCAUACCAUAGGCUAGCUUCUAGGGUUUAGCCUCUACGAUCUCGUGGUAGGUCAACUCUUGUAAUACUCAUAUCAUCAAGAUCAAUCAAGCAGGAAGUAGGGUAUUACCUCCAUCGAGAGGGCCCGAACCUGGGUAAACAUCGUGUCCCCCCGCCUCCCGUUACCAUCCGCCUUAGACGCACAAUUCGGGACCCCCUACCCGAGAUCCGCCGGUUUUGACACUGACAGCCGCCCCGGCAAGGGCCUUGCCGGGGGGAGUCCACCUCGCCCUCUUGAUCUUUGCGUCUCUGGUCUUGGCGUUGCUUUGUUCGUCUUGUGCUUCUGGUUCCUCCCUUUGCUCUGCUAAGUGUGGCCGCAGGUGCGGCUCUGACUGCCCGUGCACAAGUAGAGGGGUAAAAAGGAGAGCCCCUACUUUUGUACACCGACAACAUCAAUAACAUGUAUAUCAAAUAUACCUUUGUUCACUUUGCCAUCCUUCUUAUCCGCCAAGUAUCUAGGGCAGUUCCACUUCCAGUGACCAUUUCCUUUGCAGUAGAAACACUCAGUUUCAGGCUUGGGUCUAGCUUUGGGCUUCUUCAUGGGAGUGGCAACUUGCUUGCCAUUCUUCUUGAAAUUCCCUUUCUUUGCCUUGCCCUUUUACUUGAAACUAGUGGUCUUGUCAACCAUCAACACUUGAUGCUUUUUCUUGAUUUCUACCUUUGCUGAUUUCAUCAUCGCGAAGAGCUUUGGGAAUCGAUUCCGUUAUCCCUUGCAUAUUAUAGUUCAUCACGAAGUUCUAGUAACUUGGUGAUAGUGACUAGAGAACUCUGUCCAUCACUAUCUUAUCGGGAAGAUUAACUCCCACUUGAUUCAAGUGAUUGUAGUACUCAGACAUUCUGAGCACAUGCUCACUCGUUGAGCUAUUCUCCUCCAUCUUGUAGGCAAAGUACUGUCAGAGGUCUCAUACCUCUCGACAUGGGCAUGAGUAUGAAAUACCAAUUUCAACUCUUGGAACAUCUUAUAUGCUCCAUGGCGUUCAAAACAUUUCUGAAGUCCCGGUUCUAAGCCGUAAAGCAUGGUGCACUAAACUAUCAAGUAGUCAUCAUACUGAGCUUUGUCAAACGUUCAUAACGUCCGCAUCUCCUCCUGCAAUAGGUCUGUCACCUAGCGGUGCAUCAAGGACAUAAUUCUUCUGUGCAGCAAUGAGGAUAAUCCUCAGAUCAUGGACCAAGUCCGCAUCAUUGCUACUAUCAUCUUUCAACUUAUUUUUCUCUAGGAACAUAUCAAAAAUAAAUGGGGAGCUACAUCGCGAGCUAUUGUCUAUAACAUAGUUAUGCAAAUACUAUCAGGACUAAGUUCAUGAUAAAUUAAAGUUCAAUUAAUCAUAUUACUUAAGAACUCCCACUUAGAUAGACAUCCCUCGAGUCAUCUAAAUGAUCACGUGAUCCAAAUCAACUAAACCAUGUCCGAUCAUCACGUGAGAUGGAGUAGUUUUCAAUGGUGAAUAUCACGAUGUUGAUCAUAUCUACUAUAUGAUUCACGUUCGACCUUUCGGUCUCCAGUGUUCCGAGGCCAUAUCUGCAUAUGCUAGGCUCGUCAAGUUUAACCCGAGUAUUCUGCGUGUGCAAAACUGGCUUGCACCCGUUGUAUGUGAACGUAGAGCUUAUCACACCCGAUCAUCACGUGGUGUCUCGGCACGACAAACUUUCGCAACGGUGCAUACUCAGGGAGAACACUUGUACCUUGAAAUUUAGUGAGAGAUCAUCUUAUAAUGCUACCGUCGAACUAAGCAAAAUAAGAUGCAUAAAGGAUAAACAUCACAUGCAAUCAAUAUAAGUGAUAUGAUAUGGCCAUCAUCAUCUUGUGCCUUUGAUCUCCAUCUCCAAAGCACCGUCAUGAUCACCAUCGUCACCGGCUUGACACCUUGAUCACCAUCGAAGCAUCGUUGUCGUCUCGCCAACUAUUGCUUCUACGACUAUCGCUACCGCUUAGUGAUAAAGUAAAGCAAUUACAUGGCGAUUGCAUUUCAUACAAUAAAGCGACAACCAUAUGGCUCCUGCCAGUUGCCGAUAACUACGUUACAAAACAUGAUCAUCUCAUACAAUAAAAUUUAGCAUCAUGUCUUGACCAUAUCACAUCACAACAUGCCCUGCAAAAACAAGUUAGACGUCCUCUACUUUGUUGUUGCAAGUUUUACGUGGCUGCAACGGGCUGAACAAGAACCGUUCUUACCUAUGCAUCAAAACCACAACGAUUUUUCGUCAAGUAUGUGUUGUUUUAACCUUCAACAAGGACCGGGCGUAGCCACACUCGAUUCAACUAAAGUUAGAGAAACUGACACCCGCCAACCACCUGUGUGCAAAGCACGUCGGUAGAACUAGUCUCGCGUAAGCAUACGCGUAAUGUCGGUCCGGGCCGCUUCAUCCAACAAUACCGCCGAAUCAAAGUAUGACAUGCUGGUAAGCAGUAUGACUAUUAUCGCCCACAACUCACUUGUGUUCUACUCGUGCAUAUAACAUCUGCGCAUAGACCUGGCUCGGAUGCCACUGUUGGGGAACGUAGUAAUUUCAAAAAAUUCCUACGCACACGCAAGAUCAUGGUGAUGCAUAGCAACGAGAGGAGAGAGUGUUGUCCACGUACCCUCAUAGACCGUAAGCGGAAGCGCUAUGACAACGCGGUUGAUGUAGUCGUACGUCUUCACGAUCGACCGAUCCUAGUACCGAAAGUACGGCACCUCCGCGAUCUGCACACGUUCGGCUCGGUGACAUCCCACGAACUCACGAUCCAGCAGAGUGUCGAGGGAGAGCUUCGACAGCACGAUGGCGUGAUGACGGUGAUGAUGAAGCUACCGGCGCAGGGCUUCGCCUAAGCACUGCAACGAUAUGACCAAGGUGGAUUAUGGUGGAGGGGGGCACCGCACACGGCUAAGAGAUCAAUGAUCAACUUGUGUGUCUAUGGGGUUCCCCCUGGCCACGUAUAUAAAGGAUGGAGGGAGGAGGAGGCCGACCCUCAUAGGGCGCGCCCAAAGUGUGGAGUCCUACUAGGACUCCCUAGUCCUAGUAGGAUUCCACCUCCCACAUGGAAUAGGAAAAAAGGAAGGGAGAAGGAGAAGGAAGGAAGGGGGUGCCCCCUUUCGCUAGUCCAAUUCGGACCAGUCCAUGGGGAAGGGGCGCGGCCACCCUUGAGGCCUUUCUCUCCUUUCCCGUAUGGCCCAUUAAGGCCCAAUACGAAUUCCCGUAACUCUCCGGUACUCCGAAAAAUACCCGAAUCACUCGGAACCUUUCUGAUUUCCGAAUAUAUCCUUCCAAUAUAUCAAUCUUUAUGUCUCAUCCAUUUCGAGACUCCUCGUCAUGUCCCCGAUCUCAUCCGGGACUCCGAACAAACUUCGGUCAUCAAAUCACAUAACUCAUAAUACAAAUCGUCACAGAACGUUAAGCGUGCGGACCCUACGGGUUCGAGAACUAUGUAGACAUGACCAAGACUCAUCUUCGGUCAAUAACCAAUAGCGGAACCUGGAUGCUCAUAUUGGUUCCUACAUAUUCUACGAAGAUCUUUAUCGGUCAAACCGCAUAACAACAUACGUUGUUCCCUUUGUCAUCGGUAUGUUACUUUCCCGAGAUUCGAUCGUCGGUAUCUCAAUACCUAGUUCAAUCUCGUUACCGGCAAGUCUCUUUACUUGUUCCGUAAUGCAUCAUCCCGCAACUAACUCAUUAGUCACAAUGCUUGCAAGGCUUAUAGUGAUGUGCAUUACCGAGAGGGCCCAGAGAUACCUCUCCGAUACACGGAGUGACAAAUCCUAAUCUCGAUCUAUGCCAACUCAACAAACACCAUCGGAUACACCUGUAGAGCAUCUUUAUAAUCACCCAGUUAAGUUGUGACGUUUGAUAGCACACAAGGUGUUCCUCCGGUAUUCGGGAGUUGCAUAAUCUCAUAGUCUGAGGAACAUGUAUAAGUCAUGAAGAAAGCAGUAGCAAUGAAACUGUAACGAUCAUAAUGCUAAGCUAACGAAUGGGUCUUGUCCAUCACAUCAUUCUCCUAUUGAUGUGAUCUCGUUCAUCAAAUGACAACACAUGUCUAUGGUUAGGAAACAUAACCAUCUUUGAUAAACGAGCUAGUCAAGUAAAGGCAUACUAGGGACACUUUGUUUUUUCUAUGUAUUCACACAUGUACCAAGUUUCCGGUUAAUACAAUUCUAGCAUGAAUAAUAAACAUUUAUCAUGAAAUAAGGAAAUAAAUAAUAACUUUAUUAUUGCCUCUAGGGCAUAUUUCCUUCAAAUAGGUCUCUGUAAAAGUCGUCUACAUGGGCCCGGAUGUCCUCUGGCUGCUGCAGGAGGGUCUCUCCAUCCCAUAGGAGAGGGAUGGAAUUACGUCGUCGCCGACCGUUGACGAUGGCCUGGAAGUAGGCAGUAUUGGCGCCCCCCUUGAGGACCCAAUUAUGCGUACCCCGCAAGCGCCAAUAAGCCUCCUCAUCUGUGUAGAUGACCGUGAGCUGGUCCUCUAAGUCGUAUCUAAGCAUCCAUUCCUCGGCAGAUAAACCCACACCAUUCGCGCAGAAUUCGAGGGCCUGGAUGGCCUCUAGGAGGACUUUCUUGCGCUCCCAGAUAUCACGACCCACGUUAGCCCCCCAUCCUUUCAUGAAUUGCCAUGACCGCUUUGCACAGAAGUGCCAGGAGUCAACGGCCGAGAGGGAUCGAUGGGGGGCCUCGCGCGCCUCUAGCCACCUACCGACCACAGCAGCGGCAAACCCAGGCUGGCGCAACCAGAAGGUUUUGAAGCGGAAGCAGGGCGGUAGGGGAGGACGCUCGUUCUCCGAAGAGAGGAGGAGGGGGACGUGAUCGGAUCCAAUCCGAGUAAUCGCCCGGAGUGAAGCUAGGGGGCAACGAAUGGCCCACUCAGGAGAUGUGAAGACCCUGUCUAAGACAGAGCGGGUCGGCUCCGCUUGGCGGUUGGUCCAAGUGAAUCUGGCGCCGACUCUAUCAAGCUCGCGAAGCCCCAUGUCUGCGAUGUAGUCAUUGAACAUCUGCAUCCGGGGGAAGUUAACCAAGUUGUUACUCUUGUCGUCUUUCGACUGGAUGAGGUUAAAAUCUCCGUCCACCACCACCGGUAGCUGGGCGGCUGCAACCUUUCGGCGAAGCUCAGCGAGGAAGGCUUCAAAGCGUCGAUGAUCGGCUGGGCCAUAGACCGCUAUGAUCUCCCAUUUGAAGUUGAGGGCCCGUUCAAAAAUCUCCAUGCUAACGAAGAACUCGCCCCGGUCCAUGCUUCCUACCUCAAAGGUGGCAUCCUUAACCCCUAGAAGGAUGCCACCCGAGUGGCCCAUGCUCCCACUAGAAGGGAGCCAGUGCCAAGAAAAUAGAUUGGAGCUCAAAUGUUCGAGCUCCGAUAGGGAAAAUUCCGUACGCGUCGUUUCUUGGAUGGCCAAAAUGUCGAUUCGUUCAUUGCGCAUGUACUCUAUCAGUUGGUGGCGUCGGCCAUCUUGGCCGAAACCGCGGAUGUUCCAGAACAGCGUACGCAUCACGAGACCAUCGGGGGGCUGCUUGACCCAAGACUCGAGAUNNNNNNNNNNNNNNNNNNNNNNNNNNNNNNNNNNNNNNNNNNNNNNNNNNNNNNNNNNNNNNNNNNNNNNNNNNNNNNNNNNNNNNNNNNNNNNNNNNNNAAAAGCGAAGGAAAAAAAUCACUUCUCGCAUAUAUACAUCCGUCCUUUCGUUUUCCUCUGCGUAGUGAAUGUUCUAGGCAUCCCAUAUUUGGCUGCUAGGACUCCAUUCAAAUAUACGGGUUUUGGCCAAACAUAGGCCAAAUUUUCAUGUCCCACGUGGAAUUUUCUUGUCAAAUUUAGAUAUAUUAUCAACAAGUUUUUUUUCAAAAGAAAAGCACUACCACAAGAUGCUCCGCAAGACAUGAAUCAGGAAGAGGAGAUCCAUUUUGAUAUAGGCAAGAGGAAAUUGAUAAAACAUUACCAUCCUAAUUUGAAAUAUUUGGUAAGAAGAAAGUACUUGGCUGAUAAACCUUGUCAGCCAAGAGAAAUUAAUAUUUAUUGAGAGUUUGGGACUAAAAGGAUUGAUUUGAUUAAUUAAGAGCUCCACUGGAAUUUAGCUACUUAAAUACUUUCAUUUCACCAUUCUAUUUUGUUCCACUUGAAAUUUAAUUAUAUUUUUAUCUUGUAGGAUAUUGAAUCUUAGUGUCCGAUGAUGUAUUUUGUAGUUUCGAAAUGGAAGGCAUCAUUUUAAAGUAAUUAUAUUCUUUGCUUCCUUAAUAUAGUAAGCAUUUUAUAGCUGCAUUUUGCAUUUAAAUGGUCUUCUAUUAUGUCAGCUAGAUGUUUCCUUUUUAUGGGGUAUGUCAGCUAGAAGUUACAAAACACAUUUUUAUUUAGUACAUCGUUGCUUGAAAUUUUAGGCCGUGUUAAAGUGAUACAUUAGGGUAACAUUUGCUCCAGCUUACACCCUGACUCCGACGACGACAGAGGUGCCGCCGGCUAGCCAUACGAGGUCAUCGUCCGCUACAAAUUAGUUUAGGUUUUUUAACUAUAAGUUAGUUUGUGUUUUUAAGUUUUAAACGGACGAAAUAUCAUCUGAUUUAUGUUUUGGACGAAAUAUCAUCCAAUUUAUGUUUUGCAUGAACCGCGGCUUCGAUUUAUGUCUUGGACGAAAUCAUCUGAUUUAUAUUUUGCAUGAAUUGGAUGGACUGUACUUGCAACAUCCGUAGACCGGACGAAAUCAUCUGAUUUGUAUUUUGCAUGAAUUGGAUGGACUGUGACUUGCAACAUUCGUAGACUAGCACUAUGCCUGAUUUGAAGGCCGGCGUUUGAGAUGCCCUAAGCCACUUUUUUGGGCUUGUGCCCUAAGCUUUCUGUUUAUGGCUUCCGCCUCUUUUAACAGUGUGAUGAAAAGAAAAAGGUCUACGGUUUCUUUUUUAGCAGAGUGUUGUCCAUAUGUAAUGACACAAAGCAACACUUUUAUUAUUUUAUUAUUUAUAUAUUGAUAUAAAAAGUGUUGCUCUGUGACAUUACAUCCGGUGCAAAACUCAAUUUGUUUCCGUUGCAAAUUGGUUCAAAGCAAUCCACAAACUGAGGGGUUUGAUGGAGGAAUUCCACUGUUGCCUUGCCCCUCUAUUUAUAUCCUCCUUGACCUCCCGUCUCCUCGUUGCCCCGCGAGGUGGUGCUAAAUUUUCUAGCUUCUCCAAAGUGCGAAACGGUUCGGCUAGCCUUUUAUGGGCCUAGUAAUUGAAUACUCAUGUGUUGGGACCUACAAACUCAGAGACAUUCAUUAAAAUAAUUCGUGAUGUGCUUAGAGCAAGUAUAAUAAGCUUAUAUAAGUAGGCUGUAAGGAUUAAAAUAUAAUUUUUUUGUUGAUGUGGAGGGAAGAGAAAAGGAGCCGGCUACAGAAUAAGAGCCAGCUACAGCACGUGCUCCUAGGCACUAUAUGAGAGUGGGAGGUGGGUCAUGUAUUAAUGAAGUAGCACAUCUUUGUAUCUUACUAUUAUACUUGAAGGCUACAAGGUUGGCUAUAGAUGACAUGUCAAUGUCAUAUAGCCAUCAGCUGGCUAUACUAUUAACCAUGCUCUUAUCACUACAUUGUGAUAAAUAUGAUCUUGAAACCAACCUCACUACCUCCUCUUGCUCGGUCAUCCACUGCUGACGACGGAGGUCUCUUCUUCGUGCUCCCAUGUUUUUCUCAUGGAAACAAAUAACUGCAUGGUCAUGUUAUUGUUUUAUUUUUCAUCCAAACAAGGAAUUACGUAUACUUACUUUAACUGAAAAACUGGUUAGGCCCAGCUGUUAUACAGCGGUGCCCAGCUGUUAUCCCUGGGUGGGCUUGGGUGCCAACACACGAAAUUGUUAGGCCCAGCCGUUGGUUGCUCGUGCAUGUCUCUCUCUGCGUGGGAAAAUCAGGCAUUUCCUAUUCUGCGCUUCAGUCGCCCGUUUCUUCGUCAUUUGCAUACCGGCGCACACCCCUAAUCCGCCCUGGCCCAGCUCAUUCACCUUUUUUUUCUGUUUUCUGUAAAACUUCAAAAAACAAGCAGGCGCCGUGUGUCGAACUUGAGACCUAUUCCUUCAGUUCGAGUUGCAGUAACCAACUACGGAACAUCAUAGGGUGUGCACAUUUACUUCCCUUUAUCUUUUUCUUCUUUUCUACUAUUUGUCGUUUGUUGGUUGGUUUUCUAGGUGAGUUUUAUUUUGGUUUUUUCUUUCUUCUUUUGCUUUUUUAAAUGCAUGAACUGCAAAUUUGAAACUUUCUUCAAACCUGAAUUUUUUUUCAAAUUCGCAAACUUUUUCUUGAUAAUCCACGAACUUUUUUCAAAUUAUAUGAACAUUUUUUUGAAAUUGUUGUUUUUUAAAAAAAUUCAGGCCUUUUUUCAAAUUUGUGCACUUUUUCUUAAAUUUAUUAACCUCUUGAAUUCUAUGAUUUUUUCCCAAAUUUGAUGAUUUUUUUGUUCAAAUCGGUCAACUUUUUUCAGAAUCAAUGAUUUUCUUUUCAAUUUUAUGAAAUUUUCUUCAAAAUCGAUGAACUUUUAUUCAUGAAAAUAAAAAAAAGUUCACAGAUUUUUGAAAACCACUAGCCAUGUAGGACAGUGAGUUUUUUUUAUUUGAGGCAAGUAGUACACAUGUCGUACUGCUGUUUUUUUAGGGGAAGGUCGUAUUGUAGGAGGAGGCAUAAUUGGGGUGCGGCCCGCGAACAAAGCUAGCUGCUUCAAAUUGUCCGUUAGCGAAAUAUAUUUUAUUAUCCCUAAAAAAGCCAAAUAUAUUUUAUUUUCCUAAAAAGACAAAUAUUUUAUUUCCAUAAGAUUUAAAUUUCUGACACAUACUGCACGGAGAUUAAUCUCAAAUUCUGCUUCGCCCUAAAAACAGUAAGCCAAAUAGGGUAAGUCCAUGGUGCCCCAUGUUUUAAAAAAACUAGGUUUGGGUACAACUCCUUGUUUUUCGUGAAGUUUGACAGGGGUGCUCCAACAAAUACGCAUAAUUUUCUCCUCUGCUCUUUCGGCUAAUAAUAAUCUCAUGUCGCUUCUUUACGUCUAAUCUCACCGAUUCAUAUACGUAUCCACUGAUGAUUCAACAAGCGACCACAUAAAUCAGCAAACAGAGGUGAGGAGGAUCAGGCAAAGCAUGGUCAGGGUGAUAAAGCAAUCACCACAUGGAGGAGAGAAGCAUGGUCAGAAGGAGGAGGAUAAAGCAAUCACCGGAGGCUGGAUGAGGGGAGGCAAGAACAAGGAGCAAAAGGGAGGGGUGCGGAGGAGGCAACCGUCGCCGGUGGCGGGAUUCGGCGCGCAGGGGGUGCAGCCCGAUGAACCUAUAGGUGGCGACGCUGGAUGGGAGACGAGGGGAAAUGUUUACAAUCUAUUAACGUAUAAGUGAUAAUUUAUAAAAAAAAUCUUAUGUGUAGAUUCAUCCAUCUAUUGCAACCAUGCAUGACUAACUUUUUUUUUUAAAUUUCCAUCAAAAAUUGUCAAUCCUAAAAGAAAAGUUAUUCUUUGUAUUCAAAAUUACUACCAAUGACCUCUCUUUUAUGUUAUUAUUAAAGCAUUGACCAUAAGUGAAUCCAUCACAACAAAAGGAGACCCCAAUUUCAUGGGUGACACUUAUUCUCCCGUUGCAAUGCACGGGCCCUUCUGCUAGUCUAGUUCAAAAGUCCUUGUGGAGUUGAAGGAAUAUUACGUACGAUUGCCACCUCUGCAAAUCCCUGCUUCCCUCUGCGAAGGGCCUAUCCCACAAGUAUAGGGGAUCGCAACAGUUUUCGAGGUAGAGUAUUCAACCCAAAUUUAUUGAUUCGACACAAGGGGAGCCAAAGAAUAUUUGCAAGUAUAUUAGCAGUUGAGUUGUCAAUUCAACCACACCUGGAGAUUACUUAUCUGCAGCAAAGUGAUCAGUAGCAAAGUAGUAUGAUAGUUUUGAUAGUAGUAGCAACAGCAAUAGUAACGGUAACAGUGAUAGCAAUGAUUUUGUAGCAAGUGCAAUAGUAACAGUGGCAGUAGUAACUGAAGGAAAUAUGCCCUAGAGGCAAUAAUAAAGUUAUUAUUUAUUUCCUUAUAUCAUGAUCAAUGUUUAUUAUUCAUGCUAGAAUUGUAUUAACCGGAAACAUAAUACUUGUGUGAAUACAUAGACAAACAGAGUGUCACUAGUAUGCCUCUACUUGACUAGCUCGUUGAUCAAAGAUGGUUAUGUUUUCUAGCCAUAGACAUGAGUUGUCAUUUGAUUAACAGGAUCACAUCAUUAGGAGAAUGAUGUGAUUGACUUGACCCAUUCCGUUAGCUUAGCACUCGAUCGUUUAGUAUGUUGCUAUUGCUUUCUUCAUGACUUAUACAUGUUCCUAUGACUAUGAGAUUAUGCAACUCCCGUUUACCGGAGGAACACUUUGUGUGCUACCAAACGUCACAACGUAACUGGGUGAUUAUAAAGGUGCUCUAUAGGUGUCUCCGAAGGUACUUGUUGGGUUGGCGUAUUUCGAGAUUAAGAUUUGUCACUCCGAUUGUCGGAGAGGUAUCUCUGGGCCCUCUCGGUAAUGCACAUCACUUAAGCCUUGCAAGCAUUGCAACUAAUGAGUUAGUUGUGGGAUGAUGUAUUACGGAACGAGUAAAGAGACUUGCGGGUAAUGAGAUUGAACUAGGUAUUGAGAUACCGACGAUCGAAUCUCGGGCAAGUAACAUACCGAUGACAAAGGGAACAACGUAUGUUGUUAUGCGGUCUGACCGAUAAAGAUCUUCGUAGAAUAUGUGGGAGCCAAUAUGAGCAUCCAGGUUCCGCUAUUGGUUAUUGAUCGGAGACGUGUCUCGGUCAUGUCUACAUAGUUCUCGAACCCGUAGGGUCCGCACGCUUAACGUUUCGAUGACAGUUAUAUUAUGAGUUUACAUGUAUUGAUGUACCGAAGGUUGUUCGGAGUCCCGGAUGUGAUCACGGACAUGACGAGGAGUCUCGAAAUGGUCGAGACAUGAAGAUUGAUAUAUUGGAAGCCUAUAUUUGGAUAUCGGAAGUGUUCCGGGUGAAAUCGGGAUUUUACCAGAGUACCGAGGGGUUACCGGAACCCCCCGGGGGUUAAUGGGCCAUAGUGGGCCGUUGUGGAGAAGAGGAGAGGCGGCCAGGGCAGGGCCGCGCGCCCCUCCCCCCUAGUCCGAAUAGGACAAGGAGAGGGGGGCGGCGCCCCCCUUUCCUUCCUCUCUCCCUCCUCUUUCCCCCUCCACUCCUAAUCCAACUAGGAAAAGGGAGGGAGUCCUACUCCCACCGGGAGUAGGACUCCACCUGGCGCCCCCCUCCCGGCCGGCCGCACCUCCCCCCCUUGCUCCUUUAUAUACGGGGGCAGGGGGCAUCCUAGAGACACAACAAUUAAUCUCUUGAUCUUUUAGCCGUGUGCGGUGCCCCCCUCCACCAUAGUCCACCUCGAUAAUACUGUAGCGGUGCUUAGGCGAAGCCCUGCGUCGGUAGAACAUCAUCAUCGUCACCACGCCAUCGUGCUGACGAAACUCUCCCUCGACACUCGGCUGGAUCGGAGUUCGAGGGACGUCAUCGGGCUGAACGUGUGCUGAACUCGGAGGUGCCGUGCGUUCGUUACUUGAUCGGUCGGAUCAUGAAGACAUACGACUACAUCAACCGCGUUGUGCUAACGCUUCCGCUUUCGGUCUACGAGGGUACGUGGACAACACUCUCCCCUCUCGUUGCUAUGCAUCACCAUGAUCUUGCGUGUGCGUAGGAAUUUUGUUGAAAUUACUACGUUACCCAACAGUAAGUUAGCAGAAACAAUAUAAGAGAAAUUCGUAGGCAUUGGAUCGGUGAAUUCGUUGGAUGAUAUUCAUCAUAUAACAGUCAUAACCUAGGGCGAUACGACACUAGCUCCAGUUUAUAAAUAUAAUGUAGGCAUGUAUUCCGUAAAUAGUCAUACGUGCUUAGGGAAAGGACUUGCAUGACAUCUUUUGUCCUACCCUCCCGUGACACGUGGGUCCUAUUGGAAACUAAGGGAUAUUAAGGCCUCAUUUUAAUAGAGAACCGAAAUAAAGCAUUAACACACGAUGAAUGCAUGAACUCCUCAAACUACGGUCAUCACCGAGAAGUGUCCCGACUUCUGUCACUCCGGGGUUACCGGAUCAUAACACAUAGUAGGUGACUAUAACUUGCAAGACCGGAUCUAGAACAUAUAUAUAAUGGUGAUAACAUAAACGGUUCAGAUCUGAAAUCAUGGCACCCCGCCCCAAAGUGACAAGCAUUAAACAUGGCAAAGUCAUAGCAACAUCAAUCUCAGAACAUAAUGGAUACUAGUGAUCAAGCCCUAAUAAAACUAACUCGAUACAUGAUGAAUCUCAUCCAACUCCUCAUCGACCAGCGAGCCUACGAAGGAAUUACUCACUUCCAGUGGGGAGCAUCAUGGAAUUGGCGAUGGAGAAGGGUUGGUGAUGACGAAGAUCAAAGAUCCCCCUCUCCGGAGCCCCAAACGGACUCCAGAUAUGGCCUCCUGAUGAAGAUCAGGAGGUGGCGGCGGCUCCGUCUCGUGAAACGCGAUAAUUCUUCCUCCCUGAUUUUUUUCUCCAAAUAUGUGAUUUUGUGGUAUCAGGAUUGAGGUCUGCGGGGCCACCAGGUGAGGACAACCCACCUGGAUGCGCCUGGAGAGGGGGGGCGCCCUGGUGGGUUGUGCCCACCCAAGUUCCCCCUCCAAUGGUUCUUGACUCCAGAAAUUCUCUUUAUUAUAUAAAAAAUCCUCGCAAAAUUUCGUUCCAAUCUGAGAACUUUUAUUUCUGCACAAAAACAAUACCAUGGUAGUUCUGCUGAAAACAUAGUCAGUCCGGGUUAGUUUCAUUCAAAUCAUGCAAAUUAGAGUCCAAAACAAGAGGAAAAGCAUUAGGAAAAGUAGAUACGACGGAUAUGUAUUAGGCGUUGAUGACCAGAUGCAUUGAACUCUUGAGGCAUCUCAUAUAUCCUCUCAUGUAGCUAUUACUUGUAUCUCUUAUCUCCCCCCUCUUUCUGUUCUAGCUAAACAUGUGUUGGUAGUGGCUAGCUGCACUUUCCGUGCAAUGCAUUAACUUCAUGUAAUUGACCUUGGUCAUUCAGGUUUCGCACCUGAUUUGAAAUGCAUAAGGCAGAAACUGCUCUGCCUUUUCUUUUAAAAAGAACCUGGCGGGCAGCGCGAAGCCGCAUAUGCAUGCACCACCAUCUACUCCUCCUCCGCUACCGCGUGAUGCCUCUAUUGUCGUGGCCUUCGAGGACGCUGGGGGUCUCGGGAAACCUUGUGCAACACAGCCUCAUCUGAUGCCGUGGGGUUGCCUAUCCCGUCAAGGACACCAGGGGUUUCGGUCAGGCGCGUGUUAGAAUCCCAUAUAGAAUCACAAGCGCUUGGGCACCCCAGUGCGGUAGUGCCUAGCAUUGCUCUCUUUCACAUGGGAGAGCUUGGUUCGAUCCCAGCGACCUCCCUUUUUUCCCUUUACUCUCUUUUCUCUACGAAUCCAUAGCUGAUGGGCUGCAUUGUGCCCAGUAACACUCUGUUUAACUUUUCUAUUUUUUCGGGCAAAUUCGAAUGCUUUUUAAAAUAUUCAUAUAUUCGAAACCUCAACUCUAAAUCUAACAUUUUAUAUAUGAAAAUCCAUCACAAAAAUAUGUAGAUUUCAAAUAUGCUAUUAUCUUGCAUGUUAAUCAUUUAUAAAAAUACAUUUAGGUUGCCCAUCAUAUAUGUUUCCUCCCCCAUAUAUGUAAAUUAGUGGCUUAAUGUUGAUUCCCAUAUUGCUUGAAAUUGUGCCCAUAAAUAUUAUUGGAAACACGAGUACACUAAAAAGUCACCGCACCUUUAUUUCUGCGCAACACCACUUAUUGAUGGCAUCGAGUGUGUGUAUGAGGGAUGAUUUUUUUUUCUUCUGUUGCAUUGCACGGGCAUGUUUGCUAGUGUGGACCUAAGCUAAAUUGCCGCCCUAUAUGCCCGCCUUUAGGUGGGACAUCGACUAUUCUCGCUUUAAGCGAACUAUAGCAUUCACGGGUGCUGUGUAUUGCACAAACGUGCACCCAGCAGCCUCAUGAUGCUCAUGCGGGCCAGCCCAUAUAUGAUAUCUCUCUCUCUCUCGUUCUUGCGACAUGCGAUGUGAUUUUUUUGUUCAUUUUUAGAUCCAAUUUGCAAUUACUGUUUUCUACGUUUGGUCAUUUAUUAUUAUUAUUUUUAAAAAGGAUGCAAGUUUCAAAAAAUGGUUCAUUUUUCAAAAAAUGUUACAAAUCUGAAACAAUGUUUGUAAAUUUUAAAGUAUUCACAACUUCAAAAAAUGUGCAAAUUCAAUGUAUAUUCACAAAUUUGUUUCCGAAGUCAAAAAAAUGCUUGCAUAUUAGCACAAUGUUGGCGAUAUUCAGAAAGUGUUUAUAAACUUUUAAUUUGUUACAAAUUUUAAAUUGAUCAUGAACUGAAUUUUUUUCAAAUUUUUAAGAAAUUUAUCCAAAUUUCAAAAUAAUUUUCAUGAAUUCAAUAGAUAUUCAUGAAUUUUCGAAACAUGUCCUAAAGUUUUUAAAUUAUAAUGUUUUUAUAAAAUGUCUGAAAACUUUAUGAAAUAUAAUGUUUUAAAAGUAUUAUGUUUUAUAAAAUUAUAAUGCUUUAAUAAUGUUUUAUAAAAAAAGAUGAACAUAAAAGGAAAGGUGGAAACAUAUAAUGAAAAUAAAAAUCCGAAAUCUUAGUGAGAAAAAACGGGUCCAAAGUAAUGCAAAGAAAGCAAGAAUCUUCCCCAAACCGGAUGGGGGAGCACAUAUGAAGUCUUAGUUGAGCAGACUCAAUUUAUCAGGUAGGGUUGCGCGUUUGGUCGACAGACAAGGGCAGCGUUUUGUCUUGCCUGCUUGCUGCGAUACAGAGUAUGUGCUCGCGGCAGCCUGUAGUGGGCCGGCUCAGUAGGCACCAAUCACACGGUUCGUUCAUUGGUCUCGUUUUUUUUCCUUCUUUCAUCUUUUUAUUAGUUUUGUUUAUAUCUUAAACGUUCAUAUGUUUGAAAAAUGAUAGAUCUAAUUUUUUAUACAAUGUAAACACAUUAUUAAAAAGAAACAUGAGAUUAAAAAUAUAUUCAUGCAAAUCAAUAAUAUGUUUACCCGCAAAAAAAUCAAUAAUAUGUUUGUGACAUUAAAAAAAUUGUGUAUACAAUGUAAAAAAUGUCCACAUAGUUGAAAUACACGUAUCUGAUUUUUUUGCAUGUAUUUGAAAAAGUAUAUCAUUUUAAGGAAAAAUGUUCAAUGUGUAUCAGAAUAUAUUGCACGUGUACACCAAAAAUAUAAAACAUGUAGUAAGAAAAUCUCAACAAUUUAUUUACAAAGAAAUAGAAAUAGAAGGAAUGGAAGAAAUUGAAAUAAGUCGAAGAAAACCUAUAAGAAGAUACAUUAAUAAAAAGAAAGAAAAAGCCUCAUGAAAGCUCCUAAUACCGAUAAUAAAAGCUGCCAAAAACUGCUCAGUGGACCUACAGUAUUGGGCCGGCCCGCUAGCCUCAUGCCAGAGGUGAGACGGCCGCUUGUCCAUCUGUGGGCGAUAUAGGGAGCACAACUCGCUCGUUGCAAGGAGCAUGGGGACUUUCGCCUACAACGCGAACACAAAUGGGUCGGGCCUAGGUUUUCGCCACACAACACAACGUGGUUGCAUUUUCCCUUUUUCCUUUCUGUCUACAUUUUGAAAACUAUUCUAAAUACGUAUACUACAAAAACUGAAUGUAUUUCAAAGUUUAUAACACACAAUUUUAAAAGAAUGUUAACACAGAGUUAUAAUUUUGGUUGUAUUAAAAAAUAGCUUGAAAUCUAAAGAGUGUUGCGACAUUUCAGAUAAAUGUAUGACAUAUUUUUUAUACAAUGUAAAAAACUGUUCAUGUAAUUCAAAUUUUCUUUCAUACCAUACAAAAAAAAUGUUCACCCAUUUUUAAAAUAGGUUUAUGAUAUUUUAUAAAAAUAUGCAUACAAUAUAAAACAAACGUUGGCGUAGUUUAAAUAAAAUGUUCAACUUGUAUUUGACAAAUGUCCUUUGUUAACAAGGACUGAAGAAAACCGAUAAGGAAAACACAUAGAAAAAAGUGCAAGAAAACAAAUUAAGUUAUGAUGAAAACUAAUAAGAAAAAACACACAAAAAACACAUGGCAGCUUUUAAAACCUGACCAAAUCGGUCCAUAGAAACCUUCUAAAACCGCUUUUGACAGCUAUAAUACAAGUCCGACCUAUUAUAGAAAUGCCAAAGGAGAGGCGAAAGGAACUCUCGGUACGAGCGAAUGGAUGCCCGUAUGUCUCACUUUUAGCGAGUUGUAGGGAAGCCUUGCGUCAAGGCGGUCGCCAGAUGGGCCGGCCUAGCCCGUGGGAGGCCACAACCUUGUUUUCUUUUCUUCUUCUGAUUUCAAUUUUUUUUGUUUUAUUCCUUAUUUAUUUUUUUACUUCCAAAUAUCCUAAAUACAUAUAUUAAAAACAUCACUUUACAUAAAAACAUUUGAAAAGAAAUGUUAAGCAAGUAUUUGAAAAAUGUUAAAUGUGUAUAGAGAACUUGUUUUUCAUGUAUACAUAAAAAAUACAAUGUGUAUCAAAAAAUUUGAUCAUGUAUUUGAAAAUUGCUAAUCAAGUAUUUGAGAAUUUAAAAUGUGUAUAGAGAAAUUAUUGACCUUGUAUUAAGAAAAUAAUCUUGUAUUUUUUCAUCAAGCAUUUGAAAAUAUUAAAAUUUGUAUGCAAAAAAGUUGACCAUGUAUUUAAAAAAUGUUAAACCUAUAAGCAAGGCAUAGCAUGCGGGCGAGCGAGAUAGGCGGCGCGUUACACGUUGAAUAGGAUCCACCACCCUGCUCCGGCAAUAAAACGGUCUUCUUUGGUUAACUGGGCCAACCUGGGCUUCCUGGUGCGAUGCGCGGGCGACGCCUACCCCGAGCCCACCCUCUCCGGUCUAUCCCCUCUCGAUCUAACCGCCCGUGGCGGCGGCGGCGGAUUUUACACUCCUCGACUCCCCCCUUACCCGCCCGCCGCCGGCGCCCGCAACCUCUCCCGGACGCGCCCCUGCCGAGGAUCUGCACUGCCGGCGAGCUCCCGGCGCUGCGGUAAGUAAGGCUCAUCUAAUCCAGCGUCGCAUUGCACGAUUUGUGAGGCCCGAGAGGUUGUUGGCGGGAUGUGAGACCCUCUAAAUUACCGCCAUUUCUUGUUGCCCCGCCGCAGUUUCGGCUCGUUGGAUUCGAGAGUAAGCAGGCCGGCCGGCCGGCCGCCCCUCGUUGCUACCAACAGCCCGCGCUAUAAGCCAAGCCUGGCGGGCAGCGCGAAGCCGCAUACGCAUGCGCCACCACCACCUCCUCCUCCGCUGCCGCGCGAUGCCUCUCCUGCCGUCGCCGCCGAGGACGCUGCGGGUUUCGGGAGGCCUUGUGCACCACCGCCUCAUCCGAUGCCAUGGCAUGCCCAUCCCGCCGAGGACGCCGGGGGUCUCGGGCGGGCGCCUGUUCGCCUCCCUCCCGCUCCCGCCGCCUCUCCAGUCCCCAAGGUACCCCCUUCCAUUCUUAUGUGCCUUGCAAGCUGUGAUUCCUUGGAACCUGCGUGGACACAUGGUAGAUCUGCCUCUGGCGGCAGGCAGUAGAGGUUAUGCUGCCAGCGUAUGACGUUUUCAACCAGUUGGUUAGAGGUUUCGUCGGCGGUAAGGGGAAUCGGGGAUAUGAGGAGAGCAGCAAGGGGAUGAGAUUGAAGAGCAGGAGGUGUGAACUGGGGAGCAUUUUCAUUCAGCAUACCGAUCUGUUCGAUUACACGGCAUUAAACUAGAUCUGGGCACCACAGCUGGCAGGUGGGCCCUACGACACUCGCUACCCCUUCUAUCCUGGAUCAACCCGUGUCGGGUAACCUCACGGUGGCGGCCACAGGCGACGGGGACGUGAUACUAUGCUCCACGUCUCGUGUCUGUCUCUCCUUAAUAUGGAAAGUACUUCAUAUUAGAUAAUGCCGGAGAUUGCCAAGAUUACUGGCUUCUACUUGCUAUUGCCGAUCUUGUUUGUUCACUAAAAAUGUGAAAUAGGUACACUUAUGUGCAUGAAAAUAACAUAGUGCAUGAGAACUGAGCACAUCAGAAAUCACCAACUAUUAGGAUGAGACGGCCGUUUGCUUUUUGUUCUGAGAGAGCGGAGAUUGUUAGCUCGGUUAGAGUUUUCAUAGGGGCUGGUGGUGGGCAUUCACUGAAGGAGAUUGUGCUCAUGCUUAUCAGGGAUCGUCGGGUUUUAUUAUAACUCUCCUUAAAAUCUCUAUUCCUAGAUACUCCCUGAUAUUGGCAUAUGGAUAGAAUGAUUAGCUUUUGGUUCAGUAAUUGUUCCCCUAGGUUAGGUAAAGCCUGUACUUGAUGAGUGUCACCCUUUUCACAUUUGCAAAUGGUUGGUUUCUUUUUUCUUAUAAUAGCGCUAUUUAGUGCAUUGAAAUAUUUUGAAGACAUUUGGUUUAUGCGUUUAUUUCUGUUGUAUUGUAGAGAGGUGCAUGUUUGGUAUCUUUGCCCCGAUGAGCUGAAUAAUCAGUCCCAGCUGAAUAUGUAUGAAGAACUCCUGUCUCCUUCUGAAAGAGAGUAUGCUGACUCUAUGAAAGCAACAAUGUUGCGGAAAGAUGUUGUUUUGUCCCGUGCAUUGUUGCGCACCACCCUCUCAAGAUGUAUGUAACCACCAACUGUCUAUUGCACUGUCAUUCACACUUAAUUUUCAUGCCUGUUACUAACUUACCAUUUGAACUGCAAAACGUCUUAUAUUUAGUUACAAAGGUAGUAUCAUUCAAGAGAUCUUGUUGUAUGUUAUUCUUGUUAUUAUGAGUUAUUUAAUCCGGAAAUUUGUUGCAGAUUUUAGAUUCACAAGCAUAUAUAUGUUGGUUAGGAUUGACAUCAAAGAUAAUCCUUUCCAUGGGUUGUGCUGUAUAUAUAAACUAUUUUUCUUAGUUUAUAUACCUUGUAAUCUUUGUAAUCAUCAGGAAAACUUUAUCUUCGUAAGAAAACAACUUAAUAUUUCUGGAGAGCUUCGGAGCUAAUGCAAUUUAUGACUCUUAGAUGCACUGAGUUAUAUUGCCUUUGAACUUUGCCUGUAGAUAGGUGGGCUUCCAUUUGCGCAUUCAUCUUGUCUUACAUAUACGGAAAGUAUAUGAUUCAAAAUCAUCGAUGUCAUGUAAAUUGGGCUUCUUGCAACACUAGAUGUUUUUCUCUCCUACUAGGUAUAAUAUCACUUUCUGAUGCACAAUUUUCAUAAAUAGUCCUAAAAAUGGAGAAUGAACAUAUCUUCCAUUUGACCUGAAACAUGGAAUUUUGACAUGCUGCUCAAUGUUAAGUUUAUAAGCAUGUUAUCUUGUCAAUAAUUAUACUAUACUCGUCUUGUUAGUUCUUAUCAACUACUCCCUCUGCGUCAAAAUAUAAGACAUUUUUUGACACAGUCAUUAACAGAAUUACUGAUAUGCUUAUUUCUAAUUUGUUUGAACUAGAUUAGAUACAGGUUGUAAAAUUGAUCCGAGGUCAUUUGAGUUUAAGAAGAACAAAUUUGGCAAACCUGAGGUAACGGCUUCAGCAGUUAUUUUUUCUGUAAUUUAAAACCUUGUAGCUAACUUGCCUGUUGCUUUCCAUGUUUAAUCAGGUAUUAUGGCCAUUGGAUGAUAGCACUGCGGAGCAACCUUUGCAUUUCAAUAUUUCACACACAACUUCUUUGAUUGCCUGUGGCAUUGCCAUUAAUGCUCAUGUAUGUUCCUUGCCCCUGUGAUUAUCGAAAGUGAGAAAGAAAUGACCAUUUUUCUGUUGCUUUGGAAGUUAUUCAGUUGAUAUUUCUAUUUUAUGUACUGUCUCAGAUUGGCAUUGAUGUUGAAGAGAAGAAGCGGAAUACAACCAAGAAUAUUUUAUCUCUUGCUCGCCGUUACUUCACCCCUUCUGAAGUUGAUAGUCUAGCUGAGAUUUCUGAUUCAGAUGCUCAGCGGAAGGAAUUCCUGAAACUAUGGACUCUUAAAGUUAGUGAGACUCUCUUUGGUCCUCUAAUUAUAGCCAUUUCAUGUGCAUUCACUACGUUGUGCUGGUGUACAUUCUGUAGAACAUUGAGCAGCGAUGGUAUUUUCCAGUAUUAGGGCGGAAUCUAUCCUUGGCCCAUAACAUAGUCUAAUAUGACCACCUAAAGCAUACUGUAGCUGACUUCGUUGUUCUUUGAUAUAAAAAUGCAGGUCUCGAAUGUGUCUAGAGUGAACUCACUUUUAAUGCUAACUAGCUUAAUCCUUCCUUACAUAUGGUUAUAUUUAAUUAAUCAAAUCGAAGGACACAUAGAUGGGCACCUUAUGAAUAGUGCUUUUGUGGAAAAAGGAAUCGGUAUGAGAAGAGUUAGCGCCAAAGUGGGUUUGCAGCAAAUGUUGCCCUAUGUAAAUUUAAUAUUUAUAAUACUGAUUACUGAUACGAUGUUUUAAAAUAAAUUGCUUACAUAGAAUUGAUGUAUAAAUUUUUAGGAAGCAUAUGUAAAAGCUCUUGGAAUGGGUUUCUCAGGUGCUCCAUUCAGUACAUUUUCGAUAAUGCUGGAAACAAGCAAGGGAAUUAGGAUUUCUAAGGUAUGCAGCUUCAACCUUUCCCCUUUGUUGCUGUCUUUAACGUACGCUAUAUGUGUAAGGGAGCUCUGGAAUUAUGUAUCUUAAAAAAAUCCAGAUGAUAUUCUGUGACACCUUCUGACAUGUGGGUCUCCUGGACACCUAACAUUCCUUUUGGCCAACUGUCAGAUGGCAUGUUAAGCAAAUUUCACAAGGAAAAGUAUAUGGUUAUUAUGCAUCACUAGUUAUCAACCCAUGCAGCUGUUCGGGCUAGAUAUUUUAUAUGACACGUAAAUAAAAGAAAGGUCGAGCAAUAUAUUUCUUUAAUGAACAUUACGGGCUCCUUGUGUGGGAGCUUUCAACACUGGGUACACCCUUUGUGCAAUGGAAACUUCAGAGUGCAACAGGAAUAUGAUGAAAAAUUGAACCCGUCAGAAAUAGUCGUUUAAGUCAACUUUAUUUAGGCAGACAAUGUACAUGAUCUCCUGGAUGUGUAUUUCACAUGCAGAUGACAAUGUAACAAAAAAUUGAAACACAAUUCUAAGCCUAUUGGAACCCAGAUACACAUUAUUCUACUAAUCCUUGCAUUGUUACAUCAUAAUAUAUAAUUUAUAAAAGCAAUACAUUGCAUUAGUUGCAUGAUUCGUUGGAGCACCAACAGCCACACUAAUUAUUUGCUAAUGGAGGUUUCCAUGGCGUUUCCACUCUUCGUUCGAAUAUCGCAACUUACUAUAGUGCCAGCAAUCAUCCCUUGGCAUUAACUUUUUUUGGGUGAGAGUGUAGAAUGUGUCGGGCCCUCGCAUCGUCCUCCCGAGGGCGACUCAGGGGUGACUAGGGUUCCCAGCGCUGUCGCGCCCUUCUUCCAUCUCCCUCGCCGCCACCAGAGGAGGACGCUGAGAAAGCUUGCAUGGAUGCCAGUGAAGGUGGCGGCGAGGCUCGUGUUGCUCCGUUUCUUGAGCAAAGGGCUGCAGAUGCUGGGCAGCGGCCCCGGAUGGCGAGACGGUGGUGUCUUGGUGGUAGGCGGCACCCGCAGAUGCUGGUGGCUGGAUCCCUUGGUCGCUUUGGGCGGCGAGGAGUUGGCGGGCGGUGGUCGAGACGCAAGUCCUUCUUCGGCUUCAGGCCCCAGAGCUGAAGGUACGGCCCCCUCCUCGUCAACCCUGGUGCUCGGCGGCCUCGGUUGCCGGUACCCUCUUUGGCGAGGUGUAGGUGUUGCAGGUCUGGGUCCAGGGGAAACCCUUGGCUGGCUGGUCGGGCCACGGCAGGGACACCCAAGGGUGCCACUUUCCUCCCUGGAGGCGCGGCCGAGGACUCUUUCUCCCACCCCUGGCCACUUUCCUGAGCGAAAGCUCAAAAUCUGCUCUGGAUCGAUGUGUGUGCCGUGUUCUCCUUGGAGAUGCCGUCCUGGGAAUGCUGGACUUGGAUGAGUGGUGCUGUGGUGUGGAGGUGUGCGGCGGCUUCGAGUCUCUAGCGGCAGCGAGCUAUCCUAUUUUCUGCAGGUCCGGCGCCUUCCCUUUGUUGGUGCUCUCCGUUCCGGUGUGCGCUGGUAGCCUGGUAUGUUCAUAUGGGUCGACAUCCUCAUCCCUAGGCGGAAGUGGAUGUGGUAGUGUCAAGUAUGUGAUCCGAGUGCCCGGUCCCUCUUUGUGAAGGCUGACCAUGUUUUCAAUGUGUUUGUUGCCUAGGCUUGGCCCGGUGCUGUUCUUUCGUCUUUGAUUGUUCCUAGUAGCUUUCCCUCCUUGCUUGUGUUUCCGAGGAUGGCGGGGCUGCAGUCGGCGUGGUGUGCUUCAUGCAAGCCAUUUGUUGUGAAGUCUCUGUGUGGUCGUGAAGCCGACUCCUUACCUAAUUCUCGGGUGAGCGCCUCUUCUUGCUGACGGUGCAGUGUCUUUCGAGCCAGGACGAGAGGGUAGGGGCCCUCUCUUCCCGUGGCUGCUGGCUGAUCCACUGCUGCCUCUUCUGCUUAGUUAUUUUAGGUUCUUCAGUGUGGUGGGCAGCAACAGUUGCAAGCUGUGCUUUAAUUUUCUAUCUCGUGCUUGCUGUGUGUAUUGCGUUGUAAGCUGCUCUUUCAGCUCCUUGUACCGUUCUGCCGUUGUUUCAUGUUGGUCUUGUGUAAUCCCUGGCCCAUUGAUGGCGUGCUCUUCUUGAGCCUUCUUUCUAAAAGAACAAAUGUUGAACCAAAUUCAGCAGGAAGUUUGGUCUAACGGACAAUUAGGGAGACGAGAAGAUAAAUAAUAGAGGGUAAUCAUGCAGGGAUAUUCUCGUUGAAGUGAAAAACUUUUAAGUAUAAUAAAGUUCAAUCUGUGAUGACUGACAAGAAACCCUCCCACAAACAAAAGCUUGACUUCUAACAAUGAGACGAAGUGUGUCGAAUUCAUUGCUCUUUCUAGGAGACUCCUUGGAAACCUCAGCCUGCAAGCAUAGAAACACCAUCAUUUGGGUCCCCUAGUGUGUAGUAGAGGGCUCAUUUAUCCAGCACGUAAGCAUUUAUUUACAAAUUUUUCAUGUCACUGUUACUGAAGACUGAAUACCAGUUAAAAAAAAUAUUAUCUGCAUGAAUGAUGUGCUGUUGACGAAAACAUGGAAAUUAUAUAUACUAACAGUCAUAAUUCAGUCCCAAAUUUUCAACAUUUUUUACUUCACAUAUGUACCAUUGAUAUAAACAUGCUUCCCGCUUGACUGGUAAACAUGAAGACAAUCACAGGUAAACCUAAAAGAAACUAAAGCAAAUUAGAGGACAGACGUGAAGAGAAGAGGUACAGUACAGUAUACCCACAACCGAUUUUAGCAGCUGUUUCAGAAUACAUGCACUUAUGAGAGUAUCUAGGCCUAUAUAUUCUGAGCCCGACCAAUACAAUUUUACACCUUUAUCUGCUGAAGUACUGACUACAGGAAUGGUGUUGCAUGUCAACACCAUGUGCUCAAUGGGCACAGGAAAACUAAGUGAAAGUCACAAUUAUGACUUGGUAUUUCAUCUAAAAACAAAGGUCAAGAACACAACAUUAGAAUUAGUUAAGCACAUCCGUACUUUGAGUUCUGACACACCCAUACGUCGUCAACAAUCUCCUCUCUGCUGCAAAAUACACAUAAGAAAACCAAGCUUUUCUGAUCUCAAGCCUCACAAACAGCAGAGUUCACAUUCCAUAGAUUUCUUGAUCCGACAUUAGGGAUAAAGCAUAUUUGUCGUGGGUCCUUGUUAUGAACUCAAUAGGUCGGAGAAUACAGCAGUGAAUUUGGGGAUUGAUGGUUACUUCCUUUUGAGUUCGGAAAGGAUUGCUGGAGAAUGAUCUCAAACAGUCUCGAGGAGGGUAAACUACUGUGCUGGCUGCUCGUAGACCCGUGCGUGGGAGGCGACGGUGAAGUUAGGGAGUCAGCAGGUAAGGAGAGGAAGAGAAACAAAAGGAGUCCAUGUGGGAGAGGGUGAGGUUUACUUAAUCAAACGGCUACAUAGAUAGCUUGAAGGUAGACCGGAUAGUUGUUAUUCCUCUGGGACAAAUUCUCUAGGAUUAACGUGAGUCCUCGAAAGGAGCCUCUAGUUAGUAACUCUAAGAUAAUGGUGCCUUAUUACUGUGUUGCAACUUAGGAAUAAAUCAAUUUUAAUCGAUCUGCCUUGACUCUUGUUGGAUCUGUCAGACAUCGAAUGCUUCCAGGCCUGGUUGUGACCAUCUGUCUGAGAACUGGCUGUUUACACUCGCGGAGCUAAAUAGUUCUCACUACAUGUCAGUUUGUAUAGAGGACAGCUCCAGAAGUCAAGGUCUGUAUAUAUUGCCAGCUUGGGUAAUAACAGUUUGCUUACCUUGUUCUUCCAGUUACUUCAUUGUUGUUGUAUAUGUUGCGUAGCAGGUCCUGAAGACAGCCCAGCACCAGUAGGACUGAAAGUAUGGAAGACUGUACCGUUUGUCGAAGAUACACUCGUCUCUGGAACAGAAGCUGUAAAACUUAUUGCCUGAUUACUGAAACAUUGUUGUGAAACACAUUUGGUCCAGUACCGGUAGGUUUUGGUCUCUGCCCACUGAAACAUCAUUGUUCCUGUGCGUUGCCUCUCUCUUGGUGGAAACAUUGUUUGUCUGAGCUGCCAUUCAUUGGCUGUCACUACAUUGCCAUAUGUAUCUUCAGAGUUUGUUUGCUCACAGCAGUUCUUUUCGGACACAUAUCUCGUGAUUUGAAGCUGUUGGAGAAGGGCUUCAGAGAAGCAUAUUGGCCGAAAGCCCUGUACGUGCAAUUUUAGGGCUGAGUGAUUGCUCCAUCUAGUUUGUUCUACUUCUAUACCAAAACAGAGUUACCCUGUUUUAAAAGAAAGAGUUGCUCAAUUUUUAUCAGGGAAAGCAGAGUCUUAAUCUUUAUUUAUCUAGAAUGUUAUAUGGGAUACAAAGGACAAUGUGACCAUAAUAACAUCCUCUCCUGCAACAAUUCAAGUUCUUUGCCACUGAGCAGUCAUCAACUCACCAAAUCACGCAUGCCAGAUCGCCCACAAUGUCACAAGCACUUUCACCAUCUUCGUGUUUCAAGUGAUCAAUCAGAGUAAAAGGUCAUUCCAGUUUAUGGGGUUCUCGCCGGUUCUGCAAUAGUUUGGUCACGUCCUCGUCAGUCAGAGGCCGUACACACACUGACAUUGUGCACUCCAGACGGGAACGCCUUGAGGAAUCCACGUGACCGCGUAUCUUGCAUCUCCUGCAACAUGCAUUCCUAUAAACUACUCCCUCCGUACCCGUGCAUAAGCCAUUUUUAUAAAAACCAAAUAAUCUCAAAAUACUUAGGCGUGGUGCAUUAACUUUCACCCCUUUCUUAUUUCUUGACAUGAAUAAAGAAAUCAACCAAUAAGAGACGUAGGACGUGUAUGUUUUUAAUGAGUUAAGACUACCUAUCACGGCAUGCACGGUCAUGGUGCAUAACGUAAGAUGACUUAGACUACCCAUAGUGAGGAGUAACUUAGUAACAUGCAUAUACUAACAUGCAUAUGUUACUAGUCUAUAUUUACCUCUAUAGUGAGGAGUAACAUAUGUGUGGUGUCAUGCAACACUCUAUUUAUUAGGUUAUAGACUCAUCUUGUCUUGGUAUGUGAGAUGUUAUUCAUAAUAUGAAUAAUUACAAUAUUACCAUAUGCCUCUCUUUCCUCAUUAAUUUCUUGUCACAUCAUCUAUUUUACCUAGUUAGGCUGGUAAUAGUGGGGAGUAACUUGUACUAGUGUCAUGCAUAUGACACUAGUCUAAGUUACUAUCUUCAUAAUGCAAAGUAACAUAAUAGUAGUGUCAUAGAUGGCUUCAUUUAUUAGGUUGUAGACUCAUCUUCUCUUAAGAAGCGCUAUGUUACAGUAACAUAUUAUGUUACUCUAAACACUUCUCUCCUCAUUAAAUACAUGCCACAUAAGCAAAUUUGUCUUGAAAUACGGUAUGCUACUAGCUAAGUUACUCCCACUAUGACUAGCCUUAUAUGUGAUGUUAGAGCAUCUCCAGCCGCGCCACCAACACGCCCCCCAGGCCAUUUUUUAGCGCCGGCGUCGAAAAAUCGCCCCAGUCGCGCCCCCAGGACCUUGUUUAUCGCCGGUUUGGGCCGAAAUAACAGCCGGCGAACCCGAGCCAAACCCAAGCCCCCGGGGGGCGCCUGGGGGCGUCGCCUGAAGCAAAAAGACACUUUUUCCCGCAGAUCCCCCGCUUUCCCCCUCCAUUUUGCCUCCAUUCCCCCGUUCUGCUCUCUUCUCCCGCCAUUCUCCUCUCUCUCCCCGCCAUCCGGCCGCCAUCCCGCCAUGGCGCCGAAGAGGUAUACGGCCCCUCGCACCGCUGCCACCCAGCCAAAGCAGAGGAAGCCGAGGACGGCACCCGAGUGAUGAUGCCUCCACGACGCCCAGCACAGAAGCCGCGCUGACGAUGACCAGCCCGGGCACGCCGACUCUCGCUAGUCCGACGCCUGAGGAGCACGCCGCCGUUUGAUGCAUUGCCUACGCGUCCUUCCUUUUGAACGACGAACUUUCGAGUAUGAUUGAUCGCCGAACUAUGGCAUGGUGAUCGCCGAACUUUGUGGCAUUGAUCGUCGAACUUGUGGCGUCUUUUUGGGUAGCGGGAAAUGCCAUGUUUGAAUUUAUACGCGUCUUGGGGGCGAACCUGGGGGCGUGACUGGGAACUAGAUCGCCCCCAGGGCUAAAAAAGCGCCCGCUGAGGGGCCAAACCACAAUCGCCGGGUGCGCCUUGGGGCCGAACGAGUGGAGAUGCUCUUACUCCCACUAUGGGUAGUCUUAUGCACCAGUACAGAGGGAGUGGUACGAUUUUGCCGUGGGGAGUGAGUGCUUGCCAAGUCGCCACAAAAAUACCCUGAUCUUUGAUGGCACUUGGACUCUCCAAAGAGAUGUCCAGUUCUUCUCCAACUGUCUUGUUGGGACUCAUCUUGUCUUGGUAUGUGUGAUGUUACUCAUAGUAUGAAUAACAUACAAUGUUACCAUAUGCCUCUCUUUCCUCAUUGAUUUUUUGCCACAUCAUCUAUUUUACCUAGUUAGGCUGGUCAUAGUGGGGAGUAACUUGUACUAGUGUCAUGCAUAUAACACUAGUCUAAGUUACUACCUUCAUAAUGCAAAGUAACAUAAUAGUAGUUUCAUAGAUGGCUUCAUUUAUUUGGUUGUAGACUCAUCUUCUCUUGAGAAGCGCUAUGUUAUAGUAACAUAUUAUGUUACUCUAAACACUUCUCUCCUCAUUAAAUACAUGCCACAUAAGCAAAUUUGUCUUGGAAUGCGCUAUGUUACUAGCUAAGUUACUGCCACUAUGACUAGCCUUAUAUGUGAUGUAUGUUACUCCCACUAUGGAUAGUCUUAUGCACCAGUACGGAGGGAGUGGUACGAUCUUGCGUGGGGAGUGAGUGCUAGGCAAGCCGCCACAAAAAUACCCUGAUCUUUGACGACACUUGGACUCUCCAAAGAGAUGUCCAGUUCUUCUCCAACUGUCUUGUUGGAGUUCGACGCUCUACCUUCCAGCCACGCCUCCCAUCUUCCCUUGGUGCAAGCGAGCAUGGUGAGAACACUCUUGUUUGUAAAUAGUUUUACUUGUUUUAAGUACCACUUUAUGUAUGACCUUUAACAAAUUUUCCGCGGGAAUCAUCUAAUAGUAUACAAAUAGGAAGCCUGGCAGAAAAAAGAUACGUGGACUCAAUCAGUAGCGGAGAGCGGCAUGGAAGUAAGAAGGGGCCAAUUGAUAAGCCAAAGUAAUAGCACAGGAAAAAUAAGAAAAUUGUCUCACAUGGGCCAACAAUUACAGAUUUAUUAGGCCUCGUAAUCGGGUUGCGCCGUCCCCCCAAAAGCUCUGCUCCUGGGUUCAAUCUUAUUUUUUCUGAGAUACGGGUCCUGUGACAGCCUGGAUUUGCCUUCUCUCUUUCUCCGGACUUUCAUUUGCAUUUGCUUUGGAUUUGGAGUUUUGAAUCAAUUCAAAUGGACUUGAACACUUGGGCCUAUCCUUGAUUUUCACCCAAGUGACCCAUCCACCUCUAACUCACCUUUCCUUCUCUGAAAAACUCGAACAAAAGCCCAAGGAAUAUUUUUCAUAAAACAAAAUAUUCAUUUUCUUCCCUGAAAAUCACUUCAGAGAAGUAUGCUCGAAAGCAACCCCUAGAUUUCUUGCUCCAAAAAUCCUGAAUAAAUUCACAAAUAUUCUUUGAACCUUAGGGCACCUUCCUGAGCAAAAAUAUUGCAUAACUUUUUGUAAUAUUUUUGCUACAGAAAAUCAUUUCUGUUCUGGACAGAAUGAUCACUUUGCACAGCAAGUAUAUUUUUCCUUGAUCUUUUGGGGCUGAUCUUUUCUGAGCUUGAUUACCCUCCUAAGAGAUUGCUAAACCCCAAAGCACAGCCUUUAGUUCUCACUAAAUUUUGCUCAGUGAAGCUCACAAGUUUCUGUCCAGAAACUUGCCACGAAGAAAGCCACUCCCACAGUUCACCCGUGACCCAGCCAACCGUGCAAAACAACCAAAACCACUAAGGACUAACUGCCAGACAUGGUGUUUGCGCUUAGCUCAGCCUGAUGCCAAAGUUCACGCGAUGACCACGAGCGUCCAAGGGGGUUGGCAUGCAGUCGACGCGCUCUGCGGUGCGCCAGCGUCUCUGUUUCGCGCGUGCUUGCUGCCCCGGCCGCCGCACCUUGCCAAACCGCGCCCCCAUCCUCAUUUGCACCUCCAUAACUCCACCCUGGCGCUCGCCGAUGCCGGAGCUCGCUGCAUCGAGCACGGGCACGGUGCGGCCAGGGCAACAGUGCGCCCGUGCCCCUGUGCUCGUCGCGUACGGCGCUCCUGUGCUCGUCGCAGCUCGUCUACAGCCCCCGCGUGAUCCCCGACACCUUCUCCCCCUCUCACUGACGCCAUUCGUCGCCGGGCGACACUCUAGAGAGCUCCUGCGAGCUCUCGAUCCCCGCCUAUAAUAGAGCUCCCCCGAGCUCGUUUCUCUCCGCACACACACUCAACACACCUCCACACCAUCGUAGGAAGCCGCAGCCCGGUCGGGACAGGCCUCUGGCCGCCGUCCCCGCCCCGAGCUCGCCGGCGAUCCCCGUCCUCUGCCCCCUUCCUCUCCAGAGCCGCUCGAGCUCCACUGACCACUCCGGCGUGUUCAUGGUGGUCCACUGGUGCGUGCUGGUGCCGUUGGAGCUGCUGGACUGGCCCUGCUUCACCGGAACCACCAUCUCCGACGAGCUCCGCCCGCUGCCGCCGCUGGAGAGCUCCGUUCCGACCCCGUCCGGCGACCCCUAGCCACGCUACGGGUAUGGGCAGGUGCGCCUCGAUCUCCUCUACAACCCUAUCCUCUUAGAUCUCGUCGCCGGGCACUCCUCGCCGGAGAAAGCGCCGUCGCCGCCCCGCCCGCCUCUGCUUCUCUUCCCCUCUCCCUCCGACCUGACCGUUGGGGCCCGCUGUCAGCCACUCAGGCCGCGGCCGAAGCGGUAUGAGUGGUGGCGCCCAGGCGGUUUACGCCUUCGACGUCACCCCCUCUAGUUUUUCUUUUAAUUCAAAUUUAGUUCAAAUUUGACAAGAACUUUGACUAGCUGUAACUUUUAUUCUACAAGUCCAAAUGAGUUGGUUCUUUUUGCAUUCUUUUCUUACUAGAAAAUCCUAGCAACACAUCCAAGAUGGGAUUUUUCUUUGCUGCCUAGAAUUUUUGGUAAUUUUCAGAAGUGUUCUUGAUAUUUUCCUUUUGUCAUUUGAUUUAUUUUCAGAAGGUGAAGCUUGUCUUGAAGGCAUCCAGGAGGAGUGUGAAGCUCCUCUGCACUAAGGCAAGCCACAACAACAUUGUCAUGGUGUCUUUGCAAUAUCCAUGAUUUUCUACUUGGAUUUAUAUGUUAUUCAUUGCAUAUAGUAUUAAAAUAAAUAAUGCUUGUGUUAUUUAGUUUGUCAUGAUCAAAAUGCUUAGUUAACAGAAAUGAAUGCUUGAACUAGUGAGAUAUAGCUUGAGUAGUUGAUCUAAGUAAAUUUGUCAUGGCUAUGGUGAUAUGAUCAUCGGUCUUAUUUUUCCUAUAUGGAAAAAUGAGUUUAUUUGCUAAAUGCCAACUAGAGUGAUGAGUAUAAGUAACAAGUAAGAAAGGACCAGAAAUGUUGAAAGUUGAGUUUGUGCAAGUAGAACUUUGAAUAAGGUUGAUCUGUUAUUUCUAAAUGGAUGUGAUGCAUGAUAUAUGGUUGCAUAAGCAUGGCAUAUAGUGACUCAAGCAUUUUAUUUUCAAGUUAAACCUGAUGAUAAUUGAACUUGAACAUAAAGUUGGUCGGGUCAUGGUGCCACUGAAUCGGGCUGACAAGUGCAACCACAUUUGCCUUAGUAUGGGGAGGCUGUUAGUCGUUCUGUUGUCAUGCCUUUUAUCGGUGCUUCCAACAAGGGAAGGUUAUGGGCAUGCGUUACCCUGGCCCGGUAAGCAGACAUAACCUUGUGGACCUGUUGUUGUUAUGGUACCUUGUCCCUGUUUGGGACAUUUUAUUUGCCACGACGGUGGUUGUUUUGCCUUUGGUAGGCUUGGUCACCCAUGACUAAUCUCAGUGGGGAGUUGGUCGGAGUGGCUGUAAGAGUGUCAUGGCAAUGGGAGGGUUCUGUCGGAAUGCCGUUGGUCCACCCGAAUGGGAAUGCGAGACCAUGGUUUCCGUGGUGUGGGUAAAGUGCGCUACCUCUGCAGAGUGUAAUAAUCUAUCGAUAGCCGCGCCCGCGGACAAGGGCCCAAUUCGUAAGUAAGUCACACCAUGGAUCAACUUUCAUAAAUAAAUCUUGCACACUAAGUUAUUUGCAUUGCACUGGUUGGAUCAUGAUGAUGUCAGUGAGACUGACUGUAGUGGUAUCACUUGUGAUCCGGGAGUGAUCACUGUUUGAUUACGAGGUAACCAGUUGAACCAAGUAUGAUUCCAUUCGUGAUUCGUCGUGAGCACUGUUCGGUUGCGAGGCAACCUGUUGGUAAGAGAGUCCGAGUGACUCGAUGCACAAGUUUGGCUUCACUGCAUGAGUAGCAUGUUGUUGUUUGCAUUUAACUUGAUUAAAUGUCAUGAUAUUGUUUGUCAUUAUGGUUCUGUUUGCUGUGAGCUUGCAAGUACAUUCAAUGCGCCGACCUGGCGUGUUAUGCUAGAUUUCAGGAAAGUCUAACUGGAUCGGAGUGCUGCUGUGUCUAGACCGUGUCCACAUCGGUGUCCCUGUGCUAUGGAGUCCCGCUACGUCGUUGUUUCGCUGUCGUGUAGAUGUCGUGCUCGAGGCCCCUUUUAUGUUCACUAAAUAAUGUACAUAUUGUUCAGCCGCACCGAGUGUGCCGCUUGGCCUCGUAACUUGAUGUAAUGUCGCACUAUGCUUCCGCUAGUUUCAAUAAAGCGGUGAUUUCUAUACCAAGAUGUUGUGUGUUGCCAGAAGACAUGAUCUCUGGGUUGGCAAUGCAAGUUAAACCGGUCGCUCUGAGCCGGGGUGCCACAACGCUUGGUAUCAGAGCCGCGCUGACUGUAGGACACGCUAGACCCCGACACGCGAAGUAAACGUUAGUUAGUUUGCUAAUUGAGUGCCGUUAGUAUUUGCAUCUGGAUGCUGCAUUGCAUGCAUCAGACUUAUUGUUAUUUCUAACCGGUUAAUGGUUGUGUGUGUAGAUGGCUCCGGUGCUGUAUCCAUGCCAGUUGCAGCUGAUGCCUUACACUUCUCCGCAUCUCCUCCGUAGCGUGUGGCGUUGACUGUACCUCACGGUGAUGACCCAGCAUAUCAGGUGUACCGGGAGCGUCUAGCCGACUCCGUGUAUGAGUAUCAUGUUGUGGUUACUCUGCGCACCAGUUCGUCAGCGGGUUCUUACACUCGUUCCUCUCGGAGCAGUUGUGCAUCCACCGCCGCUCAGGCUGUCCAGUAUGCUGCAUUCGAGAUUCUUUUUGAGUUACGCUAUGCUGAGGCUCGGAUGCAGAACUACCCAGGUUUUCGCUUCUACCCAUCUUUGCACGACGAUGGUCGUGUUCGCUUUCAUUCCAUUGAUCCUGCGUCUGAUAGUGACACUAGCCACCUUUCUCGAUAUAUCACUACUAGUUAUCUUCUGAUUCAUGAGUUGGCUCGAGAGCUGAAUCGUGCUCGUUCUGCUUUAGCCGCCGAUAGAUCCUACCCUACUCCACCUUCUAUGGGAUUUACUCCUUAUAUUGUGCCCAGUUCUAGCUCGCCUAUUUCUCCGGUUACUCCCCUGAGUAGCUCGGGCACCUCGACAGUGAACCCACACAGUGCUCCUGCUGAGUGGGCGUCUCUUCUUGCUACCCCCGCAGCUCCCAUGAUCCCUUCUCAUCCCGCGCCUACCCCUGAGAGAGAGCCCUCGAGGCAGCGUCGUCGUAUUACCUUUAACCCGGAGGUCUCGGUUGGCGUCGUCAGUUCAGGAUCUGGGUCUGACUUAGGAGAGGAUCCGGCAGCGCCGGCAGAGUCCUAGAGCGUCUGAGUAUCCGUAGUGGUCAUGUGAUGUACGGAUGUAGUUGUAUGAGCCAUGGUGUAUCGUUGCAUGUAUGCAAGUAGUCGCACCAGUCAUGAUGUCUAUCUUUCAUGUAUGAGUCUAUGUAUAAUUAUGUUGGAACUUUUUAUUCAAUCGCCGUGUUUCUUGGUUCGUUCGUUUCGCUCUUUCGGGUUUGUCACUGUCUUUUCUUCCCACGUUUGGAUGUUGCCCAUCGCGGUUGCUCUUAUUGGAAAAAAUAAACAGUAGGAUGACGCGGGGAGGCAGCAGCACGCAGGCUUGUGAGGAUGUCCCUGUUCGUCGCUCAGCAAGACAGGCAGGACACUCCGCCGAGCCGUAUACACAGCCACCGCCUCCACCGCCAAAUCCACCCUCCACUGAACAAAUUAUGCGCAUGUUUGAGGAAAAAAGGAACAAUGAUCUGAUUGAGCUAUUAAAAAGUGUGCAAGCUAUGGUUGGGCAGAAUGGGAAUCAAAAUGGCCAUAACUCCAAGCUGUCAGAUUUUUAAAGGACUAAGCCUCCCUGUUUCAGUCAAGUGGUUGACCCUUUGGAAGCAGACGAUUGGUUACGAAGCAUUGAGAAGAAACUUGAAAUUGCUCGCACUGAAGAAGCUGACAAGGUUCCGUUCGCUACCCACUAUCUUGAAGGAGCCGCUGCUAUAUGGUGGGAUAAUGCUAAAGCUCUGUGGCCUGCGGGAAAUAAAUUAUGUGGACUAAUUUCAAGGACCAAUUUCUCAAGCAUAUUCCAGCUGGUAUCAUGAAGGUCAAGCAACGCGAAUUUCUAGGUCUCACUCAAGGAAGUCUGUCAGUAAGUGAAUAUUUGCACAAGUUCAACCAUCUGGCCCGUUAUUCCCUUUAUGAUGUGGCCAUGGAAGAAAGGAAGAUUGACAGGUUCCUUGGAGGAUUAAAUCAACACCUCAGGAGUGCUCUCUGCAUGGUCGAUUUUCCAGAUUUUCAGUCUCUGGUAAACAAGGCCCUCAUCGCAGAAAGAGAGUACAAGCCUGUGCAAGACAACCGACCCGCAAACAAUGACCACAAGCGUAAAUUUGAGCCGAAGAAGGACGGACAAUCCAUACAGAAGGCCCGUACCUGGCAACAGACUCAAGUGGAGUACAAACCCAAUUGGCAGCAGAAUGUGAACAAGACCACUACUCAAGUCAAGAAUGUCGUGACCAGUCCAGUACACGAGGAGCGCCAGCACAACAAUGCUUGCUUUAAUUGUGGACAGACCAGACAUUAUGCCAGGUAGUGUCCCAAGAAGUCAAAAUGCCCCGUUCCGGCCGCAAGUCAAUCACAUGGGGCCAUAUCAUACCCAGAAGAUCGUCCAAGGGCAAGUUCAUCACCUCUCCACAGACGAGGCUCAGGAAAACCCCGAAGUCGUCAUUUGUAUGUUUUCUGUUAAUAGCAUACCCACGAUAAUUUUAUUCGACUCUGGGGCUUCCCACUCUUUUGUUUCUUGGAGUUUCAUUGCCCGAAACAAAUUUCCUUGCUCGCUUUUGGGAAAAAGUAUGAUGGUUUAGUCCCUGGGAUCUGUGCUCAAAAGCAAUUUGGUCUGCCGGAAUUUGGAAAUUGGUAUUAAGGGGGUCCGCUUUCCAACCGCUUUGAUAGUCAUCGAGUCUGCCAAGUUGGAUGUUAUUUUGGGAAUGAACUGGUUGACUCAAUAUCAAGUAUGCAUAAACUGUGCGACCCGAGAAGUCAGCCUGACAAAUCAGGAAGGGCGAGCCAUAAAAUUUUAUGCCCGCAAAGGUAUACCCAAAAGGGAGAUGGUCUUCACUGCAGUAGCCGAAGAAUUGGAUCUGAUUCAUGUGGUCAGUGAAUUUCCCGAUGUAUUCCCUGAGGAAUUACCCGGAAUACCCCCCAGUCAGAGAGCUUGAGUUUGCAAUUUAUCUUGUACCUGGGACUGCACCGUUGUACAAAAAGUAUUAUCAGAUGCCUUCCUCCGAACUCGUGUAAUUAAAGAAGCAGUUGGAUGAGAUGCUGCAGAAAGGAUAUAUCCGCCCAAGCUCGUCACCAUGGGGAUCACCUGCAAUAUUUGUAGACAAGAAAGAAGGUGGUCUCAGAAUGUGCGUUGACUACCGUCAGUUGAACGAUGUCACAAUCAAGAACAAAUACCCGCUACCAUGGAUUGAUGACUUGUUCGAUCAACUCAGUGGUGCAAAAAUAUUUUCCAAGAUUGAUUGAAAGACCGGAUAUCAUCAACUGAAGAUCAAGAAGGAAGAUAUUCCUAAGACCGCGUUCACUACCCGUUACGGUCUCUAUGAAUAUACGGUGAUGUCCUUCGGGCUCACAAUUGCCCCCGCCUUUUUCAUGCAUAUGAUGAAUAAGGUGUUCAUGGAAUUCUUGGAUAAGUUUGUGGUGGUUUUCAUCGAUGAUAUUCUCAUAUACUCUAAAAGUGACGAAGAAAACACGGAACACCUUCGAGAAGUCUUACAGAGACUCCGUGACCAUCAGCUGUAUGCAAAAUUCAGCAAGUGUGAGUUUUGGCUCAAACAAGUUGGAUUUCUGGGGCAUGUUCUUUCAGCAGAUGGUAUCGCAGUGUAUCCCAGCAAAGUGAAAGAUGUGCUUGAUUGGGCAGCACCCACGACGGUAUCCGAAGUCCGGGGUUUUCUUGGAUUAGCCGGGUAUUACCGUCGGUUCAUCGAAGGAUUCUCCAAAAUUGCCAAGCCAAUGACAGAACUCCUCAAGAAAGACAAGAAGUUUGAAUGGACUGAGGAUUGCGAGCAGAGCUUUAACGAGCUAAAAACCAGAUUGACAUCAGCACCAGUACUGACUCUCCCAGACAUUUACCGCAACUUUGAUGUGUAUUGCGACGCAUCCAGAAAGGGCAUUGGGUGCGUACUUAUGCAAGACGUCAAGGUGGUAGCUUACGCAUCUUGCCAACUACGACCACAUGAAAGAAACUAUCCUACACAUGAUUUGGAACUGGCCGCUAUUGUGCACUCUCUAAAUAUUUGGAGACAUUACCUCAUUGGAAAGAGAUGUUAAAUAUUUACCGACCACAAGAGUCUCAAAUAUAUAUUCACCCAUCCAGACUUAAACCUUCGACAACGAAGAUGGCUCGAGUUGGUCAAAGACUAUGAUCUGGAAAUAAAUUACCAUCAAGCCAACGUGGUUGCUGAUGCCCUCAGUCGCAAGCCUGCCAACUUAAAUGCCAUGAUGGAGUCUUUGCCUCCAGAACUCCAGCAAGAGAUCGCUUAGCUCAACUUGGUAAUUAUAAAUGCCGGUCUUAGGAAUAUUUUGGAAGUAACUCCUACUCUAGAAGAGGAGAUUCACAUAGCACAGGCUGACGACAAGAUUCUGCAAGUAUAUCUCAAACGUCUGCAUGAAGGCAAGACUCAGGAUUUCUCAAGGGACGCAUUGGGUACACUCAGGUUCCAAGGAAGGAUAUGCGUACCUCAGCAAGCAGAUUUGAGGAAUAAAAUUUUGGCAGAAGCACACGAAUCCUCAUAUUCAAUACACCCAGGCGGCACUAAAAUGUACGAAGACCUUCGACAGAUAUUUUGGUGUGAUGGAAUGAAAAGGGACAUCGCAUAUUUUGUCGCUUGUUGUGACAUCUGCAACAAAGUAAAGGCGGAACACCAAAAACCCGCCGGACUUCUCCAACCUCUACCCGUCUCGCAAUGGAAAUGGGACGAUGUCUGCAUGGACUUUAUCACCGGUCUACCCAGGACUCACCGAGGCAAUGAUGCUAUAUGGGUCAUAGUGGACACGCUGACUAAAGUGGCUCACUUUAUUCCCAUCCGCACCACCUUUCGCGCUGAUCAACUUGCACAAUUAUAUGUAUCUCGGAUUGUUAGUUUGCAUGGAGUGCCAAAGACAAUCACUUCGGACCGAGGUUCAUUGUUUACAUCCGCAUUCUGGUCCCGACUCCAUCAAGCUUUGGGGACCGCUCUCAAAUAUAGCACCGCCUAUCAUCCAUAGACAGACGGUCAGACUGAGCGGUUAAAUCAAAUCCUUGAAGAUAUGCUUCGAGCAUGUGCCUUAGCCCACAGACCCAAAUGGGAAGAUUGUCCGCCAUAUGUGGAAUUCUCAUACAACAACAGUUUUCAAACCAGUCUGAAAAUGUCACCCUUUGAAGCUUUAUACGGCCGUAAGUGCCGCACUCCAUUAAAUUGGUCUCAAACCGAAGACAACCGUAUCUUCGGUACUGAUCUGAUAUUAGAGGCAGAGAAACAAGUCAAGGAAAUUCGAGAUAGACUACAACUGGCUAAGUCAUGAUAGAAGAGUUAUUAUGAUGCCGAACAUCGGAAAGUCAGUUUUGAACCCGGUGAACACGUGUAUCUCCGAGUCACACCCAUGAAGGGAGUCAAGAGAUUUCAAACCCGAGGCAAGUUGGCACCAAGAUAUAUUGGUCCGUUCCCGGUCAUGACACGAGUUGGCACAGUUGCUUAUCAGUUGGAAUUGCCACCAGAAUUGUCGGAAGUACACAACAUGUUCCACGUAUCCCAGCUGAGGAGGUGUAUGUCACCACCCGAGAAGAGGACUGAUAUGUCAGAAAUUGAGCUGGCCAAAGAUUUAACUUAUGAGGAGAGACCAUUCAGAAUCUUGGAUGAGGCAGAAAGGGUCACAUGCAGCAAAGCGAUCAAAUUUUAUAAGGUCCAGUGGGAGCAUCACACCGAAGAAGAAGCAACCUGGGAAAGAGAGGAAUUUUUAAGGACAACCUACCCAGAAUUGUUUUCCCAAGCAACCGAAUCUCGAGGACGAGAUUCAUCUUAAGUGGGGGAGGUUUGUGACGGCCUGGAUUUGCCUUCUCUCUUUCUCCGGACUUUCAUUUGCAUUUGCUUUGGAUUUGGAGUUUUGAAUCAAUUCAAAUGGACUUGAACACUUGGGCCUACCCUUGAUUUUCACCCAAGUGACCCAUCCACCUCUAACUCACCUUUUAUUCUCUGAAAAACUCCAACAAAAGCCCAAGGAAUAUUUUUAAUAAAAGAAAAAUAUUCAUUUUCUUCCCUGAAAAACACAUCAAAGAAGUAUGCUCCAAAGCAACCCCUAGAUUUCUUGCUCCAAAAAUCCUGAAUAAAUUCACAAAUAUUCUUUGAACCCUAGGGAACCUUCCUGAGCAAAAAUAUUGCAUAACUUUUUGUAAUAUUUUUGCUACAGAAAAUCAUUUCUGUUCUAGACAGAAUGAUCACUUUGCACAACAAGUAUAUUUUUGCUUGAUCUUUUGGGGCUGAUCUUUUCUGAGCUUUGAUUACCCUCCUAAGAGAUUGCUAAACCGCAAAGCACAACCUUUAGUUCUCACUAAAUUUUGCUCAGUGAAGCUCACAAGUUUCUGUCUAGAAACUUGCCAGGAAGAAAGCCACUCCCACAGUUCAUCUGUGACCCAGCCAACCGUGCAAAAAAACCAAAACCACUAAGGACUAACUGCCAGACAUGGUGUUUGCGCUUAGCUCAGCCUGAUGCCAAAGUUCACACGGUGACCACUAGCUUCCAAGGGGGUUGGCAUGCAGCCGACACGCUCUACGGUGCGCCAGCGUCUCUGUUUCGCGCGUGCUCGCUGCCCCGGCCGCCGCACCUUGCCAAACCGCGCCCCCAUCCUCGAUUGCACCUCCAUAACUCCACCCUGGCGCUCGCCGAUGCCGGAGCUCGCCAUAGCGAGCACGGGCACGGCGCGGCCAAGGCAACAGUGCGCCCGUGCCCCUGUGCUCGUCGCGUACCGCGCUCCUGUGCUCGUCGCAGCUCGUCUACAGCCCCGCGUGAUCCCCGGCACCUUCUCCCCCUCUCACUGACGCCAUUCGUCGCUGGGCGACACUCCAAAGAGCUCCGGCGAGCUCUCAAUCCCCGCCUCGGCCUCGCUUAUAAAUAGAGCUCCCUUGAGCUCGUUUCUGUCCGCACACACACUCAGCACACCUCCACACCACCGUAGGAAGCCGCAGCCCGGCCGGGACAGGCCUCUGGCCGCCAUCCCCGCCGCGAGCUCGCCGGCGAUCCCCGUCCUCUGCCCCCUCCCUCUCCAGAGCCGCUCGAGCUCCACUGACCACUUCGGCAUGUUCGUGGUGGUCCACUGGUGCGUGCUGGUGCCGUUGGAGCUGCUGGACUGGCCCUGCUUUGCCGGAACCACCAUCUUCGACGAGCUCCGCCCGCCGCCGCCGCUGGAGAGCUCCGUUUUGUCCCCGUCCGGCCACCCCUAGCCACGCUAUGGGUACGGGCAGGUGCGCCUCGAUCUCCUCUACAACCCUAUCCUCUUAGAUCUCGUCGCCAGGCACUCCUCGCCGUAGAAAGCGCCAUCGCCGCACCGCCCGCCUCUGCUUCUCUUCCCCUCUCCCUCCGACCUGACCAUUGGGGCCCGCUGUCAGCCACUCAGGCCGCGGCCGAAAGCGGUAUGAGUGGUGGCACCCAGGCAGUUUACGCCUUCGACGUCACCCCCUCUGGUUUUUCUUUUAAUUCAAAUUUAGUUCAAAUUUGACCAGAACUUUGACUAACUGUAACUUUUAUUCUACAAGUCCAAAUGAGUUGAUUCUUUUUGCAUUCUGUUCUUAUUGGAAAAUCCUAGCAGCACACCCAAGAUGGGAUUUUUCUUUGCUGCCUAGAAUUUCUGAUAAUUUUCAGAAGUGUUCUUGAUAUUUUCUUUUUGUCAUUUGAUUUAUUUUCAGAAGGUGAAGCUUGUCUUGAAGGCAUCCAGGAGGAGUGUGAAGCUCCUCUGCACUAAGGCAAGCCACAACAACAUUGUCAUGGUGUCUUUGCAAUAUCCAUGAUUUUCUACUUGAAUUUAUAUGUUAUUCAUUGCAUAUUGUAUUAAAAUAAAUAAUGCUUGUGUUAUUUAGUUUGUCAUGAUCAAAAUGCUUAGUUAACAGAAAUGAAUGCUUGAACUAGUGAGAUAUAGCUUGAGUAGUUGAUCUAAGUAAAUUUGUCAUGGCUAUGGUGAUAUGGUCAUCGGUAUUAUUUUUCCUAUAUGGAAAAAUGAGUUUUAUUUGAUAAAUGCCAACUAGAGUGAUGAGUAUAAAUAACAAGUAAGAAAGGACCAGAAAUGUUGAAAGUUGAGUUUGUGCAAGUAGAACUUUGAAUAAGGUUGAUCUGUUAUUUCUAAAUGGAUGUGAUGCAUGAUAUAUGGUUGCAUAAGCAUGGCAUAUAGUGACUCGAGCAUUUUAUUUCCAAGUUAAACCUGAUGAUAAUUGAAAUUGAACAUAAAGUUGGUCGGGUCAUGGUGCCACUGAAUCGGGCUGACAAGUGCAACCACAUUUGCCUUAGUAUGGGGAGGCCGUUAGUCGUUUCGUUGUCAUGCCUUUUAUCGGUGCCUUCAACAAGGGAAGGUUAUGGGCAUGCGUUACCCUGGCCCGGUAAGCAGACAUAACCUUGUGGACCUGUUGUUGUUAUGGUACCUUGUCCCCGUUUGGGACUGUUUAUUUGCCACGACGGUGGUUGUUUUGCCUUUGGUAGGCUCGGUCACCCAUGACUAAUCUCAGUGGGGAGUUGGUCGGAGUGGCCGUAAGAGUGUCAUGGCAAUGGGAGGGUUCUGUCGGAAUGCCGUUGGUCCACCCGAAUGGGAAUGCGAGACCAUGGGUUCCGUGGUGUGGGUAAAGUGCGCUACCUCUGCAGAGUGUAAUAAUCUAUCGAUAGCCGCGCCCGCGGACAAGGGCCCAAUUCGUAAGUAAGUCACACCAUGGAUCAACUUUCAUAAAUAAAUCUUGCACACUAAGUUAUUUGCAUUGCACUGGUUGGAUCAUGAUGAUGUCAGUGAGACUGACUGUUGUGGUAUCACUUGUGAUCCGGGAGUGAUCACUGUUUGAUUACGAGGUAACCAGUUGAACCAAGUAUGAUUCCGUUCGUGAUUCGUCGUGAGCACUGUUCGGUUGCGAGGUAACCUGUUGGUAAGAGAGUCCGAGUGACUCGAUGCACAAGUUUGGUUUCACUGCAUGAGUAGCAUGUGAGAACGUAUCCGGUGAAACGACUAAACUGGUGCACCAGAUGCACCGGCUAUGUAUGGGCCGUUGGAUUCGAAAGAAAGGGACGGGAUUCAGUGCGAUGAUGGGCUGUCGGUACAUUUGCAAAAUAGUCCUUGCAGUAUAACUAAAUCCAGCGAUCUAACCUCUCUGUACCCAUAUCGUCUUCCUUCCCUUGCCAUAUUCUGUACCAGGCCGUCCAGCUGCGCGCUAGGGUUCGGGAAGUCUGCUCCGUCGCCUCUCUCGCCUGCUCUCCUGGACCUUCUCCCCCUUCUAUCUGGUACCUAGUUCUGACGCCUUUGAAGCACGAGCUCCCCUCCUCUUCUCUGAGUCGGGCCCGACGAAGUUGCCAUUGCCGCCGGCGAGCGCGUAAAUGUAGCGGUGCUGUGCUGUAGCUCCUGGGGACGAAGAGGAACUACCCAAAGGAGCCGACUAUCUUCUGCACCUUGACGAUUUCAGGGCAUGCUCUCUUAUUCCAUUAUCCAUUUAUCAUGGUCAUAUUGGUUUUUUUGCGAAUAUAUUGGGUUCUUCCCAUUUGGGAUUUCCCCAAUUUAUUCCAAACUAGUGUCAUUGCGUACUUGAAUAAGUAGUAUGAGCACCAGAUUUAUGUAUGAGAUACACGGCUGUAGAUAUGGUAGUGCAAAAUAGCAUAUGCAAACUUGAAUAAGUAGUGUUCUGAAUCUUAACAUGUAUUUUGUAGUAUAGAAAACCAUAUUUAUGCAAACUCUGAAGUAAAGUUUGUGCAGUUGUGCGGUGGAAAUAGGACCUGGCCAUCGUCCUUUAUAGCUCAAGAUCCAAGGUAUGAGCACCGAAUUUGGUUGUCUGUUAUACAUGUACAGUCAUAUUUUUCCUUCUUCCAGGCCAUUCAGUUUCCCAUGUGUUUGAAGCUAAUGGCAUUUGGGAAUAUGAAUAGUAUGGGCACGAACUUGAUCCGUUGGAUCUUGAUGAAAUUGUAGUAGUAAUCACAACAGUCGGUGCAAAAAUAGUUGAGGGGAUGUGCUCUUUGUGUUAUGUUCCUUUAUAUACAAUUUUCUUAUACAUUUGCUAACUUGAUAGUAAGGUGUGUACAUGAACGACUUGGCAUGUAAGUGAAAAAAAUGACUUCCUAGGAACCUACUACUCCCUCCGUCCCAAAAUUCUUGUCUUAGAUUUGUCUAGAUACGGAUGUAUCAAGUCACGUUUUAGUAUUAGAUACAUCCGUAUCUAGACAAAUCUAAGACAAGAAUUUUGGGACGGAGGGAGUACAUGACAAGUGUGGGUUCGUUACUGGUUGUUCCUGCGGGGUUCUUGUAGAUGAACUAGUAAUGUACUAUAUGAACUUCUUCCACAUUGCUGAUAUGAAAUGGGAACGGCAUUUGCAAUGCUCAAUUGAACUUUCUAUGGUAAUGCUAGUUGUUCAUGUUCCUCAUUUUGUCUUGCUGCAGUCCACAUUGUAGCUAUGCUCUUAAGUAAAAAGUCUUGAUGUGUUUUGCCUGGUAGUAGGUUAGUUAUCCACUUUUUAACUUGCGUGUGAUGUUUUGUGUUAUAUUUGCAUGAAAAAAAGUCAACCAUGGAGUCCAUGACAAGUGCUGCUCUAAGUAUUGGGUCAACUACGGCAAUGGGAGUUGAAGAUGAUGCCAACAGCUUUGCCAUGGUAAUUCAUUUGUUGUAUUGGUCACAGACGUACGUCACACCCGUUUCUGUCACAUGAUGAUUUUUUUCUGAAAUUUCUAGGGCACGAUCCAGCAGGUCGAAAACGAUGAAAAUAGCUACCACACGCCAACACGAACUAGCAGUCUUCCAUUUUGUGUAAGUAUUUUUUUCCCACAUCCAAUGCACGAGUUAUAGUUUAUGAACUGAACAUCUUUUAUUUUUCAUAUCCAGGGGUCAAGAUAUGAGCCCGAGUGUGACCCUAACUUACAGCCCGUAAUUGGUAUGCAAUUUGACACUUGGGAGGAAGGUAUGCCAUUCUACAAAAUGUAUGCUCAUGAAGUCGGGUUCUCAGUUCGCACAUGGACGACACACAAAGAUGAACAUGGCGUAGUAUGGAAGAGGUUUGUUUGUGCUAGGGAGGGUUGGAGAAAGGUGGCCCCAGAAGAGGAAAGGAUAAAGCCUAAACGAAAAUUCAAAUUAACCAGGUGUGGUUGUGAGGCUAUGAUUGGAUUGAAGAGGCAGGAUGAUGGCAAAUAUAAGGUUGCCCGGUUUGUUCAAUCACACACUCACCAACUUAUUUCGCCAAGUAAAAGACAUCCCAUCAAGUCAAAUAGAGAAGUAAGUAGUGAGUUGCGGAGCAAACUACUUACAUGUCAUAAGGCAAUGGUUGGCACAUCUGCAGCAUAUCGCUUGCUUAGUGUUGAGAAGGGGGGGUCCCGAAAAUGUGGGCUGCACAAAGCGUGACUUCCAAAACUCUCACCGUGAUUUUAAAAGAGCAAUUAAGGGAGUAGAUGGACAUAUCAUAGUAGAUAUAAUGAAAAGUAAGCAGGCUGCCAAUCCAGCAUUCUACUUUGAUUACCAAGUCGAUGAGAAUGACAAACUUACAAAUAUUUUCUGGGCGGAUAGCAUAUGCAGAAAGAACUACUCAUUGUUUGGUGAAGUUGUGUCUUUUGACUCGACAUAUCGAUUUAAUAGGUAUAACUUGGUAUUUGCCCCUUUCACAGGAGUUAACAACCACAGAUCUUGUGUCACGUUCGGUGCUGCUUUUUUAUGGAAUGAGAAGAAAGAAUCUUAUAUAUGGUUGUUCAAGACUUUCUUGAAAGCAAUUCUGGGAUUGCGCCUAAGCUCAUCAUGACCGAUGAAGACCAAAGCAUGAGAAUAAGGAUAGAACAAGUUUUUCCAAACACUAUGCACAGGCUUUGUAUGUGGCACAUCCUCAUGAAGCUUACUGAAAAGGUUGGUACCACCAUGAAAAAUAAUCCAGAUUUUCAUGAACGGUUCAUGUCAUGUGUUUGGGGAUCAGAGACACCAAGUGAGUUUGAGUCACAAUGGUGUUCAAUAAUCUCUGACUUUGGGCUAGCAGAUAAUACAUGGUUGCAGGAGAAGUAUGAGUCACGCAACUCAUGGAUUCCGGCAUAUUUUAUGGAGACCCACCUUGGCGGAAUCUUGCGUACUACAUCAAGAUCUGAGAGCGAGAAUGCAUUCUUCAGACACUUCGCCAACCGAAAUCUUGCAUUGAUUGAGUUUUGGGUUAGGUUUGAAACAGCUUUAGAGGAACAACGACAAAAAGAAUUGCAAGAAGACAAUGCCAGCCUUCAUACACUGCCUAUGCUCAAGACUUGUUGGAGUAUUGAGAGUCAUGGUAGAGAUGUGUAUACUCAUGAGGUUUUUGCUGAAUUUCAAUGUCAGGUGGUGGCUGCAAGGGAUUAUUGUCAUGUUAAAUCAAUUGUCCAGGUUGGUGAGGUCCGGACCAUUGGUAUUAGCAGCAAGAGUGGUAAAGUUAGAGUAGUUAGUUUCAACACUAGUACUAAGGCAGCACACUGUUCUUGUAGGAUGUUCGAAUCACUGGGUAUCAUCUGCCGUCACAUCAUUGUUGUCCUAAGGAAUGAGGGGUGUGAUGAAAUUCCUAGUCAAUAUGUGUUGCAUAGGUGGACUAAAAUGGCAGCACGUCAACUUUCCUAUGACGCCAACGGACAUGAGCUAGAAGGCCCAUCUACAUGUCUCUCACCUACCAUAAAAAAGUUGUACUCAGAAACAUGUUCAAAAUUCAGCUUGGCACUUCAUGCAUCGAAGCAUUGUGAGGAGAAAAUGAGAUAUUUUCACAAGGUUGUUGGUGAUGCCUUCACGCAAUUGGAACAGAUGGGUGCCAUUAGUGAGCAAAGUAAAGUUCAAGAUUUUGAAUCCUUCGUCGGAACAUCAUUCCCAAGUGUGAUCAGUAUUCAUCCACCAGAUGUAGCAAACACAAAAGGGAGUGUUAAGAGAUUGAAAAGGGGUUCAGAGCAGACAGUUAACCAAAAGAAAAAGAGGUAAAGUAAGCAACCUUGAAAAAAUGUCGAUGUCCUUUCUACAAAUUUGCUAAUGCGGUUUUCUUAUUCUUUACAUGGCAAAUAGCAUCCAAAAGGUUCCAGAUUAGUAAGGGCGGUGGUUUCACUAAUUUGAUGUUGGAAUAAUUAUGUGAAGUCAUGCAGCUGGCUACGUUCUUGCUGGAAAUGGCGGUGAUAUUCAUAGGCGAUGAGGUUUUUGACCUUUUGGUCUUUUCUAGGAGCUCACAUUUGCAGUGUGUGUCACUGAAGCAUGCAUAUGUUCUAUGUCCGUAACUCUGGAUGUGGUCACUGUUAGCUUCAGGAAGUUGCUAACACUAAACCAUGUUGUCUCAUUAGCCGUGUUUAACCUGGAAGAAAAGAUUGUAUGACCUGGCAAGGAAUUGCUAAGCCUAGCUUAAUGUAGGUUUGAAGAUUUGGUUUGUCUUUCUGUGUUACUGUCAGUUGUAGCCAGCUUUGCUAUAUGUCGUGCUGAUGUCACCACUUUCCGAAUUAGUGCAACCUUAUUACUAUGUGUUUUGAGCACCGUUCAUUCAUUUUCCUUUGCUUUUCGUUGCUCUGUACUUUAGCAUCAUCAUCUUAAUUUUUUUCAAGAUAAGUGAGAACAUGUUCAUCUGUAAGAGAUAAUUUUAGGCAUAUUUGCAGCAGUGAAGUGAUGAAAAUUCUGACAUAAUCCUUGCCAGAAGUUCGGGAAAUCUGAAAAUAGAGAAUGCAAUAGAAUAUGUAAUGUUUAAGAUGUAUGGAAAUCUGUACUGUUUUUGAAGUAGCAGUGUUACUCUUUAGAUUGUAUAUGAAGGCAUGUCUCAUCUUCAUUUAUACUUUUGUUCGACCAAGCUUUUGUUUUAAACCGUGCAUAACACCUGAGAAAAUUGAAAAGAUGUGCUCUUGUAACACUUAUGUAACUAUUCUGUGAUUGCUAAUUUGUGCAACUGGAAAGCUCGAUAAAUAUAACUAUGUAAUAUUAAGUAUAAAGAAGCAACUUUACAAGUAACUGUUGUGAUGAUUUUUUUUUGUAAGUGAACAAAAGAGCUUUUGUUUUGUAACAUUUUAUGGAGUUAGAGUGAUCUUGAGCUUCCUGUAGUGAUUCUGGAGAAGCCUACCUAGGAUCAGAUUAGCUCAUCUGGUCUGGAGCUUGGAGUAGGUUAUUUGCAUAGCUAUGAGGAUGACCAUAAAUUUCCACUGUAGAAUUAUGUCAACUUGUAUACAUGGUGUUUCUUUUAUUUCUUAUAAUCCAGUUACAUCUUUUCCUGUGGAUAUAUAGAAGAUGUGAUAUACAUCACAACAUUUGUGCAGCUGACGUCCAUUAUCUCUGGAAAUUUUUAUGGACAUAUCUAGUGGAAAGAUAUGGAUAACCUGGGACUUCAUACUGUAAUCUUUGUUUAUCAUAUCAAUUAACUUUCAUUGCUGGCCUGCUAAAUCAGUACCGGUAACAACCAAAAGAUCUCUGAAUAAAUUUUCUUUAGAUGCUUAUAUGCAAGAACAUCACGUCUUUCACAUCGGAAUAACACAAGCAUCCGGAUAAAUUGUACAACAACCACUCAUCUAAACUAAAGAAAACUUGGAUACAAGAUUUUCUAGCAAACGUACGUUCUUGCUGAUUACAUGGUGCCAAAAAAACCGAAGCCUGAGACAACCACCCACGAUCUGGGCUAGUACGAGAGGUGAAAUUAUCAGUUUCAUCAGAUGCCAUCUUGGAGACCUAUGAAGAUGACUCCUCUGAAGAUUACCCAGUCAUAGCUCAGGCUCUGGAUUCUUUGAUCUCCUAAUUCAUACCACCCACGAUCUGUGAAGGAGGGUGAUGCUUCACAUUCCCUAUUGAUAAGACACUCUAAUGUAUUAGCACAUAAGAGAUGGAGGAAGGGACAAUACCUCGAAUGAAAAACAGAUGAAAAAGAAGUCAACAGGUAUGCUCUCAGUUUUCUGAAACAAAUAUAUGAUAAUAUUAUAUCUCAUAAAAAAAUCCCAUAUCUUUUCUGAAGUGAAUUAUAGCCAAACAAUAUAUGAAAUAAGUUCUUGUGAUAUUACCAGAUUAAAAUCAGUACCAGUAACUAGUCAACUAUAGUAUACUACAAAACUCCUCCAGUCCAGACAUGGAGAACACAGUGAGCGUGCAAUUCUAUCCACUCAAGAAAUCAUUUUCAUAACCUAAAUAAGAUGAUAAUAAGUUACAAGGGUCGGCUUCCAAACCAGGGAAUGUCACCUAUGCAACCAAGAAUCCGAGAUGGUGAGGCGUCUUUUUAUGCAUUUAUCUUGGAUGCAACAACUUCGGUUAUCUGCUUUGUCCUGCAUGCGCAUAAGAACAUGAAGAAUUGCAGCCCUGCUCGUCGUCCUCGUCUUCAACAGAUUUACCGUCUCCAGGCAAUAAGACUCCAUAAUGACCUUCAAACAAAAAAAAUGAUGGCACCAGGGGAGCCAAGCUAAACUUAGUAGUGACACCCUAACCUACAAUCAUAGGCAUCUCUGUUUGGAAGUAUCAUCGGAUUCCAAAGUAUCACAUUUUUAGAAUACAAAGGACAAUCACUACUAGAGAAGUAGCGAUGCAACAUUGGCGAUACAUAUUUGAUUUGGCUCGGCAGUAGUUAGGUAAAAAAGCUUUUGUAACUAUGGAACAGAUAAAUUGAUGAUGAGUAAAAAAUGAACUGAUAACAAAAUCAAGAAGAUGAACUCGUAAUGCUUUCACGAAAUUAAGUUAGACUCUGUAAGUACACGUUCUCUUUAAUAUUGUUUACCAAUAAAGGAGAAAAUAGGGAGUACACCCCUUGUAAUUGGCAUGAAGAUUGUAGAAAUAUACCUAAAUUUGGUGCUCACAGCACACUAUUCGAAUUCUUAAUCAACAAAAACAUGCCCUUUAGUCAACUGGAACAAGAUGGAUAGAGGAAUAAGUGAACAUACCUACAUCCUUGAGCUGCUGCCGAUGGAUAGUGCUGACGGCGACAGCGACCGCGGCGGCGGCAACGGCAGAUUGUUCAGAGAGAACGAUCGAAAUUUAAUAACCCUAAUUCACCUGAGUGGUAUAGAAGAGGGAGAGACAACCGCGUUUCAUUAAGAUCUGAGAUCGAUCUUGAGCUCGCUGGACCUGAACCCUAGCUCAGGAGGAUGUACUGGUACAAAAUCUGGCAAAGGGGGAGGAAGACGAUCUGUGUACGGGGAGGCCAAUUCGUUAGAUUUAGCUGAGCUGCAAGGACUGGUUUGCAAAUGUACCAUCAGGCCCAUCAUCGCACUGAAUCCUGUCCCUUCCUUUCGAAUCCAACGACCCAUACAUAUCUGGUGCAUCUGGUGCACCAAUUUGGUCGUUUCACCAGAUACGUUCUCAUUAGCAUGUUGUUGUUUGCAUUUAACUUGAUUAAAUGUCAUGAUAUUGUUUGACAUUAUGGUUCUGUUUGUUGUGAGCUUGCAAGUACAUUCAAUGUACUACCUGACGUGUUAUGCCAGAUUUCAGAAAAGUCUAACUGGAUCGGAGUGCUGCCGUGUCUAGACCGUGUCCACAUCGGUGUCCCCGUGCUAUGGAGUCCCGCUACGUCAUUUUUCCGCUGCCGUGUAGAUGUCGUGCUCGAGGCCCCUUUUAUGUUCACUAAAUAAUGUACAUAUUGUUCAGCCGCACCGAGUGUGCCGCUUGGCCUCGCAACUUGAUGUAAUGUCGCACUAUGCUUUCGCUAGUUUCAAUAAAGCGGUGAUUUCUGUACCAAGAUGUUGUGUGUUGCCAGAAGACAUGAUCUCUUGGUUGGCAAUGCAACGUAAACCGGUCGCUCUGAGCCGGGGUGCCAUAGGUUCAUUAAUGUACAAUCCAGUGUCUUAUAUAGUGUGAUAUAUAGGAUUCAAUGCAUAUUUCCAAAUUGUGAUGCAAUAUUGUAGCAAUUUGCGGUUAAUUUUGUAGUUUGUAGAUGUGCAACUAAUGUAUACAUUCAUUUUUUGAUGCAGUACCAUAUCUUUAUAUAUAUAUAUAUAUAAUUAAUCUAAUGUUGUAGUCUGUAGAUGUGCAAUUAAUAUACACAUUCCUUUUUUGAUGCAGUACCAUAUCUUCAAAAUAUAUACAAUUAAUGUAAUGCUGUACGCCUGUAGAUGUGCCAUUAAUGUACACAUUCAUUUUUUUGAUGCAGUACCGUAUCUUCAAGAUAUAUAUAAUAAUGUAUUGUUGUAGCCUGUAGAUAUGCAACUAAUAUACACAUUCAUUCUUUUCAUGCAAUACCGUAUCUUCGAGAUAUAUCAUAUAUACAACUAAUGUGUGUAAAAUGUGUCAAUAUGACGUUAAUGUACACAUUCAUUGUUUGAUGCUAUUUCGCAUCUUAAAGGUCUAGCAUGUAGAUAUAAAGUUAAUGUACACAUUCAUUGUUUGAUACAACAUCGUAUCUUCAAGAUAUAGAACUAAUGUAUUAUGUAGCCUCUAGAUGUGCAAUUAAUGUAUACAUUAAUUGUCUGACACGGUGCUAUAUCUUCAUGAUACACAACUGGUGUAUGCGUUUGUAUCAUCAUCUCAAAGAAGGCUAUAUAUACCAAGACAUAGCUAGCGAAGUCAUGUAUCCCACACAUUCACAGAAGCCACACAAAUCCUAUAUUGUACAAUUCUAACAUCAAAGGGAUAGAGAAGACUCUAGCGUAGCAGAUACAAAAGCCAUAGCCAUGGCGAAACUGAUGUGCUUAUGUUUCAUCAUCCUCACUAUUGCGGUAGCCGUGUCGGCUGACGAAUGUGAGGGUGACCGACAGGCCAUGAUCAAGGAGUGUGCUAAGUAUCAACAAUGGCCAGCAAACCCGAAGCUAGAUCCGUCGGAUGCAUGCUGUGCCGUGUGGCAGAAGGCAAACAUCCCAUGCCUUUGCGCUGGUGUCACCAAGGAGAAAGAGAAGAUAUGGUGUAUGGAGAAGGUUGCCUACGUUGCCAAUUUCUGCAAGAAGCCAUUCCCACAUGGCUACAAGUGCGGAAGUAAGUGAAAUAUAUUAAGGUUAUUACGAUGAUCGGCAUUGCAUACAUGCAGUUUUGAUAUUUAUUAUUCUUCGGAGUCACACGGCUUUGAUUUUAGUUAUGCAUUUUAUAUGCUUCUUGUGCUAUUCUGAUCAUAUGUUGGGUCAAAUUGAAUGGUCUUGCAGGUUACACAUUCCCUCCUCCGGCGUAGUGAUUCUAGUUUAGCCGCGGGAGGAGAAGCAUUGGCUUUUACAUUAUAUGUGUGUGGCCUCACAAGAGCUUCCCUUUCACAUUUGUAUUUCGUGAGGUUGUACUCAUAAUAGUUUAUGUUAAUCACUCUGUAUGAGAACGUUUGUGAAACUAAUAAAGUCUU